Molecule: long non-coding RNA, 129908 nt
Filed under: Vigna radiata
Lineage: Eukaryota; Viridiplantae; Streptophyta; Magnoliopsida; Fabales; Fabaceae
Description: long non-coding RNA (VRAD_LNC004445)
Source: RNAcentral
UGUACAAAAGUAUUUGUUGUGUUCACUAACCAGUUUGGGGUUGUUAAAGUGACAAAUGGAGUUGGUGAAGCCAAAUAUCCUGGUGGAGGCUAUGGCGGCGGCUAUCCUGGUAAUGGCGGCGGCUAUCCUGGUCAUGGCGGUGGCUAUCCUGGUCAUGGCGGUGGCUAUCCUGGUCAUGGUGGUGGCUAUCCUGGUCAUGGUGGUGGCGGUCAUGGUGGUGGCUACCCUGGACGUGGUGGGGGCUGUCGCUACGGCUGUUGCGGUGGCCGGUCAUACCACGGAGGUUGCAGAAGGUGCUGCUCUUACGCUGGUGAAGCUGUUGCUGCACAAACUCAGGAUGAGACUCAUAACUGAGUCAACUCACGUCAACAAUGUAGUACUUAAGAUAUUUCAUGAAUAAAACGUCGUGUCUAUAGUCAUGGAAUGUUCCAGUGACUUUUCUUAUGAGUUUAAGAGCAAAUUAAAGUGAUGAAUAUUAUCUAUAUUCUGCAAAUUCUAAUUUGUUCCAAAUAUCCUGAGUUUUACUUCUGUCAUUACUAUAUAAUAUCGUUAAUUCGAAUUCGAAGAAACACGUAGAACUCAACAACGUACCUGAAGCUUAAUUAGUUGGACAAGGGUCAAUCUUCAUUAAUUUCCCUAAUUAAAUCUGCCUAAUAAACUUUAAUAAUAUCCUUUAUUAAAAAAAAAAUUGAAUAGUAUUAAUAUGUAUGUUUUGAAGAUAUCUUCUAGUAUCUUUUAAUGAUAUAUUUUUAUAGGUACGAAUAUGUAUGUUCUUUGUAUAUAAACAAGAUAAACAGUUUUAAAGAUAUCUUCUAGUGGUUCAUGAUCUCUUUUAACAAGGACAACCUUCUUAUUAUGAAUAGUAAAAUUGUUUUUAUAGAUAAUUUCUCUAUUUUAAAAUAUUUUUAUAUUGAGGGGUGUUGUUUGACAUUACUGUUUAUUCAAAGCUUCUACUUUUAUUUUCUUACUAAAAAUAAUAAUUUUUAUUUAUUUAUAGGAUGAAGGUAAAAAACAAGAUUGAGUAUCAAAGAAUCGGUGCUCUUUUCACAUUGUCCACACGAUGGACUGCGAAAACGGUAUUAAGGAAAAUAAAAUUUUAAUACCAUUUUUUGACACCAUUUUGACACUGUACACGUGUCAAAAUGUGGUUGGACGAUUUCAAAUUAAAAAACAAAUUUUGGUUUUUCUCUUCCAAAUAUACCUCUGCCUCAACUUUUUUAAUUUGAAAUCGUCCAAUCACAUCUUGACAUGUAUGCAGUGUCAAAAUAGUGUCAAAAAAUGGUGUUAAAAUAUGAUUGUCCCGGUAUUAAUUGUACGUUGUGCAGUUAAUAAUGACAACAUAUUUUAUUUAAAAUUCAUUAUGCAAUGUUCUAUGAGAAGAGGUGCAGUUAUUUUGAAGAGAUAAUAUAGUUUAACUUUCAUCUUUAUUUUUCUUAUUAUAUCAUUUAUUUAUUUAAAGAAGUAUUGAGACUAAUCUAUGAAAUUGAGUCAUGGAUACGAGAAGCACUUCUCUUCCAUCAAUUUUGAAAAAUAUGAGUUCGUAAUGUAUAUUUUGACAGAAAAUAAUAAAAAUAAUUAUAUUGUUUUUACGUGUAUAAAAGAUUUUUAUAUAACAAUUAAAACACUUCAAUGGAAGAAAAAUUAAAAAAAAUGACUGAAUUCAGAGUAAAACAAUUACUUUUAAAUUUAUUUGUAGAUGUCAAAACUGAUUUUUCUUGUUACCAGAUACACCUUCUAUUGGGUAUUACAGAAUUUGGUAUUAAAAAUUUAUUCAGAAGUUUAAUAAUAACACUGUGGGAAACAUAUAAGUUUAGGGUGCCGUGUCAUUUUAAAAUUAAACCAAUAUCUUUCAGUAAAAGUUAGGUUUAAACCUCUUAGUUCCCGUUUUUAAAAAUGUAAAUAUUUGGUUCUUAAGUUAUAAAAAAUGUAUCAAAUAAGUCAUUUUUUGACUUAAAAUACUGUUUUUGGUUGUUUCUUAACAACUGCUACAUAUUUAGAUUGCUCUGAUUUGUUUCUUAAUAAUAACAACACUUUAGAUUGCUUUUUGUACUUUGACCAUGAACAUCAAAAAAGGACUCAUUUGAUACAUUUUUUAUAACUUAGGAAUCAAAUGUUUACAAUUUUAAAAGCAAUAACUAAACUGAACAUUCUCUCAUAACUUAAGAACAAAAAGAGGUUUAAACAUAAAAGUUAUUACCUUUAGCUUUUACCGGUGGAAAGACAUGUACGUGUUUGUUGGUCCAUUUUUUUUCUAAUUCUUCUAAAUAUAUUAUUAUAUUACAAAAAUAAAUUUGAUAAAAAAUAACUAAUUUGUACAAUAUUUAUUAUUAAUUUUUUUAUUAUAAAUAAUUAUUUGAAUUUGAAAAAGUAGUUAUUAAAAUAACGAAUAUUAAUUCACAACAUAACUAAAUUUAAAUUAACUAGUUAUUUAAAGGGUAAAAAUGAAAAUGUUGUUAUUUUAGUUUUAAAUAAUAGUUACUUAAAGAAUAAAUUUAGAAUAAAAUGUGUAUGGGUAAAAAUUGAAUUCCUUAAUAUAAUUUUUUAUUAACUACUUGUCUAAUAUAUAUUUGAAUUGAUGUUACUUAUAUUAAUAUAAACUAGUGAAGAUACGAAUGUGUGUUCAGUUUUUCUAUAAUAAUUAAAAAUAAUUUUUAUCUUUAUUGUAAAUACAAAUAAUUUUUAUAAUUUUAUUGUAAAUAGUUCUAAUUUAUUUUGUUGGUGGUUUAGAAUUAAAAAAAUGGUUAAAUUUUAAAAAUGACAAAUGAGAAAAAGAAAAUUAAAUUUUUUAAAAAAAAAAAUUGAGUUGAACUUGGGUUGGGAUGAGUCAAGUCCAACCAUUUUAAAUCAGGGAUAAAUCCAAAUUAAGUUAAAUUGAUCAAAUUAAAAAAAGUUUGAUUGAUCAUACUUUUUCAAUUAAGUUACAAAUAAUAAAAAUUAAUUAAGAACCAAUUUAUAAUUAAUUUAAACAUUUUAAAAUUAAUUUGCAAUUUAAAAUAUUAUAAAAACUUAUACAAUUUUAAAAAAAAAUUUAAGAGUUAAUUAAAAUCUUAUUAUAGAUGAAAUCUAUUUUGUCUAUAACCUAUGCUAUUUGAAUUAGAAUGAUUGUCUAAUUUUCAUAAUUCGGUAUGGAAUACAUGAUUGUGAUUUAAUGACUUCAACAAAUGAAUGUUAUAUGGUUAAACUUUUGAUAUUAGUAUAAUAAUUGGUAAAAGUAAAGGAGUUAACUUGUCUUAUUUGUAUAAUAUUGGUUUAAUACAUCAUUUGGCCCCUUUUUUUAGGAGUUUGGUUCAAAAUGAUCCCACAUUUGGAAAAAGUUCACUAAGAUCCCAUAUUUCAUUAAAAAUUGUUGAAUAUCGUCCUUUUGACAGACAACGUUAAAAUCGUAACGGUGCAGACACUAGCGUGGCGAAACAUUAGUAAGUUGUUUAAAACGAAGCUUACGUGGUUCUGUGGACUGAAGUGAGUUGGCAGAAAUGGCUUAAAGUUGAGGUUAUAAAAGGGGUGGGUUAGGGUUCGUUGAAGUUAGGGUUCUUUCAUGUUGUUAACUUUUUUUAACAGAGGUUGUGGGAUACAAAUGGCUUCUUCUCAAGGAUUUUCUUCUUGUUCCAAAACAGGGUGGGAAAGAAAUUCACAAUCCGCAAAUGAUGGUGGUUGGAGGGGAGGUGGGAUAAUCCCUCAUUACAAGUGUGGUGAUUAUGCUGUGACCAAAGUGGCGAGAACUCCUCAAAAUGCUAGGCGGAAAUUUUGGGGAUGUCGUCAUUACAAGGUUUUAUAUUUCCCUUUUCACUUUAUUUGGAAUAUAUUUGUUCAUAGAUUGAUGAGCAAAUUUCAAUUUUGGUGGCUUAUUUGGUGCAUAACAGGGUGGAUCUUCAAGAGGAAUUUAUUGUAACUUUUUCAAAUGGUGUACUGAAAAAAAUAAUGAGGAAAGAGAUGAUGGAAGUGUCAGACAAAGGAGGAGGAUUUGUGAUUUGGAAAUUUUAGUCCUAAACUUGCAUAGAAGGAUGAAAUUGUUACUUGGAGCUAUGUGUGUUGUUAUUGUAGUUAAUAUUUUCAUUCUAAAGGUCUGUUUAGGUUGAUCUUGGUAUGUGGCUCAAUGUUUUGGUUUGGUAUGUGGCUCAAUGUUUUGGUUUGGUAUGUGGCUCAAUGUUUUGGUUGAGGUGUAAGACAAUAUUUAUGUUGAUAUGAAUGUGAAGGUGAAGCUGAAUGUUGACAUUGAAGUGUAGCUGAAUGUUUUUGUUCAUGUAAUGUCAAGGUCUAUGUAAUGUGAAGGCGUUUAUGUGAAAUGUUAAAUAUAGUAUCUGCUUUCAUUUUAAAAUGUCCAAUGUGGUCCCAAAUUGUAUUUAAAUUUGUUUACUUUUGGUCCCAAAUGGAUAUGAAAAAUCUCUAAAUCUUUAAAUUACAUUUUCUUGCACCUGCAGUCCACCAUCCACCUCUACUUCAACCUCACUGUCCACUCCACCCUCACUCUCUACUUCAACUUCAACUUGACUCUUCAUUACAAUUUCUUCCUGCACUCUACCAUCCACCUCGUGCACAACAUUUUCUUGCACCUGCAAUCCACCAUCCACCUCGUUUCCACCACUUUCUUCCACUUGUAGUCCACCAUCCACCUCCUUUGCACCACUUUCUUCCACCUGUAGUCCACCAUUCACCUCCUUUGCACCACUUUCUUCCACCUGCAAUCCACCAUCCACCUCCUUUGCACCACUUUCUUCCACCUCCACUCCACUUUCUUCCCUAACCCCCAAAUAAAACAUCAACAACAGCAACUAAUUAGGCUUAGAUAAUGAUCCCUUACCUCACCUCCGUACGAUGUUCCAUUUUCACCUUCAAUGAAUCAACAGUAGAAUGACCACAAAUCACCACUUUCACAACAACCAAGAUCCCAAAAAUGGCGUUAUUAGAUAAGGGUAAAGGUUUUUUUAAUUUAACCUAAUUUUUCUCUUUUUAUUUUAAUCCUUAAUAUUUAAACAUUUAAAUGACUUCAGACAGCCACAUAAGCUUCGUUUUAAACAGCUCACUAAUGUUUCGCCACGCUAGCAUCUGCACCGUUACGAUUUUAACACUGUCUGCCAAAAGGACGAUAUUGAACAAUUUUUAAAGAAAAGCUCACAAGCACUUUUAUGAACUUAUAUUUGCUGUGACAAAGAUCUGGUUCAGUCGAAUACACUGGUAUUGGAUUCGGCUAAGCUAAAAUCUUAGUAUAGAUUUUGUGAACACGUGCUUGAUGAAAUUUUCAGUUGAAAAGAAUUUCAAAGUGUUUUUUCAAGUGUCAGUCGACAUGGUGGAACACCUAUUCGACUGUGUUGUUGUUAUUUUUGGAAUUCUGUUAUACCUACUUGCUCCAACGACUAGUUUUUCAAAAGUUAGUUAAGAUUGACUGACUAAGUCAACUGUCAUGAAUGUGCAUUGAAUUGGUUGACUGAGUAGCCUCUAUGUUGACUGUCAGUUAUAACUGUUUUAAUACAGUCGACUGGAUUAGUAGGGUAUUCGACUGAGAAUGACAGGAAACCUAUAAAUAGAACAGAGCACGAUCUGUUCUGUAAGAAGUAGAGAAAUUUGGUGAUCUAACAUUUUCAUUGUCUUGUUUCAGAGUUAUUUCUCAAUUUUGGAAGCUCCAAGAAUUCUCCAAGAAGACGGUGGUGAUCUUUCUUGAGAGAGAUUCAGAUUGAGGAGCCAAUUGCGCAUACUGUUUGAUCAACAUCUGCACAGAGAAGGUGCUUCUGUUUUGAUCUUGAAGGCUUGACAUCCUGUAAAGACUGUUGCAUUUGAUUGAAGGCUUGACAACGUGGGAAGUGUGAUGUGAUAGGCUUGGCAACCUGUGAAGCGUGCUGUUAUAGGCUUGACAUCCUGUGAAAAGUGCUGGUGACACGUUGAGGAUUGUUCAACGUGGGUGCAGAUUGCAGAAGAGGGGAUUAUUGCUGCAAUUCUGGUUUUGUGUGCAGCAAUAUUUGGUUUUGGGUUAGAGUGGAGAUUUAUAUUUUUGCGUGGUGCUUCUAUAAAUUCCUUGUUGUAAAAACCGCAACCAUUAUAGUGCAUUUGCUUCCAAGGUUGGAACAACACUGGAUGUAGACAUUGUUUGCCGAACCAGUAUAAAAACCAGUGUUUGAUUUUCUCUAUCCCUGCACUCGUUAUUUCAGUCGACUUUAUAUUUAGAGCAGUCAACUAUGUUUUUCCCCUGCAUUGAAAUUUUCAUUACUUGCAUUUCAAGGAAAGAUCAAAAGCUUUGAAUUUUCAUACCAAGAUUGCUUCCAAGGUCGGCCUUCUGUUUACGGAUUUGUCGAACCUCAGACCGUUCAACGUUGUGGUAACACAGCGAAACCAAACAAAGUUAUUUGCAAACAUGGAUGGCUGAGUCAAACAUAGACAUAUACCUUGUGCCAUACAUUGAUGGGUAUGCGUUGUUUUAUGUAAAAGGUAAUUAAAGUUUACUUAAUUAGUUUACUAACUAUUUAUGAUGUUCCAAACAAGGCUCACUGGCAGCUGGGGUCCUCAUUCCCAAAAAAAGUACAGUUGUCUUCUUUUGUUCGCUGCAAAGGAAGAUGAAAAAUGACUUGAAAACCAUCCUUCAAGGGUAAGUGUUUCGCUAAAAAUGACUUUUAAAUUCAUAUCAGCCUUAAUUUUUUAUGAUUUCAUACUUAUAUUCAUAUUACUUUAGGUUUUAAUGUAAAUAAAGUAAUGGGUAAAUCUCGAGGUCAGCUAAAUCAAGUCUUGUAUCCCAAGGUUUGGUGCAUUUAUAGUUUUAAUUCAUUUACUAUGUUAUUCAAUGAUCUUAAUUCUUGACUAUAUUUAGUUUGUCAUUUUAGUGUAACACACAGCUAGAUACAUGGGAAUGUGGGUACUAUGUGAUGUCUUGAAUUAAGACCAUAAUUCGAGCUGGCAUUACAGAUAACUUGAAUGAAGUAAUAAGGCUUACUUUGAAAACAUCAAAAAUCAAUUAAUACUUUUGAACAUAUAUCAAACGAUAAUCAAUAUUUCUUAAUUGUGCAGCGCUUCAACAAUUCAUCUGCUUUAUCCGGAGACAUGAUAAAGUAGCUAAGGCAGGAGUGGACAACUUAUCUUCUCGAAAAGUGGAACUAGAACAAGACUUAUUUUUGUUGUUUUCAAUUACUUAGGUUUAGUUUAAGAUUAUAAUUUCAUUUUUUUGAUCUUUGAUUGAAUUAUAUCUAUUUAUAGCUCAAACAAACAAUUAUUUAUUAUAAACAAUUGUUCUGAGAAUUUUUUUUUGAAUUUCAGGUGUGGUUAUAUUCGAAAAAUAAAAUAUUUAUUAAAAAAAAUACCCAAUAAACGUCGGUUAAUGCAAAACUGACGUCUACAGACGUCAGUCAAUGAACAAAGUGACGUCUAACAAGUAACAGUGGACAAAACAAUCCAGCGUGUACAAACGUCUCUUUUGUUGACCACUAACGUCUAUGUUAACGUCUAUAGUGACUCCACCUAACGUCUCUGUAGACGUCUGUCCUUACUUGACUGAUGUAAAGUUAACGUCACUGGAAUAGACGUCGAUUUUGUAAGUAACAUCAAAAAUUCAAAAUAACCGACGUUAAACAGCAAUUUUACACUAAGACAAUUUCAUCUUGAAUUUAUUAUCUUUUGUUUGAAUUGCUAUUUGAAAAGUUGGGUAAUGUAAAAUGUUUUCCCAAAUUUCUAACUGUGGGAUUUACAUUAGUACAUAAUCAAGGUAGAAAAACCUAAUUUAAUUUAUCUAUGCUCCAUAGGACAAGGAAAAAGGUUUCCCUUCAUUAAAAUAACAUAAAAAUAAUUCUUGAAAGUGUAAAACUUUGUCUUGACUUCAAGUGUUCAUGAGCUAACAAUUCCAUAUAAUCUACUUUAUGCAUAAAGUUAAAGUCCUUAAUUAUUAAAUAAUUAGGUACCAAAUUAAAGUACAAUUAUAUUUGUCUAGGGUAAUUUCUUAUAUCUAUAACAUUAUCAUUUUAUAUAUCAAUUAUGUCAAUGUUAGAAUUGUUUCAACAAAUGUCCCUAGCUAUAAUAUAGUAUUCUUUUUUUUUCUAAAACAAGUGUCAUGUCCUCAAAAGCUCAUGAUUUUUAAUAAUAUUAAUCAUCAUAAUUAGGCUUGCAAUCAAAAACCUUACAACUAAUUCAAAUACAAUGUUAUUAAUAUUAUUGAAUUAUACAAUUAAAUAAAAAACAAAUAUAAAUAAAACAAAAAUUUCUCAUUUGAUUUAGAUUUUCUCUCUAUUCGAGAUAUUAAGUUUGUAAUAAGAUUAAUAAGAAUAGUUAUUCUACAAUAAUGUAAAUCAGUAAAUAAAUCUAUUAAUUUAUAUCGUUACUGAAACAAUAAUUAAUAGUACAUUAAUGCAAAUCAUAUCAUCCUCCAAUUUUGUAAGUAAAUUCUUUUUUUCAACAUAACAUUUCGAGAUACUAUUAAAUACUGAAGUAUAUAAAUAUAUAUUUGCAUUUGUUUCUAUUCCUCAACUCACAAACUCCUUGUGGAUCCUCAAUAUAUUACUGACAUGAUCUUAUACUUUUAUAUAUCGGUAUAGAUAUACAUGUAGACACGUCUAAAAAAAUUAAAGGAUAAUCUAAUAGAACUAUAACAAUCACUAUCAUAAUUCAAAUAUUAUAUACAAAAGUGAAUUAUUCUUUCAUCAUACAAAAUUUUUAGUUAACCAAUCAUCAUAAUAUUAUAUUGUAACUCACCCAAAGAUUCCAUUCUGCUCACAUAUUAUCAUACCAUUCAAUUUCAUACAAUCAUUCACAACAACUUCAUUCAUAUUAUAUUAGCAAUCGUAAAUAUACCAAUCCAUAUACCAAAUAUUUAUAGACACAAUGUUAGACACAAAAUCCAUUGAAUACAAAAUCCAUUGAACGGAGUAUAUACUAGUGUAUAUACUAGUAUAUAUAUAUAUAUAUAUAUAUAUAUAUAUAUAUAUAUAUAUAUAUAUAUAUAUAUNNNNNNNNNNNNNNNNNNNNNNNNNNNNNNNNNNNNNNNNNNNNNNNNNNNNNNNNNNNNNNNNNNNNNNNNNNNNNNNNNNNNNNNNNNNNNNNNNNNNNNNNNNNNNNNNNNNNNNNNNNNNNNNNNNNNNNNNNNNNNNNNNNNNNNNNNNNNNNNNNNNNNNNNNNNNNNNNNNNNNNNNNNNNNNNNNNNNNNNNNNNNNNNNNNNNNNNNNNNNNNNNNNNNNNNNNNNNNNNNNNNNNNNNNNNNNNNNNNNNNNNNNNNNNNNNNNNNNNNNNNNNNNNNNNNNNNNNNNNNNNNNNNNNNNNNNNNNNNNNNNNNNNNNNNNNNNNNNNNNNNNNNNNNNNNNNNNNNNNNNNNNNNNNNNNNNNNNNNNNNNNNNNNNNNNNNNNNNNNNNNNNNNNNNNNNNNNNNNNNNNNNNNNNNNNNNNNNNNNNNNNNNNNNNNNNNNNNNNNNNNNNNNNNNNNNNNNNNNNNNNNNNNNNNNNNNNNNNNNNNNNNNNNNNNNNNNNNNNNNNNNNNNNNNNNNNNNNNNNNNNNNNNNNNNNNNNNNNNNNNNNNNNNNNNNNNNNNNNNNNNNNNNNNNNNNNNNNNNNNNNNNNNNNNNNNNNNNNNNNNNNNNNNNNNNNNNNNNNNNNNNNNNNNNNNNNNNNNNNNNNNNNNNNNNNNNNNNNNNNNNNNNNNNNNNNNNNNNNNNNNNNNNNNNNNNNNNNNNNNNNNNNNNNNNNNNNNNNNNNNNNNNNNNNNNNNNNNNNNNNNNNNNNNNNNNNNNNNNNNNNNNNNNNNNNNNNNNNNNNNNNNNNNNNNNNNNNNNNNNNNNNNNNNNNNNNNNNNNNNNNNNNNNNNNNNNNNNNNNNNNNNNNNNNNNNNNNNNNNNNNNNNNNNNNNNNNNNNNNNNNNNNNNNNNNNNNNNNNNNNNNNNNNNNNNNNNNNNNNNNNNNNNNNNNNNNNNNNNNNNNNNNNNNNNAUUAAAUUACUAUUUUUUUCUCAAAUAUAACAUUAACAAUUAUCAUUUUAUAUUAUUUUAAUAGCUAGGGGUAUUUUGGUAAUCUUUAAUUUCUAUUCAUUAAACAAAUUUUUUAAAUCUAUCAUAUCAAUCAAAUUCUACACUAAUUCUCACAAACUUUACCUUCAAAUCCACUCUCAAUUAUCCACAAAUCCAUUCAAAAAAACAACAAAAAAAUUACCCUCAAAUCUACUCAAAUCCAUUCAAAUCAUCUCUCACAAAUCAUCUCCCCCAAAUCUUACCAAGAGAACACAGCCUUAAGGUUCUGUCUUUAUAUUUGUUGGAUCUAAUCCCUUCCCAUUUAUUUACAAGAUCUACUAUAUCAUCUAAACCACUUAGAUUCUUCCUCUUUGACUUGGGGACACCAUAACUAUAAUGAUAUCUCAAUGACAAAUCAUCAGUCUUUUCUACAUCAUCUGACUUAGCAGGAUGGUUAUUAGUCUCAAAAGCUAACAAUUUAUCAUCUUUCUUCUUCGAUUUAUUGGGAGUACUAGUUAGAUCAUAACAUUUGGAAUAAUGUUUAGAGGAUUCAUUCAAUCCAACUCACUUCCUGCUAAAUUUUUUUAUAAAUUCUUACUAACUUAUCUGUUUUCAACUAUGCAAGUUGACAAAAAUAAUUGCAACUUACACUGGACUUUUUUUAGUUUAACUAAUUUCAAGAUUUUGUUUUUCAAAAUCUAAUGAACUAUAAGUUCUUUUAAUUAUUUUAGCCUGGUGAAAAACACAGUUAUAUAAUAAAAUACUAAUUAAAAUAAUAACAAGAAAAUAAUAACGCUCUUAAACUUGUUUAUUUGUGCGGGUUGCCGGACUUUUAUUUAAUUUUACUAUUCAUUUUAGUCAUAUGAAUAAGUCUCAUUUUAUUUAAAUUUAUUAAUUCUUCUUUAAAUUAAAAUCAAUAAAGAGGAUUGUUAGUAAGAAACUCAAUAAAACAUAAUUCUAAUAUAGUUUGCAUUAUAGGCUAAUCUUCAUUAAAAAUUGUAAAAUCAGGAGAGAAUCAUAUAACAAGAUACCAGACUUAAAAAAACUGUGAUUUUCAAUAAAUUACAAAGAGUGGGUUAAAAAUAAUGAGUUAUCAGUACUUUUAAUUUAAAUAAUAAUCUAACAAAACAUUUACUUGAAAUUCAAAGACCUAAUUCAUCCAAAAUACGAGUUAAAUGCAAUAUCAAAAUUAUCAAAAACCUAAUUCAUCAAAAACAGAUACUAGAUCAGGGCUAUCCUGAUUGAUUGAACAGAUCCAAAUCAACCGCGAAAAAGAAUGAAAAUACACCGAGUCUUUAUAAAGAUGAAUUUAUUGAGUCAACGCAAUUAUACAAAGAGAAGAAAAUUACAACCUAAAGAAUUAUACAAAGAACCCACUACAUGAGGAUUCAGACCUAAAAAAUUAUACAAAAACCUCUUAUUGUCCCGUCGAAUUGUCCCCCGGAUCAGUGAUGACCGGAUUACUUGUAGUCGGAUUAGUGAUGAUCGGAUUACUUGUAGCCGGUUUAGUGAUGACCGGAUUAGUAGGGCAAGGAGUAGUUGGACAACGCGGAGGCCCCUCAUCACUAAGUUUAAUUAAUUCUUUAUAAUACUUACCCGCUUCUUUGUAGAUCUUCAAUGACGCGUUGACCCUGUUUUCUUCCAGACGGAGGAUCGCGGAGUUUAAGUGAACCUUAACAAGAUUCUUAUGCAAUUCUAUUUCCUUAUGGUAGGACUCCAGAUCAGUCAUAUUCGCCAUGAAGAAAAUUGAUAUCAAAGUGUAAGGAUUGUAACUAUUGAUGUUGAAAGAGUAACCAGCGUACAAUAUAUAGAAUGUACAUAACCAGCGUACAAUAAUUAACGUACAAUAAUUAAGGAAAGAAUAUAUCAAUUAUUUAAGACAAAAUCAAUUAUGCAGAAACUAAAUAAGGUAAACUAUAAUCAAAUAUAUUAUUUCCUAUCAUCCCCCUCAAACAAAGCGUGAGAUUUGGUCCAAUGUGAAGUUUGGCUCUGAAGAACUGGAACAAUGGUCUAGGCAGACUUUUAGUGAAUAUGUCUGCUAGCUGGAGAUCAGAAGGAAUGAAUUGAGUGAUGAGUUUGUUAGAUAGAAUAAGCUCUCGAACAAAGUGAUAAUCAAUAUCAAUAUGUUUAGCGCAUUUGUGAGCCACCGGAUUUUGGGAGAGGAAUAUCGCACUCUUGUUGUCACAAAGAAGAGUUGGCGCUUGAUGGGAAAUAUGCAGAUCAUGUAGAAGAUGAGUAAGCCAUAUUAGUUCAGCUGCAGCAUUAGCCAUGACUCUGUAUUCUGAUUCACAACUUGAUCGAGCUACAGUUGGUUGAUUCUUAGCACUCCAUGAGACGAGAUUACCGCCUAAGAAGAUGGAAUAACCAUAGGUAGAUCGCCUAGUCUCAAUACAUCGAGCCCAAUCAACAUCCAAGUAUCCAAGAACAUUAAGGAAAGCUCCACGGGUAAAGGAUAGGCCAUAAGACAUGGUGCCCUUGACAUAUCGAAGGAUGCGUUUAACUGCUUGAAAGUGAUCAUUUGUUGGAGCUUGAAGAAACUGAUUAACCAAAUUUACCGCAUAGGACAAGUCAGGACGAGUUAUAGUGAGAUACUGGAGUGCACCAACGAGAGAGCAAUAUUGAGUGGGAUCAGAGAAUGGAUCUCCUGUGGUUGUCAGUUGAAUAUGAGGUUGGAGAGGUGUGGCUGUCGGUUUUGCAUCCAAUAUCUGGGCCUUAGAUAAAAUGUCUUGAGCGUAUUUGGUCUGGCUAAGAAAGACACCAUUGGUAAUGUAGUGGACCUCGAGACCAAGAAAGUAAUUUAGAUGGCCUAAAUCCUUGAUAGCAAACUCAGUUUUGAACCUUGCCAAAAGUUUUUGAAGUAAAGAAUUAUUAUUCCCUGUCAAAACUAUGUCAUCAACAUAAACAAGUAUAUAUAGAGUGGCAGCAGUGUUGUGGUAGACAAAUAAAGAUGGAUCUGCCUUGCUUCCGAGGAACCCAAGACUGAGCAAAAACGAGCUGAAAGACUAAGCAAAAACGAGCCGAAUCGUUGAAACCAUGCAAGAGGGGCCUGUUUGAGGCCAUAAAGAGCUUUCCAAAGUCGACAAACAUGAUUUGGGUAUCGAGGAUCAACGAACCCAGGAGGUUGUUCCAUAUAGACAGGAUGUGUCAGGUGCCCAUUCAAGAAUGCAUUGUUGACAUCCAAUUGAUGAAGAGGCCAAUUAUUCAUUACUGCUAGAGUGAGAAUGACACGAACAAUGGCAACUUUAACAACAGGACUGAAGGUGUGAUCAUAGUCAAGACCAGGUGUUUGAGUGAAGCCUUGUGCAACCAACCGUGCUUUUAAUUUGUCAAUUGACCCAUCUGAAAGAUAUUUGGUGCGAAACACCCAUUUGGAUCCUACAAUGUUGGUGUUGGAUGGGCGUGGGACAAGAUCCCAAGUAUUGUUGGAGUGUAGGGCCAGGAACGCUUUAUGCAUAACAUCCAACCAACCAGGAUGUUUUGUAGCGGAUUUGAAUCCUUUGGGUGUAGAAGUGGUGAGCAGAGCAUAAAGAAGAGAAGAUGGUUGGUAGGUGGUAAUGUCAACAAAAUGACGAGGCCUAAAAAUACCUGAUUUGGCGCGUAUGACCAUAGGAUGAGUAGACUAAACACUACGGUGUAUUUGUGGUUUAGUAUCAGGCAUGGAAACAGAAGUUGAAGGAGUAUCUUCAGUAGGACAUAGACCACAAGGUGUGGUUGGUGAGUGCACAGUUUCCUCGGAUAGUGGCAAAGAAGAAGUUGGUGCAGGAGCUGGAGUAGGAAUUUCAGGUGUUGAGGCUGGUUCAACAAAUGAAGAAAAACCCAAUCCGGAAAUUGGAGAUCUAGUUCCUGUUUUUGAAUACGAAAAAUAAAGUUCAUCAAACUUGGCGUGUCUUGUUACAUAUAACCGGGAGGUUGAAGGAUCCAAACAUUGAAAUCCUUUAUGGUUGCUGUUGUAUCCAAGAAAAAUACAAGGUGCACUGCGAUGAGACAAUUUGUUAGUGGCAUAGUCACGGAGACAAGGAUAAACCCGACAACCAAAAGGAUGAAAGUNNGCAUAAUUAGNAGGNGUAUUAUAUAAGGUCUCANAUGGAGAAACANCAUUUAGAAGAGUGGUCNGUAACCGAUUUAUGACAUAAACAGCACAACAAAAAGCAUGUAGCCAAUAAUGAGCAGGGAGAUGUGAAUGAAAAAGCAUUGCAAGGCCCGUUUCAGUGAUGUGACGAUGUUUGCGUUCAGCUCUACCAUUUUGGGCUGGUGUAUGAGGGCAAGACAUAAGAUGAAGAAUUCCAGCUUCAUUUAGCAAGGUCUUGACUUUGUUAUUGUUGAAUUAUGUGCCACCAUCACUUUGGAAAGUUUUUAUAGUUUUAUGAAACUGAUUUUCAACAAAUUUCUUGAACUGGACAAAUACAUCAUAAAAAUCAGAUUUCAGGUGCAUUGGAUAUAACCAAGUGAAUCUAGAAUAGUCAUCAAUGAAAAUCACAUAAUAUCGAAACCCAAAUUUUGAACAAAUGGGAGCAGGUCCCCAUAAAUCACAAUAAAUUAAAUCCAGCACAUGCGAUGUGCGUUUAUCAUUUAGGGAAUAAGGUAGUCUUUUGCUUUUAGCUAAUUCACAAGAGUCACAAAUGGAAGGAGUUGGUAAAAUAGAAGAUAAAGACAAAAGACCUCUUUUUCUUAAAUGGGAAAUAGUAUCAAAGUGAACAUUGACCGAAACGAUAAUGCCACAAUUCAAAUGAUCCUCGUAGCUUAUUUGAAUUUAAAACAGAAACAAAGGCAUUUUGACCAUGCUCCAAUACAUAUAAGUUGUGCUCACGCCUCCCUUUUGCUAGAAUUUCCUUUGUACCCCUUUGCUGAAGCAGAAAAGAUGUGUCAGUAAAGAUAACAUCCAUAGGAAAGUCACGUGUAAGUUUGCUAAUUGAAAUGAGAUUCUUUUGGAGUCCAGGCACAACAAGAAUAUCAAGAAGGUUUAAAGUAUUUGUCAAACGAUGAGAUCCAAUAUGGGAAAUGGGGAGAGCAUUACCAUUUCCAACAGUAAUUGUGUGAUUACUAGAAUAAGGCUCAAUUGAGUCUAAAUCAGAUGAAUUUGCUGUCAUGUGCUCCAGUAUCGAGGUACCAAUCAGAUUGGUUUGAAUUUGAUAGAGUGCAAGAAUUUGCAAAUGAUUUAGUAAGAUUGGCAGAUUGAGGUGGGCCACCUUCAUAACGUUGAUGGCAAGAUGUGGCAUAAUGACCUUCUAUUCGGCAGAUUUGGUAAUAGAUAGGACGACGUCCUCUACCGCGACCACCACGACCUGAGUAUUGGUAACCACGAACUGUUUUGCCAUUUGAGAAAGAACGCGACCCAGAUUGAAAACGUGUAUUGGAUGAUUGAGAGGAACGUUGAGUAGUGGUAUUAAAAGCAACUUGAGAGGGAGUAGAUUCAACGGCAUGUAAAUACAUUUCAAAAACUCUCGGCAGCAGAAAGAAGAUCACGAAAAACAGGCAGUGGUCGCAUGGCUAAUUGAGAUGCACCAAAGCUAGUGAAAGUUGGACCUAAACCCCCGUAAAAACCAGUGUAAUAUAUCUAAAUCAUCCACUGGUCUACCCAUAAGGCUGAGUUGAUCACAUAAGCCUCGAAACGUUUUAGAAAACUCCCUAACAGUGGAUGAACCUUUUGUAAGGUGCAACAGUUGAUCUCUGAUCCCAAUUUCUCUUUGCUUGGAGUCACCACCGUAGAGGGAUUCAAGGGUAGUCCAGAUCUGUUGUGCGGUGUCACAGUGCGAUAUUUUAGCUAGAGUCUCUUCAGUAAGGGAGGCCUGAGGAAGACUUACAAGUCUUUGAUCUUGUUGUUUCCACGUGAUAAAGGCUAGAUUAGGAACCGUCAAAGAUCCAUCAGCAGCAGGCAAUUUCAUAGGAGGAGUUAUGAUUGAGCCAUCAAUAUGACCAUAAAGGGCCUAUCCUUCGAGAAGAGGAAGGAGCUGACGACGCCAGAGAAUGAAAUUGGUUGAGGUGAGGCGUAUGUUUAACAUGUGGAUCAUGGUGUUAAAGGAAAAAACACCAUCAAUAUUAGCCAUAGGGAAGAAAAGAAAAGAAGAAUGGAUAAGGAAGGAUCGAAAUUAGGCUGAUACCAUGUAAGGAUUGUAACAAAUGUGUUUUUAUUGAUGUUUAAAUAGUAACCAGUGUACAAUAUAUAGAAUGUACAUAACCAGCGUACAAUAAUUAAGGAAAUAAUAUAUCAAUUAUUUAAGACAAAAUCAAUUAUACAGAAACUAAAUAAGGUAAACUAUAAUCAAAUAUAUUAUUUCCUAUCACAAAGAAACAAAGAAGACGAACUCUCCACAAUUAAUGUUUCAGCACGGAGGGCAGCAAGAAGAAUGAUGAAAUUGGUGGACAGUUGAUGCUUCAGCACGGAGGGUAGCCAAAAAAAAUGAUGAAAUUGGUGGACAGUUGAUGCUUCAGCACGGAGGACAGCCAAAAGAAUAAUGAAAUUGGUGAAGGUAAAGACUCAUAUAAAUGCAUUAUAUAACAAGGUUUAGACAGAAGCAAUAAUAAUUUCAAAAAAAAAAAUUCUAAUCAAAAUAAGGUUGAAACAAUAAAAUAUAACAGUUUCAAAGUCUACUCGGAGAACCUGCUGAAACAAUAAAAUAUAACAAUUAGAUAAAGUAAUAAUUACCUUUCUUCAUCAACUCGCAGUAAACAAUAUAAUAUUCAUAUUAAAAGGAUGGUCAAUGUCGGGAAAUAUUUGAGAUAAAUUUUUAGUUUUAUAUUUUUUCUUUUUAUAACUUUUUUUUUUGUAAAUUAAUAUUUUUAUUUGAACUUUUAAUAAAAUAAGAAUGUAAUUUUGUAUCAAUUAUAUAUUUUAGGAAGAAAAAAUUGGAGUGUUACACCAAAAUGCUCUUAUAACAUUUUGAAUUUUUUUCAUAAUUUUUAUUUUAAAUUAUAUAUAUAUAUAUAUAUAUAUAUAUAUAUAUAUAUAUAUAUAUAUAUAUAUAUNAAGAAGAGUUAAAAAUAAAUAACAUUCGAAACUGUUUCAUAAUACUAACAUAAAUAAUUUUUACUUAUUAAGAAGAGUUAAAAAUAAAUAACAUUUGAAACCGUUUCAUAAUACUAACAUAAAUAUUUUUGCUUAUUAAAAUAUAUUAAAAAAAAUUAAUAUCAACUUUAGUAACAUUAAAACUUAACCGAUGUUAAUUAUAUUUAAAACUAAUUUAAUAUUUUCUGAAAGAUAAUAUUUUUCCUGAAAAAGAAAAAAGAUUAGAAGUGAAGAGAGAGAGAGAGAGAGGAAUAGAGAAAGCACAUUCCACACUUUUAUGAAAAAAUAAAAAAACAACAUAAAAAGAUUAGAGAAUGGAAGAAAGAAUGGGUCUUCGACAGGUUGUCGCAUUAAAGAUAACGUAAUAAACAUAGACUAAUAACGUAAAUUUCUAAACAAAUACAAAUUUAGUCUAACUUGUACAAGCUUUUAAUUGUUUAUGGUAAAAGUUAAGAAAUAGAAUUUAAGUUUAAUUUAAUUUUAGACAUAAUAAUAAUUAAAAAAAUAGAAUUUAAAUUUAACUUAAUUUUAUGAAAAAAAUUUAAUAUAUAUUUUAGGUUAAGAUAUAUAUAUAUAUAUAUAUAUAUAUAUAUAUAUAUAUAUAUAUAUAUUUAAAAAUAGAAAACGAAUUUGAGAAUCUCGAAAUUUCAAAUUCUCAAACACCAAAUGAAUAUGGUUUUUAAUUUGUUUUCAUUUCAAAGCAACUACAAUAUUUUUAGCAAAAAUAUGAUUGAAAAAAAAAAAUCUGAAAACAUUAAGUUCACUUAUAAGAUUAACUACAAAAAAUUGAGUUAAAUUUUAAGGAGAAGAGUAUUUUAAAUAUCAAAAAUAUGUUUUAAUAUUUAAAUCUUAUAUUAUACAUUCCAUAAAUAAUAUUUGAAGAAUUUUGCAAAAUUAUUUUAUGACAACUAUUUUAGAAAAUAAAAUUUUAUUGUAGUUAAAUUUAAUCUGUUAACUUUUAUUAGUAAAUUUUAAUUAAGUGAAUUUUUGAAUUAUAAAUUUUAGAUUAAAUGAAAUAAAUUAUUAAUAUGUUUUUAAAAUUGUAAAUUAGUAGCAAGUCAAAACAACCAUCAUAUAAAAUUAUUUUGUUUAUUUAAUAAUUCUUAAUAAUUUAUAUUAUAUUUUAUUGAUAAAAAUAAAUAUUAAUUGUUGUCGGGGACCAUUCUGCUGCAACAAUUUAAAACUAUUCAUAAUCUUGAAAGCUAACUAAUGGUACCUAAAACAUAAAUAAAUAUUAAAAAAUUAUAAAUAAAUAAUUAUAAUUUCUAGUUUUGUUAAUUGAUUUUACUUGUAAAAUCAUUUGUUAUUGUGUAAAAUGAUGAUAGUAGUUUUACAUGAGACAAAUUAGGAAUAAGCUAAUUAUAAUAAUCAUCGCAAUGAGACUAUUAUUUUAGUUUUAAAAUAAUUCAAUUAUAUAAAUAGAAUUUUUUAAACUCAUUUCAUUAUCUAAAAAAUAAAUUAUCUCUUUAAAAACUUGUUCCUUGAGUUUUUCUACCUUCUCUCUAAGAAAUCUAAUUCCUUCAGCAUUUGUUUAACGAUUAAGAAGUGUCUAAGAGAUCACAACCGAGUAAUCUUCAUUCCUAUCUGAUCAGUUUCUGGUUUAGAGUAAGUAAGUUUUUACCUUUUUUUCCUUUUGUUCUCCAUCUAUGAUCAUGCUUAGGAACCCCUUCACAUGUCAUUCAUACUCUAUUCUUGGUUCUUUGUUAAUUUUUUGUCCUAAGGACUUCAAUCAUGAUUUUGUGAUUUAUAGACAUUUUUAGAGUUUUCUUGAGCUCGUAACAAAGGUAGUGUAUCGUGUAGAGCUUGAUACUGUCCUCUCUAAAGUAAGAGAAGCUAGUGUUUGUAUUUAAAUUGAAUUAUAAUGUAUGAAAUUGUAACUAAGGGUAUGUAUUUUGUUGUAUAAAUGGUUGGCUAUGUAUAAAAAUGCUUGUUUUAGUGUUAAUUGUCGUUUAUUGAGGAUAAUGAAUGGAUAAUGCUUGAUGCUUUGUUUGAUUUAUGUUUGAACUUGGAAUAACCUUGUGAAAUGCAAUUGGUAUGAUGAUAUCAAUGUUAAUUUUGGUUAAAAUAUUAAGAGGAAAGGUAUGAGUAGAAUUAUAGGUCAAUUUUGUGUGUAUUGAGAGGUGAUUUUCUGAAAUAUUGGUUUAAUGUGAGAAUUUGUGGUUUGGGACAAUUAAUUUAGCCUUUUGUGAUUUGUUUAGGAUGAGAAUAAACUUAUAUGUGUUUUAGAAUGGAGUGGUAGUCAUUGUUAGUGUGUUUGCCAUAUCGUUUAAAGUGUAUUUUUGGGGUUUUAAAAGGCGAGUUUUUGAGAUAAUGGUUGGAUGGGAAAACCAGAAGUUUAGGGUCAGUUUUUAAGUCAAUUAGGACUUGUUUAAAUAUUGAGUUAGGCAGUGGAUCUAAUACUUGGUUCAUAUGUUGAUCUUUUCUGUCGCGUUUUAGUCAAUUUUAGAGGUUCUAACUGGUGAAAAUCUAAAGUAUAGGGGUUGUGAUGAAAAUGAGGUGUUGGGGGUAUGUUAUCGAGUCUAUUAUGACUUGUUCAGACCUCUAAUUUGCAUAAUUUGGUGUUAGAAGGUGUAGAUUUGAGUUUGGAUACUUUUGGAGAUGUCAUAUGGCUUAAUGCACCUAGUUAUGGGUCUAAUGAUCAAAUGGGUACUUAGUUUUACACAUAAACGUGUUUUCAUAUAAACUUUAAUGUUUAAAGAACUAAUUUGAUCAUUCAAAUAAGUCUCAAGUGCAUCAAAACCAUAAAACAUAGUGUGUUGUCAACUAAUAACUGAAUUAAGUUGUAUAUAUAUAAUUCUAAAUUGAAAUUGAUAUAUAAUCGUAAUUUUAGUGUGUUAUUGUUAAAUUCUCGCUGAAGCGAGAAUAACAUUGUAACUUAGUCCAAUUUUUGUCAAAUUCUCACUUAAGCAAGAAUACCAUUGCAACUUAACCCAAUGUGUGUCAAAUUCUCACUCAAGUGAGACAAUUUCACCAAAGUGACAAUAUACUCGCUCAAGUGACACCCUAUUUUCUAUUUUGAGUUAUCUUGCAAAAAUUAGGAUUUCCGCUUCGUUAAUCAUCAGAUCAAGUUGAAAUUUUGACAAUUGGUUCUAGACAUAUUAUUCUUUAUUUUGACUUUUCAGAUCUUUGAUUAGAGGUAUAUAUUGAGUGCAAUUUUCACAUAAGAUUCUCUUAGUGUAGGUUGUUGGCAACUUUCACUUCUGUUGCUUAUUUAAUACAUAACAUUUUUCUUAAUAAUACAAUUAAGUUUAUUCUUUUUGCAUUGCAUUCCUUAUUGGAUUAUGUUUAAUUUGAAUGUAAGAAUACAAUUUUUUAUGUUUUGUGGUUGAGGAAAUAAAUUUUUUAGUUUUGUUGUAAUUAAUAAAAACAAAAUGGUGUACAACAUGCCUCUAUUGAGUUAAAUGAUAUGCAAUGAGUUUGGAUGCAAGUCAAGUAUCUUCUAUGGAGUGUUCUGACUUGGAAGAGUUUUCGUUUGAUAUAAAUAUACCUAUAUGUUUGUAGUUAAUAGUAUUAUUGUUGUGAAGAAUUCAUAAGUUUUACAAAUUGAGAUUUUAGGAUUGAUUAUUGAAUAUGUGAACGAAUGGAAUAUGAUUUUAAGUUUGUGAUUUAGUUCUGAAUUGUGAAAUUGUAUUUUACUAAGAAGAAAAACUAGUGUGUAGAAUUAUUGUGUGGUUUAUAAAUGAAAAUAUAUGUGCUUGAGAUUGUCCUGACUAGUGAGUCGAUGGUGAUUCAUAUCUAGAUAGUUGGUUGAGGAAUAUGAAUUUUUCCUACCAUUUCAUAUGAAUCGGAUGUUAUUCAUACAUAUUUUGAUUAUGACUUCUGGGUGCAAAAGAAAUUUCAUGUGGAUUGAGUGCGAUUCAUACAUAUUUUUGUUUUGACUUCUAAGUGCAGAAAAAAUCUCUUGUGGAUCGAGUCUGGUCUAUAUAUAUUUUAGUUAUGACUUUUUGGUACAGAAGAAAUUAACAUAUGAUAGGUGCAUGAUCUUUUAAUACUAGUAUAUACUCAGUUCAAUGGAUUUUGUGUCUAUAAAUAUUUGGUAUAUGGACGGGUAUAUGUACGAUUGCUAAUAUAAUAUGAAUGAAGUUGGUGUGAAUGAUUGAUUGUAUGAAAUUGAAUGGUAUGGUUAUAUGUGAGGACAAUGGAAUCUUUGGGUGAGUUACAAUAGUAUUAUGAUGAUUGGUUAACUAAAAAUUUUGUAUGAUGAAAGAAUAAUUCAUUUUUGUAUAUAAUAUUUGAAUUAUGACAGUGAUUGUUAUAGUUUUAUUAGAUUAUCCUUUAAUUUUUUUUAAAUGUGUCUACCUGUAAUGAUUACAAGAGUAUAAGAUUACGUGGAUAGUAUAUUGAGGAUCCACAACGAGUUUGUAAGUUGAAGAAUAGGAAUAAAUACAAACAUAUAUUUAUAUACUUCAAUAUUUAAUAGUCUCUUAUUUGUAUGAAAUAUUAUGUUGAAAAAAAGAAUUUACUUGCAAAAUUGGAGGAAGAUAAAUACUCAAUAUAUUAAUUUGCAUUAAUGUACUAUUAAUUAUUGUUUUAGUAACGAUAUAAAUUAAUAGAUUUAUUUACUGAUUUACAUCAUUGUAGAAUAACUAUUCUUAUUAAUUUUAUUACAAACUUAAUAUCUCGAAUAGUGAGAAAAUCUAAAUCAAAUGAGAAAUUUUUGUUUUAUUUUUAUUUAAUUGUAUAAUUCAAUAAUAUUAAUAACAUUGUAUUUGAAUUAGUUGUAAGUUUUUUGAUUGCAAGCCUAAUUAUGAUCAUUAAUAUUAUUAAAAAUCAUGAGCUUUUGAGGACAUGACACUUGUUUUAGAAAAAAAAUAAAAGAAUACUAUAUUAUAGCUAGGGACAUUUGUUGAAACAAUUCUAACAUUGACAUAAUUGAUAUAUAAAAUGAUAAUGUUAUAGAUAUAAGAAAUUACCCUAGACAAAUAUAAUUGUACUUUAAUUUGGUACCUAAUUAUUUAAUAAUUAAGGACUUUAACUUUAUGCAUAAAGUAGAUUAUAUGGAAUUGUUAGUUCAUGAACACUUGAAGUCAAGACAAAGUUUACACUUUCAAGAAUUAUUUUUAUGUUAUUUUAAUGAAGGGAAACCUUUUUCCUUGUCCUAUGGAGCAUAGAUAAAUUAAAUUAGGUUUUUCUACCUUGGUUAUAUACUAAUGUAAAUCCCACAGUUGAAAUUUGGGAAAACAUUUUACAUUACCCAACUUUUCAAAUAGCAAUUCAAACAAAAGAUAAAUAAAUUCAAAGAUGAAAUGUCUUAUACAUCAACAACUAUAGAGUGCCAAAAACAUAAUUGUGUUCCUCUAAUGUAAAUCCCAUGUAAUUUUCGUUUUUCCCUUUGAUUUUUUUUUUUGCUAAUUUGUGUUUACGAUUGGCUUGAAAAAAAAAAUCAUCAAAAGAUUUUUGUUUCAUGUUUUAAAAAGUCGUAGUAAAAUCUUACUCAUGUUUAAGAAACAUGUCAUAAAAGUUAAUGAUUAUUCAUUCUUUUAGUGAUAUAAAUAUUUAUUAACUGCUUUCACAAUAUUCUUUUUUUUUUCUUACAAAUUUAUUGCUUUUAUAUAUAAAUUUAAGCAUUUCAAGUGUUCUUUAUAUAUAUAUAUAUAUAUAUAUAUAUAUAUAUAUAUAUAUAUAUAUAUAUAUAUAUAUAUAUAUAUAUAUAUAUGAUUUCUUAUCAGUAAUAAGGAAUAUAUAAAUAAAAAGUAAAACGUUAAGAAUGUCUUAAUCCUUGUAAAAAACUAUUAAUAGAUAUUGGCAAAGAGGUUCUACAAUGAUAAAAAAAAAAUCACUUUAAAUCAAUUUGCAAUAUUUUCAACCAAUGAAAAUCACUACAUACGUGUUCUACAAUUGAUAAUAUCAAUAGUACUGUUGUUAACCCCCAGAUAUUGUUAACCCCCAGAUUUUUUAUAUAUAUUAUUAGAUUGAUUAAUAAAACAAAUUGUCUCAUCGUAUAAAUAUACUGUACUAAUACAGGUAUCUAAAAAAAUAAUUAUAAUAAUAAAAUAUAUCUAACACAAUUAAGGAAAACUAUAAGAAAGAAUACUCCAUAACAUCAUCGUCCUCCACAAGAGAUACUUCAACAUUAAUUCUUCGUCUGCUUAUACCAAUAAAGUGAUAAUUGCAAAGGAAUCAAACAAACAUAUAAAAAAAAUAUAAAAGAAAAGCAACAUUGUAAGUUAAUGUUUAGAAGAGUUUACAUAAAACAAGGAUAGAGAUAUUAUCUUAUAUAACUCAUCAAUAAAAAUAAUCAUAUCAUAUAUAAGGACUCAUACACGACUCAUACUAAACUCAAUUAUCCAAAUAUAUAUAUUGGUAUCAUACUUUGCAGAAUUAUGUGUUAAUUGGAGGAGUCAUUCAAUCCAAGUAACUAAAAAUGGUCAACAUGUUCUUGACUUGGUUUGAUGAUUGAACGAUUGAUUUUUAUGAUGUUGAAUAAUAUUUCAGGUUUCAUAAACAACUUGUUAAAUUAUGAUUAAUUGUAUAUGUUAUCAAUCUAUCUUAAUUAUAUGAUGAUAUAUUCUUAGGAGUAAAAUUGUCAAAAAUCAGUGCCUUACUCUCUAUUUUAUUCGAUUAAGAAAAUAAUCUAAUUGAUUAAAAUUUGAAAUUUCAAGGUAUCUAUAACUUAAAAUUAGUGUAAUUAGCUUUGCUUACUUGACCAACAGAUGACAAGAUCCUUACUAGCGAACUUCUCCUAACUUAUGGAAUGCUCUAUCUACACAAAACAUCACAAGAACAAUAAUAACAUAUCGUUCCGAUCACUCAUCAACAAAAAUUCAUAUAAAUGACUAAAAAAAUGCAUUCAUGUGAAAGAUGUCUCACAUGCAAUAGAUAAUAGAAAAAAACCAAAAAACAAAAGUUGAAAUUCAAUUUACAUAAGAAAAAAAGAAACUGAUUGGUUCAAAUGUAAGAACUCGUCACGAGGAUUAAUUCAAUAAUUUUGAUUCUUCAAUCAUACGAACAGAGAUGAAGAACUCUUAUAAAGAAAUUAAAGAACUCUAAAAAAGUGGUUUCUAUAGGGAUGAAGUAUUUUAAAAUAAUAAAUCUCGUUUAUAAUAAAGUAUUUACGUUUAAAUUUUUAAAUAUUAAAAUACUCUAAUCUCAUUAAUUUUAAAUCACUAUCAUUUACAAAUGUCAUUUUUUAAGUCUUUACAUGAUACUAAAAAAGAAUUUCUAUUACAAAGUCUCUAUCUCCAACAAAAUAAAAUAUGAAAAAAAAAAUUGAUAAAAAGUUGUAAUAAAUAAAUAUAUGUUAAGUAGAUAAGUAAUAAAUAAAUAUAUGUUAAGUAGAUAAGUCUGAAUAAAGGAAAUAUAGAAAAGUGAGUGGAUCAAAGAGAUGUGUGUGUGGUUGAAGGAGAUAUGUAUGGUUAAAAAAGAUAAAAUUGGAUAAAGAAAACCAAUGUGAAUAAACUUAGUGAGAGAGAAAAUUUCUUUGAAAUAAAAUUUUUAUCCUAUUUAAAUCUAAACUUUUUGAUUAAAAAUAAUAUACUUUCUUUGAUGUUAUUAUAAAGAUGUACAAAGUCAUAACAUACAAAUUAGCAUUUGACUUAAUCAACAUUAACUUAAGUAAAUAUAAAUAUUAAAGUUAAAUAAAAUUAAGAUUAAUUAGUUAAGUGUUAACAUUAUUUAUUUAUAACAUUUAUUAUAAUUAAUAACAGUAAAACCAACAUUAUUCUAUUACACUAACAUAAAUAAUUUUUACUUAUUAAGAAGAGUUAAAAAUAAAUAACAUUCGAAACUGUUUCAUAAUACUAACAUAAAUAAUUUUUACUUAUUNNNNNNNNNNNNNNNNNNNNNNNNNNNNNNNNNNNNNNNNNNNNNNNNNNNNNNNNNNNNNNNNNNNNNNNNNNNNNNNNNNNNNNNNNNNNNNNNNNNNNNNNNNNNNNNNNNNNNNNNNNNNNNNNNNNNNNNNNNNNNNNNNNNNNNNNNNNNNNNNNNNNNNNNNNNNNNNNNNNNNNNNNNNNNNNNNNNNNNNNNNNNNNNNNNNNNNNNNNNNNNNNNNNNNNNNNNNNNNNNNNNNNNNNNNNNNNNNNNNNNNNNNNNNNNNNNNNNNNNNNNNNNNNNNNNNNNNNNNNNNNNNNNNNNNNNNNNNNNNNNNNNNNNNNNNNNNNNNNNNNNNNNNNNNNNNNNNNNNNNNNNNNNNNNNNNNNNNNNNNNNNNNNNNNNNNNNNNNNNNNNNNNNNNNNNNNNNNNNNNNNNNNNNNNNNNNNNNNNNNNNNNNNNNNNNNNNNNNNNNNNNNNNNNNNNNNNNNNNNNNNNNNNNNNNNNNNNNNNNNNNNNNNNNNNNNNNNNNNNNNNNNNNNNNNNNNNNNNNNNNNNNNNNNNNNNNNNNNNNNNNNNNNNNNNNNNNNNNNNNNNNNNNNNNNNNNNNNNNNNNNNNNNNNNNNNNNNNNNNNNNNNNNNNNNNNNNNNNNNNNNNNNNNNNNNNNNNNNNNNNNNNNNNNNNNNNNNNNNNNNNNNNNNNNNNNNNNNNNNNNNNNNNNNNNNNNNNNNNNNNNNNNNNNNNNNNNNAAUAACUUAUUUUUAUAUAUAUUGUAAAGUAAUUUUGUUUUUUAAUCGGAUUUUGAAAAGUAAAUAUAAAUAAUAUUAUGAUGUGAAAAUAGGAGUAGGUGUCCACUUUGAUAACAUUGGAUGAAGUCAUGCACAAUAAUGGCUUGGUUUGAAUUCCACGGCCUACAAUUUUUACAUUGAAAAAUGAAGAAGUCGUUAGAAAAGAAUGAAUUGCUACGCUAUACGGCGCCAAUUAAGUGAAAGGUCCUAAGCUUCCCUUCUCCACUCCUAUAUAUAUAGACUAUACCUUCCACUAUUUUUUCACAUUCUUCAAUACAGAACAAAUAAUCUCAUUCUCAUCUACGAUGACUUCCAACAUAACAAUACCACUUGUCUUAGGUUUCCUGCUCAUCUUCUUUUUUAUCUCAUCUCAAGUGGCAGCAAACGAUUUCAAAGAGAGUGAGUUACAUAUCAUUUUAUAUCAUCAAAAUAUAAUAAACUUUCCUAAGAAUAUGUAUUUUUAUAAACAUGCUAUCAUUUUGUAUUAGCUUAAAUAUAUUUCAUUACUUGAAUCUCAUUGGCUAAGGUCCGUAUGAUUACACUCAGAUCUUUUACGUAAAAUUGUAAACUUAACUAUUAUGGGAAAAAGUUUAUUGGGACUAAUAAUUUUUCUCAGAGAAUAAUAACAAGAAAAUUCGUGAAUGAUUUAUAAAAGAAAUGUUUUUGUAGUUGUUUUACUAGUGGUCAUUGUGAUUAUUUAUUUUUAUUUUAACUAAUCUAAUAUCUCUGGUUUUUAGACUUGUGAUAUAUUACUGAUUUGUUAAGGUUUUUUUUAUAAAAAAAAUAGAUAUAAAAAAGGACAAAACGUGAAGAAAAAAUAUAGUUAAUAUCGUUUCGAACUAUAUAAUUGCAAUAAUAAGAGGCAUAAUUUCAGAAAAAAAGAGCCUUUUCUAUUCAUUAAUUCUUAUUUAGCACCCUUCAAACAUUUGUUAUCCAAAGCUUUAAAUAUAUAAAAUCUAUAUUGAGAAUACAAGGUUUAUUUAUUUUUAUUUUUUAUUUUUGUAAAGAAAAUCAUAUCCAUAUUGACAAUUUUUUUCAAUUUGUUAUUAUUUAAAGGUUUUUCCUAACAAAUUAUAUUAUACCUAAAUAUGGGUGUGCAAAGUUCACUUUUCUAUAUCAUGCAUGCGUUAAGAGCUAUAAUAAUGCGUUUGCAGACGAGGUUGCUAGAAAGACAAAUGGAGUGGAUAAUGCCAACUUAGUUGACGGCGGCGGCUAUGGCUAUGGUGGUGGUUACCGCGGUGGCUAUGGCUUUGGUGGUUUCCCUGGUGAUUACGGGUACGGCGGUUUUCCUAAUUAUGGCUACGGCGGUUUCCCACGUGGUGGGUUUCCUCGAUGGUUCUGUCGUUUAGGUUGUUGUUAUAGGAAUCCGUACACAGGACAAUGCUUGAGGUGUUGCCCAUGAUAUUGUGAAGACUCCCAAAAAUGAGACAGUGGAGUUCAACCUAAUCAGUGUUAUAUUUCAUCAAUAAAAUCUCAUGUUAUGAGAGGUAUGGGUGGAUAAAUCAAAAUCCUUCCAUUCUUAUGUUAUGUAUCGUACAAUGUAUAUCAUCAUCAUUUGUAAGUCAAGUGUUUGCUUAUGUAUAAUUAUAAUGUCAUUACAAAAUUAUCCUUAUUUAUUCACGAGUUCAGAUUCUAUAUUGAAUUAUUUUUUUGUUAUCUUUUGUUAUAUUUUCAAAAAAUACAUUAGUGUUAUUAUUUAAAAGUCUUUUUAAUAUAUUUUAAAAUAUCAAUGAAGACACAAUAAAAAAGCAGAAAAAAUAAUUCAAUAGAAAAUCUAAAUUCUUUUCACAAAGCAGCAGAGAAAUUUGAAAUUACGAUUAUAACUUCUCUAAUUAACGCGGCCAAAUCAAUAAACUAUCAACAGUAUUAACAAAAUCUUAAUACUUCCUAUAUAUAGUAUUCUUUUUUUUUUUCAUAGCUUCUUUUUAUAUAUAACACAAGUGACAUAACUUCUAUAAUAAUAUUAAAAUAAGACUUCUAUUAUAAUGUCAAUGUUAUAAGAUUUUAACUGUAGAUUUAAUAUAACGUUUAAUAAGAAUCAACUUCAAAAAAAAUAUAUAUAAAAAAAACUCGUAUACUUAUUAUUUUAAGAUUUUACACUAAAAUUAUUGUAUUAUUUGUUUUAUAAAAAGUAUUCAUAUCUAGGUGGUGUCAUUUUUUGUAAAAUUGAAAGUAAGAAUAAUUCUGAUAGACAUGUGAUAUUAUAGAAACAUGUUUGAGUGGCUCUAAUGCAAGUUUGGGAGGAUACUACGUACUGUCUUAUAGUCAAACUUAUUAGUUUUUUUUUAUAAAUUAAAUUAAAUUUAAAAUGUAUUUUUAAUAUAAUAUCUGAGUCAUGAAAUAAAACUUAUUUUAAUAAAAAAUAUAUUUUUAUUAAAUUUAUUGUUUCAACCUGCCGUUAAACCAUUAGUUAAUAUUUAAUUUCACAAACAAUAAAUAUAUAUAUAUAUAUAUAUAUAUAUAUAUAUAUAUAUAUAUAUAUAUAUAUUAUUAGGUUUGACAUAUAAAAUCACCUCGGUUCUCAAACAACGGAAAGGAAUAAUGAAUUACUCUUUGCUUUUUCGUUUUGCAGAGGAAGCUGCCUCCAACAUGUGUUUUGUCUUAUUUUCCAUUCAUAAUGAGAAAAUUAGAAGGGAAUUACUGCUUUUGUUUUAUACAUAAUUAUGAAAAUUUGUACAAUUAUGAUAGGGGAGAAAAAAAAAGGAUAAAUAAUUUAAUUUUAAAUGAAUUUUUUUAAUCUGAAGUUAACUAGUAAUUGUUUGCUUUCGUUUUAUUUUUAUUUUUUUAUAUAUUGUGUGUGUUACUUACAUCAUUAAGUUUUAAUUUUGGUUUUAGUAACAAUAUUUCUUUUUUAUUUUUUAAAAAUUGAUGUUUUUAAUUUGUUAAUUUCCAUUUUUUAAUAAAAUAAUUGGUUUUCAUUUAUUCAAAAUCUAAAACAUAUAUUUUGGUGUUUAAUGUUCAUUAAAAAUAAAUAAAUAAUAUUAAAUAAUAUUUAUUUUGACGAGUUCAUCAUCAUAUCACCGUAGAAUUAAUUGAAGUCGAAAAUUCUGAUUUUGAGAAUUAUGGGUAUAUAACUGGAAAUUUGUAUAUUUUUUAAUUUUAAUAUAUUUAAAACCACUAUCAAUGUGUUGGCUACAGUUCAUUUUUACUUCUAAAAUUUGUAGAAAAUUAAAAUUUCUAACAUAUGGUAAUAACGACAUAGAACACGUUGAACAUAUAUUUUAAAAAGCUCAUGCUAAUCUACUCAUACAAUUUUUUUUUUGUGAAUAAAAAAAUAGACAAUUAAUAUUAAAUUGAAUUUUCCUCAAUGAAAACUUGAAAAUUCUUUAAGAAGAUUUAUCCAUCAUGAUUUAAUGGAUUUGACAACUAAUUGGAGAAUAGGUUGACAAUGAGUAUAAUGACAAGUUGUUGAAUAGAAACUAAAUAACAUUAACAAUGAGUUGGCCAUUCAUCAAUUUUAGAACGAGAUUAGGAAAUAGUCAUAAGAUAUAUGUAUAUUAUUUUGUUAGAUAUAUUAAAAUUUUAAUUGGACGUAUGUGUAUUUAUCUUCAUAUAUGUGUAUUGUUUUUAUUUAUUUAUUUAUUUAUUUAUUAUUAUUAUUAUUAUUAUUAUUAUUAUUAUUAUUACUUAUUGGUUUAAAAAAUCCCACUAACUCCUAAUCUUAAAGUGACCACUAGAUCGUUACCUAACAUUCUAUUAAAUACAUAAUAAGCACUUGUACAUGCAAAUUAAAAAAAAAAAAUAGUUUCAUUUUAAGGAUACAAAAAAAAAGGAGACAAAUUGUUUUUUAAAAUCAAAACUAAUAGCAACUUAUUUUACAAUGACAAAAAAAGUACGAAACUCUUAUUUACAUUAUGACAAAACUUAAAAGCUUUUUUAAUUGCUCCGUCAAUAAGUUGUUGAUGAAAGUAGAAUUUUUUUAAAAAGAUAUUUCUAGUUGAAAUCUUGUGGAUGAAAAAGAGACACUUCAUUGAAAGUAGUAAGUUUGAAUCUUUUACUACCAACAGUAUAGUUUGGAAAAACAAAAAGUCAUUUGACCCUUUUUUCAUGUAGAAUUAAAAUUUAAGUUUUGCUAAUCCACUUUUUAAAGACUUGUGUUUAAGGUUACUAUGUAAAAUUGAUUAAAAGAAUUUUUAAUUUGAUUAGAAAAUAAAUCUGAAAAGGAUUAAGAGAAUGUAUAUCUAAUUUUACUUUGUUUUAAAUGAGUUUAUACUUUGGGUAAUACGAGAUAGUAUAGUAGCAAAGUGCAGUAGGUGUUUAGUCCUCCACUUGGAUGGCAUAUAUAGCAAGUUCAUGCACGUAAUCACCUACAAUAACUAAUUAAUAUACACGUAAUCACCUAUUGUAGUUAAUUAAUGUGCUUGAAUUUCUUAGCCUACAAACUUUUUACCAUUGAAAAUGAGAAGGAAGAUUAAUUAGGUGGUGAUGAAGAACAAAUCGGUUCUUAAGUUGAGAAUAUAAAGUCUGAAUGAGUACGCUACGGCGCCAUUAAAGAACAAGGUCCCAACUUCUCCCUCUUCCUUCCUAUAUAUACACUGCACAUUCUCACCAUUUCUCUCAUCCUUCCACACUAAAACCUAUUUCGUUUCAGUUAAUCUCUUUCUGCAAGAUGCCUUCCAAGAGAAACAUGUCAUCACUCAUCCUUUGCCUGUUCUCCAUUUUCCUUUUCGUCUUCUCAGCGGUCGCAGCAAGGGAACUCAAAGAUCGUGAGCUAUUUCUCCUUUUAUUACCUUCUUUUUUCAUUGCCACUUUAACGUAAGAGACAAAGUAUAAAAUAUUAUCAACACCCUUUUUUCUAUUCUAAUACAAAGUAACCAUUUUAAAAAGAUUACAGGAAAAAGCCAAACGUAAUUAGGUUGAUUAACGCAUAUUUAUGCCUUUCUGAGUGAGUUUUUAUUUAAGAUCAUUGAAACAGUCAAUAACCGAGCUUUUCAGUGUACAAUAUGUUUACAAUAUAAAGGGUUUCUUAAUCUUUUUCAUUUGGUCACAAUGAACUCUCAUUCUAGAACUUUUUAUGUUUUCCUAAUAUAUUCAUGGUGGCUUCCCAGUUUCUAAUCGUGAACGUCGUGCCUUCAAUGGCGAUUCUCGCCUCUUCUGGGGAGGAGGUCCUAACUACUUCGGUGGUUACGGCGGUGGUUACUUUGUUCCCAACGAUCCCCGUUUCGGUAGGUACCCUUUCUAUGGUGGAGGUGGGUUAAACAAUCCUUAUGGAGGGUUCAACAAUCCUAAUUUUGGAGGUGGUGGGUUCAACAACUAUCCUUUUGGAGGGUUCGGCAAUCCUAAUAUUGGAGGUGGGUUCGGCAAUCCUGGUGUUGGGUUCAAUAACCUUGGUGGAGGUGGAAGAUUGCCGUGAUAGGUAUUACUAAGAUGGGGAUGUUGUGAGAGGAUAAGAACCGUUGAGACAGUGCAAUUCUAUACGUACUUAAUAAUAUAGAUUUCAUCAAUAAAAUUUCUUGUUAUCAGAGGCAUGGAUGAAUAGACAGCAAAGAUGCAUGCAUGCAUGCAUGUUUUCUUGCUUUUCUUUUCUCCUCGUCUUUCUUACGACAAGAGAUAGGGUUGAGCAAGUUUUAAGGUUGUGUUUGUGAUGUGUGAUUAGUUUGAGAUGUCUGAUGUACACAUAAGUUGUCAUUAAUCAUGAUUUUUUUUUUCUUCUUCUGCUGUAAUCGUGUAUCACUUCUUUGCUGUUAAGUUUUGUCCUUAAUUCUGUGUUUUUCAUGUCUUUAAACUUUAUUACAACCAUGUGUAUCGAUUCAGAAAGCAGAUAAAUUAAAAAACAGAAGCUUAAUUUAACAGGGUCAAUGCUGCAAUAUUUAAUUCUCCCCUAAAUAUGCCUGAUGACUUAAAUGGAUAAGGACUACAAGAUGUUUGAUGUUAAUUUCAUGAUUACAUAAAUGUCAAAAAUAAAUUCUUAUGAAUUAAAAUUAUCCUCAAUGAGAAAAUAAAAUUACAGGUAAAUCUUAAUCCUUAAUUACCUUUAGUCAAUUCAAGAUAUGCGGAAAAAUAAUAAUCAAUAUAUGAUACACGUGUUAAGAAGAAGAAAAAAGGAAAUUUAAAUAGCCUUGAAGAUUUAAAUUAUGUUUCGCAUGACGUUUUUGUCGACUUUUUUCUUUUAGUUCUAAAGCAUUUUUUUUUAAUAAAACCUGUUUGAAGAAUUAUUUUAAUUUGAUUAAAACUAUUGCCUCGUUGAAUGAAAAAAAUAUUUCGACAACUAUAAACAAAAGUAUGUAAAUUGAUUUGUAUAAACGCAACUAUAUAUUUUUUCAAAUAAUGUUUUACAUAUAUUAGUUAUAUAUUGUAUUAUUGGUUAAGCAUAUCUAAUAAUUAAUUACAACUAAGUUGAUUAAAAUAGAUUUAGUUUUAUCCAAAAAAAAUAACUCAUCAAACAUGAUUUUUUUUAUAGAAAAAAACAACGUUUUAAUAAAAAAAGAAUUUUAUCUGCUGAAUACAUAUACUUAACUGUUUCCAUUCAUAUGAGAAAUAAUCAGAGAUACAAGAUAUACAAAGUACAUAAAAAUGAUAAUGUGCAAAUACGUUUGUGUAUAACACGAAAACAAGAAUAACAUACUUUUUAACAGUUCUUUGUGUUUAAAUAUGUCAAUUUUCCUUCUUCACAUAGUUUAGUUUUAAAUCACAUAAAUUAGGGUUAGAAAAACUUAAAAGAGUAAAAAAUUCUUUAUUAAAAAAAUCCAUAAAACCAAAAUAUUCACAAAAGUAGGAAUACGACCAGCUCAUGGACCAUCUUUUUUAAAAAAUAUUCUUUUUUAAUAUAAGAAAAGUACAAUUAACUCAUAAUAUAUCAUCUAAGUUCUUUUAAUUUCUUAAAGUACUAUAUACAAACAUUUUAAUUAGAUUAAUAAACUUUGUAAAAGUUUCAAUAAACUUUGUUGGUUGUAUAUAUAGGAAAAUUAACCACCAGCAUAAGAUGUUGAACUAAAUAUAUUUAAUUUUUUUAUUGACUAAAUAUAUUUUUAAAGUAUAUAAAAUAGUCAUUUAAUUUUAUUAGACGAAAAAUUCAUCUAGAUUUGAAUCAAAACUAAAUGAGACAUCUAAAUUUGAAAGUUUAAAAUAAUGAAUUAAUGAAUAAUAAAUUUAUGGAUUUUUUAUAUGAUAUUUAAUUUUUUUAUUUAAUUAUAUAUAUAUAUAUAUAUACUAAUUAAAAAAAGUCUUUAGAAUUAAUCUAAUAAUAUUCUCAGGCUAUUUCUGUUGUGUUUAAAACUUUAUUAAUAUGUUAUUCGUACCAUUUUAUUAAAUAUUAUUAUAAGUUUUCUUUUCUAAAAAAUUGAUAAAUAUAAUAAGGUUUAACCAUUUCAAAUUUCUUUGUUUUUUGUUAGAAGUCUCGUAACAAUGUUUUAUUAUUUUUUUUGUUUUAAUUGGGUUUAAUUUUGAAAAAUUAAAACAAUGUUAUUCUUAUCAUUAAAUUAAUAAAUGACGUAAGGAAAAUGAUAUUUAGACAACAUUUUUUUUGACAACAUUUGAACAUUGAUGAUAUGUGAAUCUGUGAUUGGUAAAAAAUUACUCCACAAUCAAUAAUAAUAAUCAUAAACAUUAAUGUAGAGUAAUUUUUUACCAAUCACAGAUUGACACAUAAUCAAUGUUCAAAUGUUGUCAAAAAAAUAUUGUCUAAAUAUCAUUAUCCUAAAAAAAAUGCCUAAACACUCUAAUAUUUUUGAUUGGAAGUCUCAUAAUAAACCUUUAAUUUUUUUUUUUAAUUGAGUCUUAAUUUUCAAAAAUUGAAACAAUAGAUUCUUAUCAUUAAAUUGACUGAAUAACAUAAAAAAAAAAAUAAUGACUCGACACUCUAACAUUUUUAAAUGACAUAGUAUUACGAAGAAGUUAAUGAUGUGGAAUUUCGUUUUUUUAAUAGAAAAUCGGAGAAAAGUGAUAACAGAAAUUAGGACUCAUGAAUUGGGGAAAUUGAGGGAGUUUAAUAAAAUAUGUUUCCUUUGAGAAUUAGGGUAUUUUCCGUAUUUCUCAAACCUACGAGGAGGAAAAGAGGUUCAUGGUUAUGCUAUAACAAGAGUUUUUAAUCUUUCAUCGAAUAGGACUUUGGUUAUGUGGUUAUUUCAUAUAUUUUAUUUUAAGAAUUAAUUUUGUAAGAUUAAUUUUUUUUUAUGUAAUACUAUCUUAUCUUAUAAUGUGUUAUUUGUAUUAAGGUAAACACCUUUUGGUGUCUUGCGUUUCGAAUGAUUGGACAAAAGUUACGAAAUAUUUAUAAUUUUAAUAGUCUAAAUAAUAUAUUUUUUCUGUAUAACUUUAUUGUAUAUAAGUGGAAAAAUUUAUUUCUUUAUAUAUCUUAUGUUUUUUUUAAAAAAAAAAUCUACAAAAAUUUUAAAAUAAAAUGAUAAAAUAAAAAAUAAAAGUAACUGCUUAUAAGAUGAAAUUAACUUCUAUAUAAAUUAAUUUCUAAAAAUUAUUUAAAAACAUAAUAUAAUCAUGUUACAUUAAAAAACUUCAAAGUAAUUGAAGAAAAUUACUCCACAAUCAAUAAUAAUAAUCAUAAAUAUUAUUGUGGAGUAAUUUUUGAUCAAUCACAUAUUGAUAUAUAAUUAUUGUUCAAAUAUUAUCAAAAAAAUGCUGUCUAAAUAUCAUUAUCCUAUCUGAAAUUGAUUGAUUUUGUAGUUUUUCUGUUUUAUAUGCCCACUCCACAUCAUUUAUCCAAUCCAACAGUGGAUGGUAAUUAAUAGCGUCCAACUGCUUUUGACUAUUAAUUAAGGGUGCUUUCCCGAAGGUGUAAUAUGUACACACAAAUAUAUAUUUUUUUCCAAUGUAUAGAAUAUUAUACAUAAAAUAUCUAAAAACAAUAUAACUUUAACAUUAUGUUCAGACCCUAACACCUGGAUAUGCAGGUCAGAAGGAGUUUAAUUUCAUUUAUCACUGACUGUUAAGUUUACCUAAUUCUUAGGACUAUGAUGGUGUUUGUGUUCGGUAAAAAAAACAAAAAAAGAAGUAAAAAUAGCAAAAAGUACAAUAGUAGUUUGAGUUUUAAAUAUUGAUACAUAAUAAGACUAAAAAUAUAAUAUAAUUACAAGUCAUCUUAUAGGGAGAUCUUGGAGACUUUAUAGAUUUUAUUAUAUUAUGAAUAUCAAUUUCAAUUAUAAAUAUAAAUUUAUAAAUUUUUUAUUUUUAUGUUUAUUAAUAUGUAUUAAGAAUUUUAUAUUAUUUUAUUUGUUCAAAGAGAAUUUUUUUUAUUAAAAAAAUAUACGUAUAUUAUAAUAAUAAUAAUAAAUAAAUAAAUAAAUAAAACUUGAUCUUAAUAUGUACUUAAAUUACUGUAAAAAGUAUUUUCGGUUUAAAGAAGUUUUAAUACUCAAGAGUAGGAAAAACAAUAGAGUGAAACGUACUUUCAAAUUAACUUAAUCUUUUGAAAGGGUUUUAUUUAUGUGAAUUUGUAUAACUGUGUCAUUUUAUUUUGAAAGUUUUCAAUUUGGUUUCUAUUUUAGUAAACUAUUUUGGUAAAAUUGAGUUAAUAAUGUUCUUGCUAUACGUUAACUUUAUUGUGAUGUGACAUACUUAAUUAUGACGUGACACACGUUAACCAAUCAAAACAUACCAUCUCAUGCCUUCUGUCACGUCAUUUAUGCCUUCUCUACAUAAACCUUAAUUUCCAAACCUUAGCUACUAUGCGUCGCCACCGCCAUCCUCACCAGCAACUGUCUCCUCAACCUUCGCCGUGAACCUCUAUGGUCGUCAUAAGUACUCUGUUACUCUUCUCCUUCGUCAAUAGCAAACAACCUACAAAAGAUCAAACUACAAAACUUAGAAUCGCGCAUCUACUUCUCACGCGAGAAUCUACUCCAUCAUCCUUUCCAUGACAAUCACGCGAAUCACACAUCAACUCCAUUAAAGGAUGAUUAGACAAUAUUCCCAACUAUUCCUCUCUAUUGUUCUAAAUAUAAAUUAAAUAAUUUUUUAUGAAAAAGAAUCACAAAAUUUUAAUAAAAAUUUAUAAUUAUAUAAAUAUAAAAUAAAAUUUUCAAAUAAUUGAAUAUAUUUUAAUAAUAUAAUAGCGAUAUAUAUAUAUAUAUAUAUAUAUAUAUAUAUAUAUAUAUAUAUAUAUAUAUAUAUAUAUAUAUAUAUUCCUAUCCUCAUAACCAAUUUAGCUUGGUGAAAUGGGUUGAUUUAAGAUCCCUACUUGUCCUAGGUUCCAUAUAGCUAAGAAUUUAUAACGGUUCGGAAACGAUCUACAUGACUAUCUUUUUACAAACAAAUGGUAUGGAAAAUUUAAAUGCACAGUGGAAAGAUGAAUUUAUAUGAAGCUUUUAGAAUUGAAAAGAAAGCUAAUGCAUAUCUCUAUGGAAAAGAUAACUGCUUCACAUAUAUCUCUGGUUGAAUGAAUCACCUGCAGCUGGUGCUUGAACAGCAUGGGAUGUAACUCUAAAUCCGGUGACUAAAUUUUAGAACAAAUAUCCAUAUGCUUAAUUAAGUUUAAAAUGAAAACAUUUUAAGAAGUUACGAUUUUGCAGACACAGAAAAAAAAGAGUCAUAAGCUAUUCUAAAAUUAAGUUCAACAUGCAAAUCAAGGUCUGAUAAAGAAAUAAAAAAGCUAAAAGAAGGAGGAAUAGUUCCAAUUCAGCUAGGGCUUCUUUGGCUUCUUGUUCAGCUUGGAAGAUGAGCCACAGCUUUUUCCCCGACUAACCCUCUUUCGCACUUCAUCUUUUUCCUCCCUCAUGUAGGGAUUCUCUGCUUCGAUUGGAGUAAAUUCAGCUGGGUUUCUGUUUGUCCCACAAAGCAUUUCAGAGGUUGCUGCUGCAUGUGAUUUUCCAUAGGUCUGAGAUGAACCAAUUGUAUCCAUUUUUGUCUUUGAAGAUUCAUCUGGAUUAAGUUUCUGGAGAAUUGGCUCACUGCCUCCUGUGGCAACAUUCAAGUCCAUAGAUAUUUCCUUCAACUGCUUAAUCUGUGACUCAGGUUCUUCAUUUACCAUAUUAAUUUGAGAUAUUUGCAACAACGCGACUAAAGCCUCCAGUUCAUUCUGCAAGAAGAUGGUAACAAGUUUCAUUUCCUUGGCACUGGUGUGCUCUGUAAUCAAAAUUUCACAUACCACAUGAUAAAAUAAAAGCAAUCCAUUCUUUUAUACUGUAUUAAAACAUUUAAUCAUCUAAACUUGUCAUAGAGAUUCAUUUGAGACUCUCCGUAAACUCAAUAGAAGCCUCGCACUAAACUUUAUAGAAUCAUGGAUGCAUGACAGAGUGACUUUUAAUAAACUUGUCAUUAAUAUAUAGUACUUAAAUAAAAUAUGUAAAAUAAUACUUUUUAUAAGAAAACAGAUAAUUAUAAUUUCUAUUUCACAUAAACAUGUUCCUUUAGCAUGAUUUCGAAUGAAUAACUAGGAUUAUUAAUGAUAGAACUAAUGAUUUCUCUUAAAACAUAUGUAUUGGAAGAUUUAAAAGAUGUAAGGAAGACUAUUAAAAAAAUGGACAUUAUCACGAAGGUGGAAGUUCAUGAUUCAUUAUUUAUUAGUCUCUUUUAUCAUUUUAUCCUUGUCCUAUCACAUCUUAUCCAAGUCAACCUAAAAGAAGCAAGAGUGGAGGCUGAAAUAUGAUAUGAAAAUCACUCGAAAUGAAGCAUAAAGUGAAAAAGAAAGUGAUUUGAAUGGGAGAAACCAAUGGUAUAAAUAAUAAAAGAGAUGUUACAAUGAAUUCAAAGAUGCACAUUACAUAAGGAUAAGGAAGAUGAAUUCUUUAUUACAUAAGGAUAAGGAUAAGGAAGAUGAAUGUGUUAUUACAUAAAGAUAAGGAAGAUGAAUGUGUUUGGAGAGGAGAUCACACACAAUAAUACACAAUGAAAUUGCAUGAAGAGAAUACAAAAUGGGAUUAUAGGAGAUGAAAAAACACUAUGUGGAACAUUUUGGUGUGUAAAAGCUCUACCUAGUAUCUUUUUGUACAAAGAGUCUUUACAUAACAAAUUAACAAGCAUAUGACAAUUUAAUAAAGGGUUAAAUAUGUUUUUGGUCCCUUAACUUUCAUUGAAAAUUAGAAUUAGUCCCUCUUUGAAACUUUGGACCAAUUUAGUCCCCAAACUUUAAAAUUUUGUGAAUUUAGUCCUUUUAACUAAAUUUUGUUAACUUUAUUUGAUGUUUCAAAUGUAUUUCUCAGUUAACAUUGAAGCAAAAAUGUGUUAAACGGUGUAAACAACUCAAAUGCUAUCAUUAAACACACUUCAAACAUUAAAUAAACCUAACAAAAUUUAGCUAAAAGGACUAAAUUCACAUAUUUCUAAAGUUUGGGGAAUAAAUUAGACCAAAGAUUUGAAGAGGGACUAUUUCAAAUUUUCACUGAAAGUUAAUAGAUCAAAAACAUAUUUAACCCUUUGAUAAAUAGAGGAACCAUAUUGGGUAGUAGAAAGUGUCAUGUGUGAAACUUGUGAUGAAUUAGUAAGCCACUCAUUUUUUACUUGGAGUAUUGUGAGUGCAUCAUAGUAUAGCAAAUGACCAUUUCCUAGGGUUACAAAUUUUAGGAGUCACUUUAAAAGAAAAUUUUGUCUAGAGGACAAUGUGGGUGGAUGUAUUAUGAGGUAUGUGUAGUAUUACCAUCCAAUUAGCCAAAGAACCAGGCGAUCAAUCAGCCUACGGUCCCAUGUGAGUGGAUCGGUAGAUCGAUCGAUUAGACUAAAAGUAGAGUUAACAUUAAGAAUAGUUUUAUCAACCUUAAGCUAGACCAUUACCAUUUGGGUCAUGAUUAGGUCAACACUAAUCAAAAGUUCAUCCCAAAAUUUUGCAACUCCAUGAUUGACGAGAGAGAUGAAGGAUGGUUCUACAGUUCAUGGUUAGAUAUUUAAGGGUUUGUUAUAAGGAAGUGCAUGGGUGUGGAAUGCUGGAAUGUAAACUGAUUUUGUAUUUUGAGCCUAUAAAAUAAAAGCCUAAGAUUAGAAAAAGGCCCAAACAGAUUUCUAGAAAAUCCUAUCUAGAAGGAUUCUAAAACAAUGUAAAAAUAUAUCCAGGGAUGUUUAUCUAUAAUAUGUCUCUAUAUAAGUUUAGAAUUAUAGGAAUAUUUUAGAAAUCUCUAGAGAAUGAAUAAUAUCCCUUAGAUUAAUAUUGGAGUGGCAAGAUCUUAACCAUUGGUUAAAGAGGUGCCACUAGUAUAAAUAGAAGAUGAUUGUAUCAUAUGUAAUCAAGCCAAAAGAAAUUAGAAACAUUGAAAUAUAAUAAGCCUCUAAAAUCUUCAAAUCUCUCCUAAUUUUUAAACACUUUCUUUAAGCCUCUAAAAUUUCCUCCUAACAAAGUAGUAUCAGAGCCAUAACAUCUACAUAGAAAUGACAUAUGUCGGAGUUCCCUUUCAAGUCUCGAUGCUCACCAAGAGCAACUAUGACAUCAGAGCUUAAGGAUGAUAGCCCUCCUUGGUGCACAUGACGUGUGAGAGGUGGUGAAGAAGGGCUACACCAAACCAGAGAAUGUGGACAAUCUUUCUCAAACUCAAAAGGAGAGUUUAAGAGACUCAAGGAAAAGAGGCGAAGAUACUUUCAAGAAUAUUUUCGAAGUCAUGUCAGCCAAGGAAGCAUGAGAGAAGCUUAAGAUCUUUUACUACGGAACAAAUGAAGUAAAAAAGGUACGUCUUCAAACUUUGAGAGAAGAGUUUGAAGCUUUGCAUAUGAAGGAAGGUGAACUAGUCUCUGAUUACUUUUCAAUAGUUUUAACAGUUACUAAUUAACUAAAGAGAAAUCAUGAGAAGUUAGAUGAUGUAAGAAUUAUGGAGAAAAUUCUUAGAUCAUUAGAUCCAAAGUUCGAACAUAUUGUCACCAUUACUAAAGAAACCAAAGACUUGAAGGCCAUGUCAAUAAAGCAACUUCUUGGUUCGUUGCAAGCUUAUAAAAAAGGAAAAAGAAAAAGGAAGAGAUCGUGGAACAAGUCCUCAAGGCACAUGUUGAUCAAGGAAAAAACAAAACGCACACAACCAAUCAAGAUGAAGUUAUAGUCAAGAACAAGGACGAGGGUAUGCAUAUGGACGUGGACGAAGACGAAGGCCUAACGACCAUAACCAAAGAGGAGAAAGCUCUAACAAAGGUCAUGGGAGAGGAAAUUCGAAUUCAAGGUAUGACAAGUCACGAAUCAAGUGUUACAAUUGUGAUAAAUUUGGACAUUUUGCUUCUAAAUAUAAAACCCCUAACAAAAAUAAAGUCGAAGAGAAAGUCAACUAUGCUGAAGAAAGGUGUCAAGAAGGUGGUACCUAACUACUGGCUUACAAUGGCCAAGAUAGAGGCAAGGAUAAUCAGUGGUACCUUAAUAGUGGAGCAAGUAACCAUAUUUGUGGAAAAAGAAACAAUUUCGUAGACCUUGAUGAAUAAGUAAAGGGAAACAUGGCUUUUGGAUAUGAAUCAAAGGUGGCGAUGAAAGAAAAAGGUAAUGUCCUCAUCCGACUAAAGAAUGAAGAACAUCAAUUAAUUUCUAACAUGUAUUAUGUGCCAAGCAUGAAGAAAAACUUCUUGAGCUUAGGACAACCCUCGGAGAAAGGUUAUGAUAUUCAACUUAAGAAUAAUAACCUUUCUAUAAGAGUUAUAUAAGUAAAUUCAUUGCAAAGGUGCCAAUGAUAAGAAAUAGAAUGUUUGUGAUCAACAUUCAAAGUGAUGGCCCAUAAUGUUUUAAGAUAUGCUACAAAGACCAAUCAUGGAUUUGGCAUCUUCGAUUUGGCCAUCUUAAAUUUUAAGGAUUAGAGUUGUUCUCCAAGAAGGCAAUGGUGAGAGGGUUGCUUUGUGUUAUUCACCCCAACUAAGUUUGUGAAGGAUGGUUAUUUGGAAAACAAUUUCGAUUGAGUUUUUCGAAUGAGUCAGACUCAAUAACUCAAAAGCCAUUAACACUCAUAAUCGUAGAUGAGUGUGGCCCAAUCAAGCCAAGAUCAUUCGGUAAGAGUAGUUAUUUCUUUCUCUUCAUUGAUGAUUUUUCAAGAAAAACAUGGGUAUAUUACUUAAAAGAAAAAUCAAAAGUAUUCGAGAACUUCAAGAAGUUUAAAGCCAUUGUUGAGAAGGAAAGCAACCUUGUGACCAAAGCUUUGAGAUCCAAUCAUGGAGGAGAGUUCACAUCAAAAGAGUUUCAAAAGUAUUGUGAAAAUAAUGGAAUUAGACAACAGCUGAAAGUGCCAAGAUCCCCUCAACAAAAUAAAGUGGCGAAAAAGAAGAUAGAACAACCCUAGAGAUGACAAGGAGCAUACUUAAAAGCAAGAGACUUCCAAAGGAGUUUUGGGCUGAAGCCAUUGCAUGUGCAAUUUAUCUUACCAAAUGCUCUCCAACAAGAAGCAUUAGUGGAAAAACACCACAAGAAGCAUGGAGUGGAAGAAAGGCAUGUAUUUCUCAUCUUAGAGUCUUUAGAAGCAUAACUCAUGUUCAUGUUCUAGAUGAGUGAUAACGGUCAUUCUUACCAUUAUCUAUGGUGCAAUUUUCUUGCCAAAUCAACACUCCUGAAGCUUGAAACACGCUUAAUCCUCUUUUUAAUCUAACUUUGUGAAUAAAUUCAGCUUAGGUUAUACCCACUAGUUUUCAUCAUUAAUUCCUCAAAUUUUGUAGGAACUUUGUUUGCUUUGGAAGGACAUUCAAGCUAUAAAGAGUGGAGAACCAAGGAAAAGCUUAGAAGAUGAAGUUUUGAAGAUGUUUCCCUGCACAAGUGGUGCCCAGACGCCCCUAAAGGGCGCCCAACGCCCUUCAAUUCGUAGUUUUGCCCAUUCGCCCACGCCCAGGCGCCCCUGAAAGGCGCCCAACGCCCUUUGUCUCGCUAUUUUUGGCAAUUCUUCACGCCUGGGCACCCCUGGAGGGCGCGGAACGCCCUUUGCCUCGCAUUUAUGAUGAUAUUGUAACGCCCGAGCGCCCUAGAAAAGGGCAUUGGGUGCGACUUUUUGCUGAGUUGGCACCCUAGACCUAUAAAAGGCACACAGUUUUCAAGGGUUAAACUGCUUGGUGGCUGAAGCUCUUAAACAUCAUUUUGGACACCUUGGAGCAAGUGUUGGGCUGUGGGAACUCUUCCUUCUUCCUCUUUGGGUCUCCUUCUACCCAUUUUUCUUCCAUUGUAAGCUCAAGCUCUCCAUGAUUAUGGAGAGCUAAGUUCUUUUUGUUGGGGAAUGAUGUAAACUAUACAAACCAUUUGUAAAUGCACUUGUUUUAAAUGAAUUUAUGCUUCUUUCAUUACUUGUUAGUGUUUAUUUCUUUGAUUAAAGCUUGUUAUGACUUGAUCAACCAUGGCAUGAUGUUAGGGUUUGCUUAGUAUUAGGAAAUAUUUUGUGAACCUUGAAAUGAACAUAAACACCUAAAGGAAAUAGUGUCUAGGGAUAGAGCUAGGACCUUUGGUUGUCUUAAACUUCUUUUCAUAAUGUGGGUGAACUUGUUGGGUUGCCAAGGGAUUGGGAUUUUAAGAAGUGAACCUAGGCUUUCUCACCAAGGGAUUGGGUUUAAGUAACUUAGCUAGUUGGCAAGAACACGUUAAUGAAGAAGAGUGGUUGAGUGCAUUUGCAUAGGAUUGUAUUAGUUGAAAUCAUUCUCCAACAUAUCCAUUCCAUAUUUUCAUCAAUCAUUUCAUUUUCAAGUGUUUUGACCCCAAGAAGUUCAACCCUUUACUUAUGCAUUACUUUUACUUUCAUUGCACACUUUCACACUAAAAUGGAAUCAUUCUUUAGCUUAAAUUAGUUAGUAACUAUACGAUAGUAAAGUAAUGACCGAGUCUCUUGGGAAACGAUAUCCGGUCUUACCGAUUUUACUACUUGAGCGAUUUGGUGCACUUGCUAAAGUCUCAACAAUGAGAAGUGAAGUAAGCUUGAAUACAAAAGUGAAAAAUACAUUUUCAUUGGUUACAACACCAACUCAAAAGGGUACAAACACUACAAUCCUUAUACAAGGAAAACAAUAAUCAAUCAAAAUGUAGUGUUUGAUGAAGAAGGAGAAUGAGAUUGGUCAACAAACUGUGAGGACCAUAUCUUCUUCCGUAGCGUUGAAGAUGACGUGGAACAACCAUAGGAACCGGAAGAGGCAUCUGCUACUCCACCUACUUAACCAAAUACAACUCCUCAAGAAGACGAAAGCUUAAGUGAAAUAACUCCACGUUUUCGAAGUCUCUAAGAAAUCUACGAGGUAAUCGAAAAUCUAGACAAUGUUACUUUAUUUUGUUUAUUUGUAGAUUGUGAGUCCAUGAACUUCCAAGAAGCAAUUGAAAAGAAAAGUUGGAGAAAUGCUAUGAAUGAAGAGAUCGAGGCGAUAAAGAAGAAUGAUACAUGGGAGCUAGUCUCGCUUCUGAAAAGGUACAAAACAAUUAGUGCCAAGUGGGUCUACAAAGCAAAGAAGAACUCCAAAGGAGAAGUUCAGAUAUAUAAAACAAGAUUAGUGAUGAAAGGCUAUAAUCAAAGAGUUGGCAUCGACUAUGACGAGAUAUUUUCUCCAGUUGCUCGACUAGAAACUGUUAGACUUAUUAUAUCAUUAGAAGUUCAGAAUAAUUGGAACAUACAUCAAAUGGAUGUCAAAUCUACCUUCUUAAAUGGUGUUCUUGAAGAAGAAGUCUACAUUGAUCAACCACAAGGAUGUGAAGUCAAAGGUGAAGAAGACAGAGUCUUGAAAUUAAAGAGGGUUCUUUAUGGGUUGAAACAAGCCCCUAUAGCUUGGAAUGUUUAGAUUAACAAGUACUUCAAAGAGGCGAAUUUCAUCAAGUGUUCAUAUGAGCAUGCACUAUAUGUUAAAGUUCAAGGCGGAGAUAUUUUGAUUAUAUGCUUGUAUGUCAAUGACUUGAUUUUCACAUGGAACAGUCCAAGCUUUUUUGAGGAAUCAAGAAGGAUAUGACCAUGGAAUUUGAAAUGACCGACAUGGGCCUUUUGGCAUAUUAUCUCGGAAUUGAAGUCAAGCAAGGAAAUGAAGGAAUUUUCAUUACUCAAGAAAGUUAUGCUAAAGACCUCCUCAAGAAGUUUAAGAUGGAUGAUGCUAAUCCAGUUGUACUCAUAUGGAAUGUGGCAUCAAGUUGAGUAAGAAUGAAGAGGGAGUAAAAAAUGGAUUCAAACCUCUAUAAAAGUCUUGUUGGAAGUUUACACUAUUUAACUUGUACAAGACCAAACAUUAUCUAUGUUGUUGGAGUUGUGAGUCAUUACAUGGAAGCUUCAAAAACUACUAACUUCAAGUCUGCAAAGAGGAUUCUUCAAUAUAUCAAAGGCACAACAAGCUUGGCCUAUACUACCCCAUUUCUAACAAUUACAAGCUUGUUGGAUAUAGUGAUAGCGAUUGGAGUGGAGAUAUGGAUGACCGAAAAAGCACAAGUGGAUUUGUAUUAUACAUGGGAGACACAACCUUUACUUGGAUGUCCAAGAAGCAGCCUAUUGUCACUCUUUCUACAUGUGAAGUAGAAUAUGUAGAUGCAACUUCAUGCAUUUGCCUUGUUGUUUGGUUACCAAACCUAUUAAAGGAGUUAAGCUUGCCAGAAGUGGAGCCAACAAAGAUUUUUAUGGAAAACGAGCCGACAAUAGCUUCAGUAAAAAAAUUAGUCUUCCACGAUCGAAGUAAGCACAUUAACACUCGUUACCAUUACAUUAAAGAAUGCAUCAGCAACAAGGAUGUGCAAAUGGAAUACGUGAAGACGCAUGAUCAGGUAGCAUAUAUCUUCACCAAACCACUAAAGAAGGAAGUCUCUAUGAAGUUGAGAAGUUUGCUUGGAGUACAAAAUCAAGUUUAAAAGGGGCUAUUGAAAUGUAAAUUGAUUUUUAUUUUGGGGUUAUAAAAUAAAAGACCAAGAUUAGAAAAAAGAUUCAAAUAGAAGCAUAGAAAAUUCUAUCUAGAAGGAUUCUAGAAUGAUAUAAAAAAGUAUCUAGGAAUGCUUAUCUAUAAAACGCCUCUAGAUAAGUUUAGAAUUAUAAAAAUAUUUUAGAAAUUUCUAAAAAAAAAAAUAAUAAUCCUUAGAUUAAUGUUGUGGUUACAAAAUCUUAAUAAUUGAUUGAAGAUGUUAUACUAACAUAAAUAAGAGAUGAUUAUAACAUUUGUAAUCAAGAAAAAAAAAAUCAUUCAAUAUAACAAGUUUUUCUUUCUCUCAACAUCCUCAAACUUCUUCCAAUUUUUAAACACUUUCUUCAUAGUUCUAAAAUUUCCUCCUCUCAAGAAAUCUAUUCUGGUGGUGUUAGAACUAAUUCUGUGAUUUUGUUGAGUUAGGAAAUCGAUCGUGGUGUUAGAACCCAUUAUGUAAUUUUGUGCAUGGGGAGCUAUUCUCUCCUAUUGUCAAGCUUUAUGAGGAAAUCAUCAACAUUAUCUGUGUUGCAAUAGGAAAGCAUUUCAUUAAAAUAAUAGUACCACAUAUAAUAACAAAUAUUAGAAAAAACUUAGUUAACCUGAAGUAGUAAAAACAAAAGGUAAAAGGGUUAUGUAUUCUCUAAACACAUGAAUGUAAUAAUGUUGAUGAACUAUAAUCAUAUUCAAAGCAUACCACAUUAUUGCAAGAUUAUAACAGUCAACUUAUAAAGUAUGUGAACAACUUUUCAUGAGACAAUUUUCAAGAAAAAGAUUAUAAGUGGAAAUUAAUUUAUAAAUAAAUAAAUUUUUCAUGUUCAGUUUAUGGAUUAUAUAGUCCCAUUUCACUUUGAAUUUAAGAGCAUUUCAAACAUUAGACCAAAAUGAACCAUGUAGAAUUUAUAUACUAAAUAUAAAGAUAAUUUUAUACUCUUUCUUUUCUAUCUACUAAAACAAUUUUUAUCUAUCAAUUAAUUAAUCACAAAUUUCACCUUAAAUCUUUUUAUCUUCAAAUCUCACUUGAAAUAAAUAACACAAACAUUAUUUUUAAUUUCAUUUAUUCACUCUUCCACAUAUUUAUUUUUGAAAGUGCAACACAAUGUUUUAUAACCUUGUUUAAGAGAUAAUACAUAUAUAUAUAUAUAUAUAUAUAUAUAUAUAUAUAUAUAUAUAUAUAUAUAUAUAUAUAUAUAUAUAUAUAUAUAUUUUGAUAAAAAAUACUAUCAUCCACUGUCGUUUAUAUUAUCUUACAAUUAUUUAUAUUCUAAAAAAGCCAACACGUACCUUAACAUAUUAACUAUCUUACCAUUUUCAGGUCAUGGAGGUUUCCAAUAUAAAAACUUGAGGAAAAAAAAAAAAAAGAAGAGGACUUUAUAUUGUUACUUACUUCAGAAUGAACUCCUUUUCCUUGUGUAGAAAAAGCACUUGUUAAAGGAAAUAUUCUUUCUCCAGUAGAAUCAGUUUCACCUCCUGAACCUUCUUGAACAGACCUUAGAAGAGUUUGAGGUGAACUAUUUGAAGAAAUAUGCUGUCUCUCUCCCAAUCCUUCUUCAUUUGAUACUUGAUUUCCAAUCCUUUGGAUCAAAUCAGUUAACGAUUCAUCUUCUUCAUCUUCAUCAACAACUAACUUCCUCUUUCUUCCUGGUUGACCCUUCUUUUCUAACUUUUUUGUUUCUCCUUCACCAACCACCUUCUCCAUGACAGUUUUUUGUUUCUGUGAGUCUGCAGACUUGUUGGAAAGAUUGUGAAGUGCUGGUCUUCCUCUUCUGGUAUGCUCAAGGACUGGUUCAUCAUCUUCUCUAAGUAUUUCCCUAAGUAAGCGCACCCUUUUAAGUUUCUUGGAAGACUUCUUUUGAUGAAGAUCCUGAAUUUCAUUCUCAGUUUCUUCAUUCUUCUCACUAUCCCCUGCUUGAACGUCAUCUCCGGUGACCGGAGGAAACUGUUCAGCAUUGUGUUCAGGCACAAUAUCUUUCUCGGUAACUUUCAGUGCUUUUCCUGCACGUUUACAUGAUUUUCUUAAUUCUUGCAGGCAUUGGUCAUCUUCACAAAUCUGCUUCCCUUUGUUAGCUACCUGUGAACAGCUUUUGUCUUCAGUUGUGACAUUGUUAACAACAAGCUCCGCCUCAGUCUCAUGAGCUACAAUUCCUUCAAAACCUGUCUCCAAGUAAAGAAGAAUUUUUUGUUCUAAGUGGGAAAUUUAAAAUUUCUAGCAUCAAAAUGUUAUUAUUAUUAUUGCUAUAAUUAGAUGCUCAAUUGCAAUUUAGUUGAAUAAAUUAACUCGCCUCUUUCAUUUUCCUGCGUUUCUUGGACGAGGCUUGGACACACAUCUGAAGAUCCAACAUUGUUUGAUACUUGAAGAUUGAGAUCAUUCUCCAUAAGGUCUGGUGAAAAUAGAGAAGAUCAAGCCAAAGAUUUGAAAUAUUAAGCAAAAUACUCUUGUUUUAUUUUGAAGUUACCUGUUAUUUCAUUGAUUGAAAUCUGAUCAGCGUCAUUGUUUUCCUCUUCAUUAAUUGGUGUAUGAUCACCGUUAUCUCUAUCAUUAAUACUACCAGUCAAGUCAAUGACUUUGAUAAUAUCAGUUUCUUUUCUAGCAGGAACAUUCUUAUUUGUCAGAGGUUCCUGAACUUCCUUACAGGAUGUCCUUUGGUCAGUUUCAUCACUGAUAUUUAACAAAUUUUCUCUUCGACAUACACUACAACUCCAUGAUGGGAAUUUUCGAACCACUAGUGGAGAAAGCGAUGGUUGUGUCUCAGACCCUCUUACCGGGAAAGAUAGACUUGGGUCUUUAUUACUCAUUUCAGCAACGUAACCCCUGCAAUAUUAACAAACAAAUGUUACAGUUAUGAAACUAGCAUAAAAAUAUUAUUUUUAUCAGACAAAAAUAAACAUGUUAAUGGGACAAUUGGGUGAUCCCCAUCCAUAUAUAACAAAAUCAAUAACAUAAAACAGAAAAAAAAAAACAUAGAAGAAAUUUGUUAGGAUCCUCCUUACGACAAGAAAAACCUAGUAUAUCACAAAUGUUUAUUUUUUAGUGAUUAUGUUCUUGACAAAGAUACUGAAUUUAUUAUUAAGCUCUUUAAGUACAAUAUAACAAAGGUCUUAGAUCCUUUGUUCCCAUUCCCAUCAAGCACAUAUAGCAGUUGUGAUAUACAUUGUCCUCAAGGGUUAGAUAUGCUGCAUUGUGUUUGUAAACAAUGAUAGUUGGUUUCUCUCAAAAUUUCAAUCCUUCAAAAGGUUUAGCUAUCCAAUCCUAAUAUUCUUACUUUUUAGACAACUUUCAAUUAUAUUAAGUCAUGUUAUUUUUAGAAAAACUCACUACCCUGCUCAACAAACAUUUUUAAUCUAAUAGCUAUGUAUAAUAGCUAAGUCAUAUUAAGUAAUAUUUUUGUGUAAUUUUUUCCACAAAUAGUAGUCUAUGUUUAAACAUUUUAAUUCAAAAUACUACAAAAAAAAAAUUAUCUCCUAAAGAUUGAAGAUACUUCUAAAAUAUCUACAUGCUGUAAAUAUUUAUAGAAAUCGUGUUUUUCAGGUUCAUAAUCAAAUUUAUAUUUGAACAAUAUCUAGUUGUUACCUCAAUCCCUGUGAACGUCAAAAUGCUAUAAUUUUACUUCUUUAUAUUCUCCAUUAUAUAUAGAUCAAUUACGCCCAAAAUAAUUUAAAGAAAAUAUCUCAUCAUACACUUUUUUUAAAUAUAAUGAUUGUAAUUAGUUAUUCUAUUAAACUGUUAAUUUUUUUAAAAAAUAAUGAAUAUAGAGCAUGGUUCUUAAAUUGUUUUAGAAGCAAUUUUAUUCCUUACAUCAACAAAAUAUAUUAAAUUCCUUACAUUAACAAAAUAUAAUUGACUAAUUAAAGCAUCUAUAAUUCAAUCAUCAUGUGCACUUCCUUUACCAACAAAAACUUAUUAAGAAAAUGAAAACAAGAAAACAAAUUCAUCUAUUCAACUGUAUUUUUAUCUUACAGAUAAACAAGAAUAUAGGGAAAAGAAUAGAGUUACCUUAAUGAGAAAUGAUUACAGGAUGGAGUGUCUCCUUUACUCAUCUCAGUAGUAUAGACUAAAUCAGUAUAUUUCUUAGGUUCCAUAAGCUUGAUGAUAAUUGUGAGUUCCCCACUGAAUACUACAAACAAGUACAGUUAUAAAUCAAAUUGAAUUUUCAUAGAAGUGAAAUAGGAAGGCUAAAAAGCAAUACAGAAUUUUAAUAAACACGUUACAUUUCCCUAACCAAACAAUCAAUAUAAAGUUUACAAAAUUUAAGUACACUAUAUUUGUGUUUUUUUUUUUCAACAAACAAUAAAUAUAUUUAUACUAGAAUGUUGCCCAUACUUUACUAUGUUUGUAUAUAUAUUAUUCCUUCUUCUGUAUCAGAUGUACAUACAUGUACAUAUUUGUAGUUAUAUAAAUUUUAUUAACUGGUUGAUAGAUGUUUUAACAAAGGAAGCUUUGUGAUUUUGAAAGAAGAGUACAAGAAACUUUUGAUACUAUUGUGAGAAUAAAAUUUUAAAUACUCUCUGUGUGGAGGCAUUCCUUCCAAAGAAUACUCCAAGUUCUCAGUUUUUUUUUUUAUAUAUCUAAGUCAAAAAUAAGUCAACUUAAAAAAAAGGGUAAAUGUUAUUAUAAUUUGAAAUAAAUAAAAAAAUGUCUAUAAUACUGUUUGAUUUUUCCUAAAUAAGGUCUAAAUAAUAAGUGUAGAAAAUUAUAUAGGGGAGCUUUAAUUAGAGAAGCUCCUAGAAGAGAGUCUAAAUCUCUCCAUUAACAUCUAUAAAUACUCCAUUGUAACAUUUUCAAACAAAGAAAUUUGAGUUCUCUAUUAAUUCUCAUCUCUUUUUCUAACAAAUUAGUAUCAGAGUUAGGUUUGAUCUAGAGAUUUGAGAGAGAGAAAAAAAAAAGAGUUUAGAAAUAUUAAACAAUGAAUAUACUACUUUCUAAUUUUCUCGUCUUACAAAUGAGAAUUAUGAAAAAUUGUGUCCUUGUGUGAAAGAAUUGUUAGGCUUUUAAGGUGCUUUGGAUAUUGUACAAAAAGGUUAUAAGGAGCUUCAAGAUGAAGGAAGCUUAUCUCAAGAGGAGAUGGAGAGUUUGUUGAAGCAAAGAAGAAAGAGCAACAAGCCUUACUCUCAUCCAUCAAUGGUUGAAUGAUGACAUGUUUGCCUUCGGAGAUCUUAUAAAAAUUUAUCCAAGGUGACGACAAAGUGAAGAAGAUAAGGCUUCAAUAACUAAGAAGAGACGUUGAAGCUUUGAAAAUGAAGGAAUCCAAAUCAAUUUCAAAUUAUUGUUUAAGAGUAAAGACAACCACCAACUGAAUAAAGAGAUAUGAAGAUAAAAUAGAAUAUGCUCGUGUGAUAGAAAACAUUCUCAAUUUCUUGACCCUAAAGUUCGACUACAUAGUAUGUGCAAUUGAAGAAUCAAAAGAUCUUGACUCCAUGAGUCUUGAAGAGUUGGAAGGUUCUCUAUAAGCUCAUGAAGAAAGAUAGAAAAGAAGACAAGAAGAGCCAUUAUAGCAAGCCCUUAAAGCUCAUGCUUCUUUGAAGAAUAAUGGAGGAUUUAAGAGUCAACUAAGAUGUGGACGAAGAAGAGGACAUGGUCGUGGACAAGGAAGGAGAGGACAUGCUCAUGAACAUGAAGGAAGAUGAAAUGGUAAUAAUGCUUCAAACAAUGAAGAAAGAAGUUAUUCAUCAUUAAGAACCCGUGAAAGAGCAAGAGGAAGAAGUCAUGGUUCUUUUCAAAAUGAAAGAAAGUAUGAAAAAUCUAAAGUUGAAUGUUACAAUUACCAUAAGCUUGGUCAUUUCUCUAGGGAAUGUUGGUUUAAUGACGUGGAGAAAAAAAAAUUAAUCUUAUUAAUAAAGAAGAAGACCAAACCUUGUUGCUAACCCUAAAAGGUGAAAAAAAAGGACGCUAAUUGUUUAUGGUACUUAGACAAUGAUGCUAACAAUCACAUGUGUGGAUACAAGGAGAAGUUUAUGGAACUUAAAAGAGAAUGAGAAUGGAAAUGUGUCUUUUGUAUUUUAAAUUGAAACAAUAUUUUAUUAUGUGUCUAAAUUAAAAAGCAAUAUUUUAAGUUUAGGUCAACUUCUUGAAAAAAGAUGAGAUUUUCAUGAAAGAUAAAUAUUUUUGGCUUAAAGAUCAAAAUGAAAAUUUCAUUGUUAUGGUGUUUAUGUCAAAAAAUAGAAUGUUUAUCUUGAAUAUAAAACCUAUUGAACCGGAGUGUUUAAUGGUGAGCAUGUAAGAUAAAACAUGGUGUUGGCCAAUGAGGUUUGUACACUUAAACUUUAGUUUUCUUAAAAAUUUGGGAGGAAAGGAGAUGGUGAAAGGGAUGCAUACAAUCAAUAGUCAAAAUCAAUUGUGUGAAGAAUGUAUUCUUGGAAAGCAUGCAAGGAAAAACUUUCCAAAAGUAGCUACCUCAAGAGAAACAACUUUUUCAACUUGUACAUACCAACAUAUGUGGUCUAAUUAAUCACCAUCAGUUGGAAAGAAUAAAUAUUUAUUACUCUUUAGUGAUGAUUUCAGUAGAAAAAUGUAAGUGUUUUUGAAACAAAAGUUAGAAGUUUUUUCUGCUUUCAAGAAUUUCAAGGUUCUUGUUGAAAAAAGAAAAUGGUUUUAAAAUCAAAUCUUAGAUUUGCUCUGAGGGACAGAAUUCACUUAAAGGGAUUUCAAUGAAUUUUGUGCAACUCAUGAAAUUCGUUGUCCAUUAAGUGUUCCUAGAUCGUUGCAACAAAAUGAAGUAAUCAAAAGAAAGAACAAAUCCAUUCUUAAGAUGGCCAUAAGCAUGUUAAAAGCUAAACAUAUGCCCAAGGAGUUUUGGACUAAAGUUGUUUCUUAUGUAGUCUAUUUGUCUGAUCGAUCUCCAACUUUCAAUGUCAAAGAUCAAACUCCUCAAGAAGUUUGAUUUAGAGUGAAAGGAAGCCUAGUGUUAAUCAUUUGUAUGUCUUUAGGAGUAUAGCUUACACUUAUGUACAAUGAUUUAUGAAUUCAAUACAUCCUGUUUAGUAGAAAGACGUAUAUUCCAUGCUAAUUAUCAGACAAUUACUUAUUCACAAAUCUUGUGGGGGGCUAAUAGUUUUCAUUUCCCAUCUCAUGGAAAACCCUUUUCGCUCCGCUUAGCCCUACCUCCCCCUAGUAGGNGUAUUUUAGUGNUAGGUUCUAUAGGAACUGGACGAUCCUAUUUGGUCAAAUACUUGGCAACAUUCCUUCUAUCGUAUAUCCUCGAUUAAUGAAGUCUUAUAUGCUUGAAUUUUAGGAUUCUAGUAUUAAGCGAAAGGUUAUACUUAUAAUUAUGGGGUUAGGACAACCCCAGAUUACUAGUACUGAUAGACAACAUUGGAAAAGAAACACUACACUUGAAAAUCAAGGACACAAAAACUUUGUAUUUAUCUAUAUCUAUGGCUUAUCGAGAUUGGGAUUAACAGGAAUGGUUGGGACAAUAAAUAUCUAUCUCGUUCAUAUUUUGGAUACCCAUAGAGGUGACUAAUUCCAGGAAAUUAAAUAUGUUUCUGUUGGCCAAACAUGUUUCCCAGCUCAAUGACUGAAGUGCCAAAUAUGUUGCUGUUGGCUAUGAUGCUCAUUCUAAAGGCUACAAAUUAUACAAUCCAAGGUAAGUCAUGAUGUUGAAUUUAUGAAGAAGCUACAUGGUCUUGAGAUGCUCAAGAAGAAAAUAUUUAUGAUUUUCUUUCUACUCUUGAAGAAGAGGGAGCAGAUCAAGAAAUUGCAAUUCAAAAUGUCACUCCUCCUCAUUCGCCCCCUCCAUUAGCUACAUCUCAUGCGAAAAAAGAAAGUACAAGUGAAAGGCCAAAGAAGACAAGAGACAUAUGUAACAUUUAUGAAAGGUCUGAUGAAAUCGCUCAUAAUCUUAAAGAAUUAUAAUGCCUUCAAAUAAACUGUGAGCAACUACAUUUUAAGGAAGUUGUGAAGAAUAAAAGGUGGAAACUUGUCACAGAAGAAGAGAUUCAUUUAAUAUAAAAGAAUGAUACUUUGGAACUAACAACUCUUUCCAAAAGACAUAAAGCUAUUGCUGUAAAACACGUGUACAAAGGUAAGAAUAGUAGUAGUGUAAAGGUCGAAAAAUACAAGUCAUGACUUGUAAAAUGCUAUAUAUCUGCACAAGUACUAACAAAGAGUUAGUAUUUCAUGAUUGAAGUAAACAUAUAGACAAGAGAUAUUAUUUCAUAAGAGAAUGUAUUUUUAGAAAGGAAGUGAAUCUCAAGUAUGUCAAGACUCAAGAUCAAGUCAAAUAUAUUCGUCAAGUUAUAAAAAUUUGAAGAGUUUAUAAAGCUAAGAACAAAUAUUGAUGAAAAUUUCAAAUUGAAAAAGAGAAAUAUUAUUGUAAUUUGAAAAAAAAAAGUCUAUGAUACUUUUUAAAUUUCGUUAAGAAAAGUCUAAAUAUUCUAGAAAAUUUAUAAUUAUGAAAAUUGUAAAAAAUUCUAUAGUGAAACUUUAAUCAGAGAAACUCUGGUAAGAGAGUCUAGUCUAUAUCUCUCCGUUAAUACCUAUAAAUACUCUAUUGUACAAUUCUCAGUUUUUUCUUUAAGGAUGUAUUAUCUAUGUUCAUUCUUGAUGAAAAGACCAUAGAUAUUCCAAUUAAGAAUAAAAUUUAUAAAUUUACCUGAAAGUGAGAAGAACACUUAAUUAGGUAAAAAAAAAAAUAGUUUAUUUUUUAAAUGACUCUAAAAUAUAAACAUGAGUUAUCUGUUUACGUAUCUCUCAACGAAUCUCUCACUACACUAUAAUUAUCCAUCUCUAUGUAUAUUAUUCUUCAAAAUACCACUUUGAAGAGAAGAGAAAAAAUUCAUGAAAUGUAAAAAAUUAAAUUAACUUUCUUUAUGUAUAUAUAUAUAUAUAAUAAAAUUGAUAGGAAAUCUAAAAAAGAAAAAAAGUAAAACCAUUAAGAUUACAUAUCUCCUCAGAUUUCUUGGAAUAUCAAUUGCAUAAAUUCAAUUUCAAUUUAUAGCUAGGUUUUCAUUUCGUUUAACAUAAAGAGACACAAAUAGUUACGAUUUUGUAUACACAAUCAUAUUCUUCGUAAUCUCUGUCCAACUAUAUCUAAAUAAAUUUAACUACUCGAAAAUCUAAUUUUAAUUUUGAAAUGAUAUAAGAUAGAAUUUAAAUAAAUACUUCUAAUUGUACCUCAGAAAAAUUAAAUUCCAAGAUUAUUGCUGCUGAUUACUUCCUAUUUCAAAGAGACACUAAGAUUUCCGACAAUUUGCGUAGAGGUAGAUGUAGUUGAUGAGAGAGGAGUUCACGAAGAAAGACGUCGAAGAUUCUGAUGAUUCCUUUUAGUUUGUUAGGGUUUUGGUCCAGUGAAAUCAACUCACUAAAAUAAAACAAGGAAAAAGAAUAUUUAAUGAUAUGUUUACUCACACUACAUUUUUUUUAAUUUCAAUAUUUAUUCUUUCUUAAUUAUUAUUAUUAUUUUGAGAUGUAAUUGUAAUAAAUACUAUUUUUUAUCAGAAAAAUAAAUAUAUUAAUAAAUACUACUAAUUAUACUUCAUAAAAUUAAAUUAUAGAAGUUAUCUCUAUUUUAAUUAAACUUUGAAUAACUCUAAUAUUUAUAAUUGUCUUUUUAUAAUGAUUGAAUAAGAUAUAAAAUUAUUAAGUUUAUUAAUUUUUAUAAAAAAGAAUUUAAAAAUAAUAUAUAAAACCAUUUUUAAUUUAUUAAAAGUAUAAAAAAUAUUUUAUAUUAAUUCAUAAUGUCAUUAUUUAUAUUUUGAAAAAUUGAUAAUUUAUAUUUUAAAUAAUAUUAGCUUUAAAGAAUUUUAAUCAUAAUAAAAUUAUAAAUGUUCAAAAUAUUUAUUAUUAAUUUUAUUUAUAGACAUUUACCUACAUUUCAUAUACUAAAAACUAAAUUGUAAAGUUGUUGCAAUUAAGAUUUUUUUUCAUACACAAAUAUAUAUAUUAAUUUAAAAUAUAAUUUGUACAAAUUUGUUCCCAAUUCAACAAUUAAGAACACUGAACAACCACAUACUCAAUCAAACUCACAACUUUAUACAACAUUAGAACUUGUAAGGUCUGAUUUUAUAUUACUCAAUACCUCUCAUAUUCUUUAAGUGAGCUUCUGGUGUCCACAUUAUUGUUGUUAGAGUCUUGUUUUGAUAAACAUUUGCAUUUUAUGUGAAUAAUUUUGUAGAUUAAAUAUGCUCCAACCCUAUUGUGUUAUAUAUGAUGAGUAACAUUCAUUCUCAUACAACUAACCUCUUAUAUGUAAGUAUUAGUAUAUCGACACUGCUUGUCAUCUCUUCCCUCCAACUUCUUAGCUAUUUCAGUCCAUUUUUUAUCAUCAAUCUUAUCAGUUUUCUGCAGUUAUAAAAAUAAGAUUCAACACAAAAUUUUAUUCACAAGAAUUUAUCAAACUAAAAAUUAGAUAAGAAUUCAAGUAGUGUAAAUCUGAGUCUUAUAGGGAACAUAAAUGAAAAACUCUACCACAAUAAAGAAGGAAAAAAUUCAUAAAUAUAUUUUGAAGAUAACUGAAAUAAACAUUACAAUGUGCUCAAAAGUUUCAAAGCUAUAUUUAAAUUCAAUCUGUACUUACAAAACUAUCACGGAAUUGGAAAUCUGGGAUGACUUUGGUCGUAAUGAAAUGUGGAGGCACAAGGAAUUUGUACCAAUGAGAAACCUAGGAUCUUGAACAGAUGAUGCAGGAAACUGAAUUGGUAGUGCUAAGCAGAACAGUAUGGGUUGAGAGUAGUAGCAGCAAAUGCUUUUAGUAUCAUGUGGAAAAUUAAAGCAUCGGAUGAAGAAUUUGCAAGUCAUAUGUUUUUUAUCUAUCAUUCUGUCUGCUCUGUGUAGAAUCAAUGUCUGGAGGUGGGUAGAUAUGAACUUGUCCUUCACAAUCAGUUGGAGAAUAAUCUUAUACAAUUUUUCACAUGCCAGGAGAUGCUAACAAAAUGAAGUAUGUGUGCUGUUAAAGGAGAACAAUUCACAACAAAUAAAUACACAUCCGUUUUCAUGUCCUAUAUUUUGUAUGUGUAAAAGUAGUAUCCAUGCUACACCAUGAUAGAAGAUAUUUUCAACAUAAAUGGUUACAUAGAAAGAUCAACGACAGGUGGUGAAAAGAGUGUUGAUCAACAUAAAUAUAUUCAUCUCGUACAUGAAAAUAGAUAUUAAUAAAUGAUUCAUGAAGAUCCGAUCAGAAUGAAACCAUAUAUCCAAUAAACUUGAAUCUUUAUAACGGAUACAGGAACAUGGAAUACAUUGAGGUAUGCAUAUAAGAAAUUACACACACCGUUGGGUGUAAUUUCAUUGAGAUAAGAUUAUAUAUGAAGAGGGUUAUGGAAACCAUGAAGAUAGAACCUCAAUUGCAGAUGCAGUUUCACUAGGCCAGAAACACAAUGCCAUGAAGCAAUUGGUUUCAUGGGUGGAGGACCAGUUAAUGUCAUUUUACAUAAAUUUCAGUUAAUUCUCAAUUAUGUGUCAUUUAUUGUAUAACUUUUUACAUUUUUCUUUCUUGUUUUAGAAUAUUUUAACAGCCAUACUAUAUUAUGAAUAAGAGGAUAACUCUAUAUAUGGUUAGAAACAACCUUUCACAAACUAUGAUUAAGAAGGGAUAAAUAGGUCUCUAUUUCUCUAAACCUAUUGGAUUGUCUUUCUUCUUAGCUAUAAGGUUACCAAGGAUGCAUUACAACCAUUAGGAAUACUCCCAGACUGUUGAAAAUAGUUUAAUGCUUCUAUUACAUCAUAUUUUACCAGUGUUUUUUUUAUGAAAUUAAAAUUGAACCCAUCAGAUUUAGGAUUCUUUCUGCCACCUUGCAUCUUUAAUUUCUAUUUUCUCAAUAUAACUAAAGCUAUUAGUGAAGGGAAUUCAACAAUAGGAGAUAUCAAGAGGACCAAACAAUUAAAGUCUAAUUAUCUUUGCUUUGAAGUGAAUUUUUUCAAUAGUUCUAUUUGCAUAAAUUAUGGAAAGAGGAGGUGGUAAACAUAUUUAUGAUAAUAUUUAAUUCUGUUAGAUUAGGACACCUUUAAUUGCUAUAAAAAGAGAAUAUCAACUUUUACUUUAUCUAUUGAGAUGUUCUAUUGGAAACAAAUUUGAAUUAACUUGUCACAAAUUCUGUUUAUAUAUAAUUAAAAAAAAAACAAGUAAGAAGAGUGAUUUUAUAGCAUGUAUGGUAGAAGGUGCGGGAUAUAUUGAAGUAUAAUGGAAACAGAGGCGACUAUAAUUUUGUUCGAUUUAACUUGUUAUUUUUAGGUUUAAUCAUUCAAAGGUCUCUAUUUUUGGAAAGAAUCUCAAUUUGGUUCUUUUCUUUUUUAGCAUCUCAAUUGAGUCUUAUUUUUGUAAAAAUUACAACAAUUAGGUCCAUGCCGUUAAAUUCAGUCCAACGGUGUUAGUAUGUGGUUGACGUGUCACGCUUAACUUUUAUCACCCUUGCCACAUCAGCAUCUCCUUCAACACUUCUCCAACCAGAAACCCUAAUUCCCAAAGCCUAGUUACCAUGCGCCGCCAUCGCCAUUCUCGCCAACAGUCAUCCCCUCAACCUUCGCUGUGAAGCCUUCUGUCACUCUCGUCCUUCCUCAAACGUAAGCUUCUUCAUCCAGCAACCAUGGCAACCCCACCAUCCAUCACUCUCGCCAUGACAGAGUUGUCGCACUCAAACUGCAAGUCGUCGUCAUGACUUGUCCUCCAUUAUCAUCAUCUUUGCAAGCUCUGCAACCAAACAGAAUCGCAACGAACAUCAACAAAAUCGAAACCAGAGAAUUGCGACUCAGGAAAUCUCGCAAGCGCCACCCAAAUGCCAUAGCGCCAUCAACAACGACGAGCUCCUCCUCCAUUCGCGAAACCCUUCGUGUCACCAUCGACCUCGCACCAUACCAGUCAGGUCGACGUCACCUCGCAAGCUUCCUUGUCGUUGCCAUCCAAGCUUCAUUCAUCAUCAAUGCGGACCUGUAAUUACCAAAUUCCAGAAACCCAACAAAAACCCAAAAUCAGAGGAAACGCUUUGCGCCACCACAUUCUCGAAAGCCUCCUCCUUUAAGAAUUAGGGUUUCUGGAGAAGGGUUGAAGGAGAUGCUGACGAGGCAAGGGUGAUAAAAGUUCAGCGUGCCACGUCAACCACAAACUAAUAUCGUUGGGUUCGGUUUAGCGAUAAGAGCCCGAAUUGUUGCAAUUUUCACAAGGGUGUUGCUCCCUACACCUCCCCAAGCGGGACCUGUACCUCCCCAUUAAUUUAAUUUAUUUCAAAAAUAUUCUACACCUCCCCAUUAUUUUCUUUUAUUCCAAAAACACCCUACACCUCCCCAUUAUCCUUAACAAUCUUUCUCUUUCUCUCUCUACAUUAAUGGAGCAUUUACAUGANNNNNNNNNNNNNNNNNNNNNNNNNNNNNNNNNNNNNNNNNNNNNNNNNNNNNNNNNNNNNNNNNNNNNNNNNNNNNNNNNNNNNNNNNNNNNNNNNNNNNNNNNNNNNNNNNNNNNNNNNNNNNNNNNNNNNNNNNNNNNNNNNNNNNNNNNNNNNNNNNNNNNNNNNNNNNNNNNNNNNNNNNNNNNNNNNNNNNNNNNNNNNNNNNNNNNNNNNNNNNNNNNNNNNNNNNNNNNNNNNNNNNNNNNNNNNNNNNNNNNNNNNNNNNNNNNNNNNNNNNNNNNNNNNNNNNNNNNNNNNNNNNNNNNNNNNNNNNNNNNNNNNNNNNNNNNNNNUUAUAAAGUUAGUAUAUAAUAAUAAUAAUAAUAAUAAUAAUAUAUCAUUAUUUACUAUUAAUAUUAUUAUGUUUAUUAUUUUGUAUUUGCAUCUAACUUUUAAUUUUAUAAAAUGGAAAUGGUAGAAGUAUUAAUAUUGAAGUUUCCUCUUAAUAUUAUAUUUUGUAGUAUGUUGCAAAUUCAAAUCUGAACCAAGUGAAUGCUCCAUUAAUGUAGGGAGAGACAGAGAAAGAUGGUUAAGGAUGGAGAGGUGUAGGAUAUUUUUGGAAUAAAGAAAAUAGUAGGGAGGUAUAGAAUAUUUUUGAAAUAAAUUAAAUUAAUGGGGAGAUACAAGUCCCACUUGGAGAGGUGUAGGGAGCAACACCCUUUUCACAAAAAUAGGACCCAAUUGAGAUGCCAAAAAAGAAAAAAUCCCAAUUGAGAUUUUCCCCGAAAAUAUGAACCUCAUGAAUCAUUAAACCUUAUUUUUAUGGAAAUAUUUGAUUCUGGUACAAUAUAAACAAUGUUUUGACUAAUAUAUAUAAAACCAAAUUCAAUUGCUAUAUUUUUAUUUUUAAGGUUAACUAUUGAUAGAAUGUCUUACUCUAAUUUAUUUAAUUAUGAAUAAGUUUUCAUACUCUUAUAAAUAUGUUUCUAAUGAUAUAUUUGGACAGGAAAUUAAAAUUUAUUUUCAUUUUAAAUUUUGAUAUAUUUUAAUUUUUAAACUUUAAAAUGAAUAAAUAUAGUUUUUUAAUAUAAUGGUGUUAAAUUUAUUUUAAAUAUUGAAUGACACUCUUGACUCACGUUUAAGUUGAAAUGUGUUGGUAUAAAUUGUUCAAACACUAAUAUAAAACAUAGUUUACAAAAAUUACAAUACAAUUAUAUUAGAAAAAUUAUAUUUAUUUAUUUUUAAAAUUUAAAGCUUAAACCAUAUCAAAUUUGUGAUAGAAAUAAAUUAUAUAUUAAAUGUGUGCGGUGUGGUGAGAACUGUUAAGAGUACUUAAUUCGAGAUUAUUGUGAUUUUUUUCCUACUUAAAACUACAAAUGUACACAUAUGUUAUUAAUUAAUUUCAAAUCUAAACGUAACACAUCGAAUCAUUACAUAAUUCUUAAAAGAUCUUGUGGAACUUUCAUAAUCAUCAUCAACCUAACAUAAAAAAAAAUCAAUUAUUACUUAGUUAUGAUAGAGGAAUAUAACUUUUUUCAAAUCAUUACAUAAUUUUUUAAGAAUCAAUCAUUACAUAAUUUUUUUUCAAAUCACAAUACUUUGAUUAAGCGAUUAUAAUGUUUUACUUACAUUAAAACAAUUAUAAAUCACAGUCUAAAAAAUUUAUAUAAAAUUUAGUGAUACGAAAAUGAGUUGAAAGUACUGAACCAAUUUGGUCUAUUAUGAAUUUGAAUCGAGUUUGCUUAAAAAGAAAUUGAAAUUUCAAUAAAAGUCAAUUUUGAAUCCGACGAUUAAGAAUCCAGUUGAACUCAUGGUGAGUAAAUUGGUUCAUCAACCCACUUAAUUAUUAAUUAACACUAUUUUUUAUUGUAUUAUAAAAGGAAAAAAAUAAGAAAAUGUUUUAAGAAAGCAAAAUAUUGUGUAUUUAUUCCUUCAAGACUCUAAUCUUAUAGAUGGAUACAAAAAUUAUCAAUGUAAAAUACUUAUUUAUUUUGUUUUCUGAACUUGAUUUUGGAUUCUAUUUAAAGUUUAAAAUGAUUUUAAAUUGUAUUGUAUUUUUUACUCAUUUUGAUUUGUCUAAGUUUAACAUUUUGGACUUAAUUUUUUUUUAAUUGAAAAAAAAAACGUAUAAUUCAAUAAAUUGAUAUGUUUAACCCACCAAAAUAUAGUUACUAGACUAAGUUUCUAGUUCCUUGUAGACCGGACUAGAUAACCCAUUUUAAAAGCAUGUAAAUAUAAGUAAUUUUAACAAUAUACAUCAUAUCACUUAAAAUUAGCUCCCGUACCGAAACCAUGAUCUAAUUAAUUACAUAUAUUUUAGCUGUUGUUGCUUGAAUUUAAAUCUAAUUCCACCUGUGAUUAAAUAUUAAAACAAACGUUCAUGCUUGAAUUUAAAAAGAAUAUAUUUUGAGAAGUUAUGAUUUAUGCAGACAUAAUUUAGAACACAAUUUGAAAUGGUAUGUCGUUAACAAUUAUUUGAAAAUUUUGAAAACACGGGGUAGUAUUUAAGGGAGGAUUGACAUAGAAAAAAAAUUUCUGUAUGGUACUGUAAUAAGAAGUCAUUAGUUAUUCUACCAGAACUAGGAAUGGUUCCAAUUCAGCUAGGGCUUCUUGUUCUGUUUGGAAUAUGAACGGCUGCGAUUUUCCCCAGUAUCCUCUUUUGGCACCUUAUCUUUUUUCUCCAUCAUGUAGGGAUUCCAUGCUGCAAUGGGAGUGAAAUCAGCUUGGUUUCUGUUCGUCCCACAGAACCUUUCAGAGAUAUUGUUGUUCAGGGACACUAGAUUUGCACGAAUACCACCACAGUGUUGUGUUGGAGUUUCUUCUUCUUGAUCAAGCCAGCCACAUGCAGAAGGGCCAUUGAAGUUCCCAUCAAAGAUUGCUGCGGCAUGUGAUUUUUCCAUCUCAGUCUUUGAACAUUCAUCAGGAUCAAUGCCUUCUGCGGCAACAUUCAAGUCAAUGGAUAUUCCAAGACCAAUGUUUCCAUUUAGCAUAUAUUCGUCAGUAUGGUGACCGUAAUGUGGAAGGUUCAGAUCAAAAUCAAUUCCCUUCAACUGCUUAAUCUGUGGGUUAGGCUCAGGUUCUACAUUUACCAUAUUAAUCUGAGAUAUUUGCAACAAGGCGUCUAAAGCCUCCAGUUCAUUGUGCUCCCUCGUGGCCUCAUCAGUUUCCUGCAAGAAGAUGGUCACAACUUUCAUUUCUUUGGCACUGGUGUGCUCUGUAAUGAAAAUCUCAUAACUAACAAUAGCAGUUUGCAUCUGAUGAAAUAAACUUCUAAACUUGUCAGAGAUUAAACUAUUUUCUAUACUGAUAAGGUUUCUAUUAACAGAGUAAAUGAAUUAAUACUUAAAUAGAAGUAACAGCAAACAUAUAAUAGGAGCCUCUUUGAGAAGAUUGAUUACACAUCAAAAUAUAAUUUUAUUUGAAAAAUAUGACAUAAUAGUGUCAAAAGAAAAAUGUUAUAUAUGAUAAAGAAAGACAAGAGAAUUGUCUAAUGUCUCACUCAUUUUGAAUCUUAAAUAAAAUCUCUUCUUUAUUAACAAAUGAUGUAGAAAAAAUAUUAUCUACGUUUCAAAGAAACAAAUGCAUCUGAUAAUAUAAUUUGCAGUUGAGUUAUUUAAAAUUUUGUUUUACAUUUAAAUUGUUUUAGUUUUUUAUUCGAUAAAUGUAGGUUAUGUGGAUUGUAAUUGUAACUGUAGGGACAAUAGAUGUUAAAGUUUAGCUAAGGUAAUCAUUCAAGUUUCACGCAUGAUGUGGGGAGUGUUUUUGCUUCUACAAAUUUAUUUGAAUUGAUGUAGUUCAUCUUUACAAUUUGUGAAUAAGAAGCAUCAUUUCAGUUUCAAGAAAAUCUUAUUUACUUGUUUGAGUUAACAAGUUGGUAUCAGAUCUUCAUAACAGGGGUUGAAUCAGAAAAUUGAGUGCGUUGAGUGAUACAUCGAAGUUCUUAAAUUAAACACUAGGUAGAAAGUGAGUGAAACAAUAUGUGUUUUUCUUUUUGAAAAAUCAUUCAGAUAAAUAGUUGCUCAACAAAGUAUGGGCAACCUGUAAUUUCUAAAUUUGAUGGACAUUGUGAUCAAUAAGCAAAGCUUAUGGAGAAUUUCCUUCAAUUGAAGGAAUAUUAGCAUUUAGUGAAACAUAGAGUGAAUGUCAUCCUAGAUAAAGCUACUACAUAUUAGAGGUGAAAAUCAAAGUAAUGGAGGAGUAGAAACUUAAGGAUUUAAAGAUAAAAAACUAUCUCUAUCAAGUAAUAGAUAGAGAAACUCUAGACACCAUUCUUAAUUAUGAAACAUCCAAAAAUAUAUGGGAUUCUAUGAAGCAGAAGUUCCAAGGUUCAACAUGAGUCAAACGUGCUCAUUUACAAGCCUUGCUUAAGGAGUUCAAAAGAUUGAAGAUGAAGGGAGAAUAUGUGAAUUCUUAUUUUGCCAGAACUUGAAUAUUGCUAAAAGUAUGAAAGCUAUUGGAGAAAAAAUACAAGAAAAUGACAUAACUACAAAAAUCUUGCAAUCUAUGACAGUCCAAUUCCAUUUUGUGGUGUUCUCAAUUGAAGAUCAAAUAACUUAAAUACUAUGACAAUAGACGAAUUACAAAGUAGUCUAUUAGUUCAUGAAAAAAGAAUGAUACUUCCAACAACUGGAGGUUAUGCAAACCCUAAUAGAUGAUAAAGGUGGAAGAGGAAGAGGGAGAGAAAGAAGUAGAGGUGGAUUUUGAGGUAGAGAAAGAGGAAGACAAACAUUCAAUGAGGUUGAAGCUAAAUGCUUCAAGUGUCACAAAUUUGGACAUUUUCAAUAUUCCCUUGUGGGAAAAGAAGGCACACUAUGUUGAAACAGAGGAUAAAGAGGAACAAGAGGAAAAUGUUUUGCUAAUGACCUCAAUAGAAUGUCAAGAAGGAAAGAAAGAUGAAUGAUUCUUAGACUUAGGAUGUAGUAACCACACAACUGGUAACAAAGUGUGGUUCUCAACACUAAGAACAAAGUAAAAAUGGGAAACGAUAGUCACAUAGCUAUGAUGGAGAAAGGAAGUGUUCAGAUGAUGGUGAAUGGAAUUAUACAUGUCAUUAUACAUGUAUACUAUGUUCCAAAAUUAAAGAACAACCUAUGGAGUAUAUGAAAACUACAAGAAAAGGUUUAAGCAUCACAAUUCAAAAUAAUAAAUCCAAUAUUGUUCACUCAGAGAAAAGGCUAAUUAUGGAGGUACACAUGAUUGCAAACAGGAUGCUAUGAUGGCUUAAAAAAUCUUGUCACUAAGCAAAUAGUGACAGGACUGUCCACGAUCAAAACCCCUAAGGAACUUUGUGCACAUUGUUUGGUUGGAAAACAACACAGAAAUUCAAUAUAAAAAAAAAAUGCAUGUGAAGAGCAUUUAAACGGCUAUAAGUGGUUCAUACAAAUUUGUGUUGAUCCAUUCAGCCAACAUCUAGCAGUAAUAAGAGAUAUAUCUUAAGUUUUAUUGAUGAUUUGUCAUGAAAAACCUGGGUGUAUUUCUUAAGAGAAAAAUAUGGAACUCUUUCUCUUUUAAAGAUUUGAAAACUUUUUUGGAAAAGGAAGAAUGGGAAAGCAUCAUCUGCUUAAGAACUGAUAGGAAAGAUGAAUUCUCCUCAAAAAUAUUUGAAAAAUUUUGUGAAAGUGAAGGGAUAAGGAGACAACCGACUGUUGUCUAUACUCCUCCAAUAGAAUGGGGUUGUUGAAAGAAAUAAUUAUACCAUCAUGAACACGGUUUGUUCAAUGCUGAUUAGAAGGUAAGUUCCAAAGAUUUUACAGCCAUAAGAAACCAAGUGGUGUGUCCAUAUUCUGAAUAGAAGUCCUACGACAAUAGCGCAUGAUCAAACCCCUAAAGAAGCACCUAUAAGCUAUUUUUGGGUCUUUAGUUGUUUAUCUCAUGUUCACGCACCAAAUCAAUAAAGAAUCAAGUUAGAUGACAAAAAUAAGCCAUGUGUUUUAUUUGGAGUCAGUGAUAAGUAUAAGGCAUAAAGACUAUUUGAUCCUAUCAAUAACAAAAUUAUCAGUAAAGAUGUCAUUUUUAAGGAAUAUAAGAGUUGGAACUGGGAGCAUAAUAAAGCAAUGGACCAACGUAACAAUUUUGAAAAAGAUGAGUACGAAGAAAGCACUGAAAAUAAAUUUAAAGAUGAAUCAGAAAAUGAGGAGCAUCAAGAGACAUAUUCACACAAUGCCGGAAUAGAUAGCUUAAAUGAAUCUCAAACUAUAGUACCUGACAUUCAAAUUAAAGGGAGGGCAAGAAGGCAUAGAAGAAAACAUAUUUGAAUGGCAGAUUAUGAAACAGGAGAAAGUGUUGUGAUUAUAACUAAAAUUGGUCCAGUAACACUUGAUGAAGCCCUUAAAAGUAAGAUGUGGAGAGAUGUAGUGGUGAAAGAGAUGGAAGCGAUAGAAAGAAAUCAAACAUGGGAGUUUAUUUAUGCACCAAUAGGAGUAAAACCUAUUAGAGUAAAAAGGGAACUCAAGAAAACUUAGAGAAAAUGGAUAAAUUGAUAAAUGUAAAGCAAGAUUAGUAACAAAAGGUUAUGAGUAACACUAUGGAGUGGAUUACACAUAAGUGUUUGCACAAAUUGCCAAACUAGACACCAUUUAACCAUACUCUCAGUGGUUGCUCAUAAUGGCUAGAUCAUAUUUCAAUUAAAUGUGAAAAGUGAAUUGCUACAUGGAGAACUCAAGGAAGAAAUUUAUAACAACAACUAGUUGCAUUUUGUCAAGAAAGGGGAAGAAGAGAAAGCAUAUAAACUGAAAAAGGCACUAUAUGGGCUCAAACAAGCACCAAGGGCAUAGUACAACAAAAUAAAAGCUUACUUUAUAAAAAAUGGUUUUGAAAUAUGUUUUUAUGAACAUACAUUGUUUACAAAAUUAGCAAAAGGGAGGUAAAAUUUUAAUUGUAAAUCUAUAUGUGGAUGAUUUAAUUUACAUGGAAAUGAUAGAGAUAUGUGUAAUGAUUUUAAAAAUUUCAUGAUGUCAAAAUUUGAUAUGACUGACUUAGGGAAGAUGAGGUAUUUCCAUUGAAAAUUUGUAAAAUGAACAUGGAAUUUUCAUGUGUUAGAGGAAGUAUGCUAAUGAAGUCUGACCUAGGUUUGGCAUGUUUGAAUGUAAUGCAGUUAAAAAUCCAAUUGUUCCAAGAAUCAAAUUGUCUAGAAAUGAUGUAAGUACUAAAGUAUAUGUCACUUUGUUCAAGCAAGUAGUUGGAAGUCUCAUGUAUUUAACCGCAACCUGACCAGAUUUGAUGUAUGGAGUUAGCUUAAUUAACAUAUUUAUGGCCCAACCUACGGAGACACACUAGUCUAUAGUCAAAUGAAUCCUAAGAUAUUUGAAAAAUUGGGAAUUUUUUACAAGAAGGAAGAAGAUGCAAUUGAUGGCUUAUACAGAUAGUGAUUUUGUUCGAGACAUAGAUGACAAGAAGAGUACAUCAGAUUUUGUAUUCUCUCUAAGAACUGAAGUAGUUUCAUGGUCUUCCAAGAAGAUACCAAUAUUAAUUCUUUCUACAACUGAAUCAAAGUAUAUAGUUGUUACAUCAUGUGCAUGCCAAUGCAUAUGGAUUAAGAGAAUAUUGAAGACUAUUGGUUUUAACAAAUAGAAACAUAUUCAGGUUUUAUGUGAUAGUAGUUCAAUCAUUAAACCAUUUUGAAAAUACAAUAUUUCAUGGUAGAAGUAAACAUAUUGAUGUUAAAUUCCAUUUCUUAAGAAAUCUUGUUAGAGAAGGAAGAAUCAAGUUUGACUAUUACGACACUCAGAAUCAAGUCGCUAAUAUAAUGACUAAGUCAUUAGAACAAUUUUUGAAGUUUAGAAUCAUGUUAAAUAUGAUUGAAGCACCAUAAACAAACUAGAUUUUUUUAAAGCAUUUAGUUUAAUGAAGAUAUUGUUAAUAGUUAAAUUAUUUAUAAUUUUGUUAACUCCUGAUUUUUAGGUAACCAUUCACACAUAGGGGUGAAUAGUGUUUUUGUUUUUACAUAUUUCUUUAAAUUGCUCUAGUUUAUUUUUACAACUUGUGAAUAAAAAGUAUGAGUUCACUUUCAAGAAAAUCUUAUUUACCUGCUGAGUCAAGAAAUAUAAGAAAACUGCUGAGUUAACAAAUAUAAGGUAAGAGACUUAAGAUAUAAUAGAGAAAAAAAAAAGUUUGUUUGUAUAGGAUUUAAUUAUAGUACUGACAUUAUCAUGAACGUGGAAUUAAUCUCAUAUAUUAUACUUUGAGAAAAAAAGGACUUUUAUAUUACUUACUUCAAUAGCAACUCCUUUUCCUUCUGUAGAAAGAGCACUUGUUAAAGGAGAUCUUCGUUCUCCGGAAGAAUCAGUUUCACCUCCUGAGCCUUCUUGAACAGGCCUUUGCAAAGUUUGUGGUGAACUAUUUGAAGAAAGAUGAAGUCUCUCUUCCAUUCCUUCUUCAUUUGAUACUUGAUUUCCAACCCUUUGGAUGAAAUCAGUUAAUGGUGCAUCUUCUUCUUCAUCUACAACUAGCUUCCUCUUUCUUCCUUUCCGACCAUUUUUUUCCAACUUCUUUGUGUCUCCUUCACCAACCACCUUAUCCAUGACAGUUUUUUGUCUCUGUGAGUCUGCAGACUUGUUGGAAGGAUUUUGAAAUGCUGGUCUUCUUUCAGCUACUGCUUCAUCAUCUUCUCUAAGUAUUUCCCUAAGUAAGCGCACCCUUUUAAAUUUCUUGGAAGAUUUCUUUUGAUGAAGAUCCUGAAUUACAUCUUCAUUUUCUCCAUUCUUGUCACUAUUCCCUGCAUGAAAAUUAUCUGCAGGAGCUUUCUCUUAAAAUAUAAAAAGAAUCACUCUUAUUCAAGUGAUGAUUUUGAAAUUACCUGUUAUUUCAUUGAUUGAAACCUGAUCACAGUUCCUUUCUUCUUCUUUUAUUGACAUACCAUCACUUUCACUGUCACCACUAUCGCCAGUCAAGUCAAUGAGUUCGUUAAUAUCAAUAUUUUUUCUUGCAGGAACACUUUUACGUGUCACAGUUUCUUGAGUUUCCUCACAGCAUGUCCUUUGGUCACUUUGAUCAUCCAUGAUAAACUCAUUUUCUCCGAGACAUACAUUACAACUCCAUGAUCGAAAUCUUCGAACAACUAAUGGAGAAAGUGAUGGUCGUGUCUCAGAUCCAUUUACUGGAAACAAUAGACAUAAAUUCAAAUCUUUUUGACGCAUUUCAGCAACGUAGCCCCUGCAUUUGUAAUAAAGAAGUGUUACAAAUAUGAACCUGGCAUGAGAAUCAUAGUUGUUCUUGUACAAAAAAUCAUAACCCUGUCCAAGGCAUUCUUAAUCUAAUAACUACAAAUGUUUUGGUGGAACUUUUUCCACAAAUUCUACCCCGUUUAAACAUUUUGGAAAUUGAAAAUACUGCAUGAAAUUAUCUCUAAAGGUUUAUUCUGUGCUUUAAAUAUUUAUAUAAAUAUUGUUUUUCAGGUCCAAAAUAAAUUUAUAUUUCAACUAUCUACUCAUUUCUUCAUGAACUUCAAAAUGCUAUAAUUUUGUGUCUUCAAAUUCUCCAAUAUAUGUAUAUAUAGAUCAAUUACGCCUAAAAUAAUGUAAAGAGAAAUUCUUAUUUAUUUUUUUUGAGAUAUAAUGAUUGAAAUGAGUUACUUAUUUAAUCUAUUAAAUUUGAAGGAUACUAAUCUUAGAGAAAGAAUUAACAUACUUUGUUUAAAUUGUUUUAGAAGCAAUUUUAUUCCUUAGAUUUAUAAAAUAUAGUAUGAAAAUAAAAACAGUAAGAGUUAUGAGUUCAAUUCUUCUAAUAACAUUUGAUAUAUACAAGAUUGAUUUGAAAGAUUUAAAAGAAAGAGAGAUUGAUAAAAAAUAAAUAAAAAUACAUUUAUCUAAUAAAUUUUGAUCUUCCACAACUAAACGUAUAUGAAAAAAAGCAAGGAGUUACCGUAAAGAGAAAUGGUUACACGAUGGACUUGCUUCUUUAUUCAUUUUAGAGGUAUAGAGUUUCUUAGGUUCCAUGAGGUUGAUGAUAAUUAUGUGUUCCUCCUGAAAACUACAAGCAAACCACAGUUAAUUAUAAAUCAAAUUGAAAUUGUGAAAUAGAAAUAUUAAAAAGGAAUAAAGAGUUCUAAAAAACAAGUUAAGUUACCCUAACUAAAUAAUUGAUACAAAGUUUAUUUAUGUAUAAGAAAGACACAAUAAUUUAAACCUAAUAUAAUUAAAAUGGAUAUUUCAGUCAAAAUCAAGUCAAAUUUAAGCUAUUAUGUAUAUCACCUAUAUUCAUCAUUGAGUGGGGAAAACAAUAGAUAUCGAAUUGAAGAUGAAAUUUCUAGAUUUAUCUCGAAAUUGAUGAGAAAUCACUUAAUUACGUAGCUGAUGAGGCAGUUGUAGAUGAAUAGAGAAGAGUUCACCGAAGAAGAUAUGAUGAUGAUUCUCUCUGGAUUGUUAGGGUUUUCUUUGAAUAGAAUCAGCUCAUUGAAAAAGAGUAAGAAGGAGAAGCUGUUAUGGCAUGGUUGCGUGCUAGUGUUAAAUAAGGUCUUCUUAAAUUUUAUAUUUUCUCCUUUAUAAUUAUUAUGUCUUCUUCUUCAUAUCAUGUAAUUAAAAUUAUAAUACUACUAAUUAUACUUCGUGAAAAUUAAAUUAUUGAAAUUAAUUUUAUAUAUGAAUUAUUAUCAUUAUGUUUUUUACUAUUGUCGUAAUAGAAUUGUGGCUGGACAAAAAUAACAUUAAAAGAUUUAUAAAGUUGUCACUAAUAUGCUUUACGAAAAAAUAUUGUGAAAACCGUAUAUAAAUAUUAAUCUAUAAAAUUAGAAUUUUGUAGUUCAGAAAUUGAUUAUAGACAAGGAAUAUAUUAACAUCUUACAUUCAUAAAAAAUAAGACCAUCUAUAAUUAAUUGAAUAUAUUAUUAUUCAUACUUUUAAAACAUUCGUCUUCUUAUGCUAAAAGUGGUAAAGAGUAUUUUAAAAUGAAAUAAUUUGUAUUGUUAUUAUAAAAUUAUGAUAUAAGAUAAAUGUUAAUGUUAUAUAUUUUUUAUUUAACUCAAAAAGAAUUGUCUGUGCUCUUGGGUAUCUUCAUGUUUAAUGAAAAAUUAUUCAUAAAUUUUUAAGUCGUUGUUAUUUCAUUAAAUUACAAGUAGUUAUAGUAGACAAAAAUGCUCUCAUUUAUCAUGGAUUCUAAGUUUUAAGGUCAAGGACAUUUAAAUAAUUUUCAUUCUCAAAACUAAAAAAAGAAAAAGAAACCCCCAAACCCUUACUCACCUCCCUCGUUUCUCUCAACCCUUUCUCUUUCAUCUCUCUCACUCCAACAUUUUCUCUGUCAUCUCUAUUGUUGUCCCAAUUGAAAAAAAAAUCAGAAACCCUUGCCUAACCCUAAUCCACCUUCCUCACUUAUCCAAUUUUUUCUCUCUCGUCUCCAUACUCUCCCUCAGCCAUACACAACAACCCGUGACAUUGUAAUUGUUGCUUUGUUCGUUCAUUAGGAGGAUGUGUUAUAUAUUUUCCCUUNUUAUUAUUAUUAAAUUUCAUUUUUAAAUUAAAUCACGUAAAUAAAACCUUCAUAAAUCAAUUAAAUUUUCACACAUUAUUUACAUAUCUACACCACAUUUCAUUAUAUUUUUUAAAGAACAAGAUAUUUCCCUCUAUUAUCCUUUUCCCUUUACACAAAGUGUUUCUUUUUCCUUUCUCUAUUGGUAUGGGAUACAUGAUGUAAUAUUACAACCUAGAAUUGAAAGAAUUGUACUCCUAGGGAGCUCUUCUAUACCUAUUUCUUUAAUUUCCUUAUGUCCUUUUUUUAUCACCGAAUCAAUUUCUACAUGCGUUUAGAAUAAACUUUAACCACUGUGCAAGAUAAAAAACAGUAAAAUCAUUUUUUACCUUUGAGAUUUGGAAAGAGUAACAUAAAGUGACAAAGUUUAUAUUCAUUUUACACAUACUAAUAAAUAUAAAAUGAUUAUAAAAGAGUAAACUUUUUCAAUUUUUAAAAAAUAUCUCUGAUUCAAAUUACCACCACCAUCUUCAAUUGGGUUAAGAUGAGAGAAAAAAUGUUGGAGUNNNNNNNNNNNNNNNNNNNNNNNNNNNNNNNNNNNNNNNNNNNNNNNNNNNNNNNNNNNNNNNNNNNNNNNNNNNNNNNNNNNNNNNNNNNNNNNNNNNNNNNNNNNNNNNNNNNNNNNNNNNNNNNNNNNNNNNNNNNNNNNNNNNNNNNNNNNNNNNNNNNNNNNNNNNNNNNNNNNNNNNNNNNNNNNNNNNNNNNNNNNNNNNNNNNNNNNNNNNNNNAUAUAUAUAUAUAUAUAUAUAUAAGUAAAAUUAUUCUUUUAAUUUUAAUAUAUUUCAUAUAUUUAAUACUUUAAAAAAAAUUGUCUAUUAAAAAAAUUCCUAAAAUAUUUUUUUAAGAUCUAUUACUUCACAGCACUUUCAACUCUUAAAAAUGUAUAUAUCUCAGAAAAAAAAUUAAUAAAGGUAUGCACCUAAGUCUAUUUAGUAUAUUUAUGCUUUUUAAUUAUCACUGUCACUAUUAUUAUUUAUUUAUUUAUUUAUUUAUUUAUUUAUUUAUUAUUAUUAUUAUUAUUAUUAUUAUUAUUUAAGAGAGACACAAACUUAGAUUUGAAGACUGUAUUUUGCUUCAACGUGUGUAAUGGCCUCAGAAGUCUGAAUAAGCCAUUGGGCCUAAUUGGGUAGUCUGACCCAUUUUACUUAGAGCAUGGCCUUAGGGGGAAAAGGAAAACUCCUUUGCUCAUUUUUUAUUUCAUUCCACAGAAAACUCUUUUCUCUCUAAGUGUCAAACCCUAACUCUACUCCACCUUCUCUCUUCUUUUUCAGAAAUUUGAACCGUACAAAAUUUCAUUUAGUGCCUUCAAAUUGUUCCUGGCGUCGAGGGCUUCCGUUUGAACCCACCAUCCCACUGUUUCAUCGAGUAAGUAAAUUUUUCCCCUUUCUUAUCACUGUUUUUGACCUAAGUCGCACCAUUUUCUGAUUCCAUGAGCUCUAUGUGAUCUUGUCUUCCAUUCUUCGUUAUUUCAACUCAAAAAGCUAAAGUCUAUCACCUAAUUGGUGAUUUGUAGGUCUCUCUGUGCCCUUAGGAGCACUUUAGAAGCGUUGAGUGAGCUUGUUGUUGCUUGUUUCCAGGUAAGGGGAGCUAACUAUAUAAGUAUUUUGUGGUUCUGAUUAAUUCCUGAAUUUAUGAGAAAAUAUGUUGAAUUGCAUUUGUACACUGGUUAACUCUGUUUUAAUGCUCUAUGCAUGUUAAAUUUAAUUGUGAUAUAUUAUUUGAUAUUUAAUUGUCUCUGUUUUAAGUAUUUGGUCUUGGAAUGUUCUGAACCUUUGGUUCAUUCUCUAUGGUUGAUUGUGAUUGUUAUAAUCUGCAUGGAAUUGUGUUGCUGAACUGAAUUUCAUUGAAUUGAUGAUCCUGUUUGUAUAUUGGUUAUGAUGUGCUCUGAAGGAAAUGGAUGAAUCUAGUUGCUGGAAUAAGUUGGGGGUGAUACUGAUUUGAUGGAAAAUUAUGGGUUGAGUGUAGCCUCAGGUUUUGUGAGAGGGAUGUAUAACUUUGGGAAUUAGAAAAAAAUAAUAAUAGGAUAGUUGAUUAAAUCAAAUAAAAAUAUGUUGGGAACCUUCUCUGUUGGUAGGAUAGAGAGAACCUAAAAACCAGAUAGAGCAGCCCUGGCCCGGUCCAAUCAGUUGUGACUAGUCAUAUGUGUUGGUGUCGAAGGAGAAUCUGAUGCGUUAGACAUUUGUUCUCUCUCCGGUGACCAAUUGGGGUACGAGAAGGAUUGGGAAAAAUAUAGAGUUCUUAAGCUAGUUAUAUAAUCAGCAAGGAAAUUGGGUAGUGAGGUGAGGUUAGGAGCAAAGCAUUCUAUAAAAAUGAAUAAUUUAACAAGGAAUUUCAUAAUUAAGGAAACAUUGUAAUUAUUUUGAGAUAAUAUGUAUCAUAAUAUAUUAUAUUAUUGAUAUAUAGAUUAUAUAUAUAUAAUAUAUAACAUGAUGAUGGUUUAGGUACUGUAACAUUAAUAUUAAUAUAUAUAUGUAUUACAUGUACGUAACAUAUAUAUUUUAGUUAAUGUACGUAUAAUAUAUAUAUAUAUAUAUAUAUAUAUAUAUAUAUAUAUAUAUAUAUAUAUAUAUAUAUAUAUAUAUAUAUAUAUAUAAUAACCGGUAGUAUAAUAAAAUCUUAUAAUAUUAUAAUAUGAAUGUGGUUUUAUAUAAAUUAAAAAUGUUUCUGUAAUGGUUUAAUAGAAAAUUUAUAAUAGAAGUAUAGUUUAAUAUAACUAUUAUAAUAUAGUUAAAGGAAACAUGGUUUUAUAUCUGUACAGGGUCUAGGUAUUGGAAAUAAAUUGUAAAAGAUUAUGGAAUUGAUUAACUUAGAUUAAUUUAGGGAAUGAUUAUUUUAAAAUUUGUGAUUGGUAAGUAAGGUAUUGUUGAGAUUAUGUAUAUAUAUAAUUACAAAGUGAUGAAAGUAAGAUCCAAGUGGUAAACUAAGUUCUACCUGUGUGGGAUCUCUCAGUGAGAUUCUUAGUGUUUUAAAAUGAAAGUAGGGGCUCAGCCUUGGGAGUCAUUCUGAUGCUUCAAUGGUCAAUCAUGCUCACUUAGAGAGGUUGAACCAUGUGGUAAGAAGUAGUAAGAGGUCCUUAGUCUUGGGGGCUCCCAGUAUGCCUCAAGGCCCGGAACGGACUAACCUCGUGAGUGUGGCAAGGUGGGAAACCCAAGUUUCAUAAGUCACCAUGGGUGCAAGACUCGCCAUAGCCUGACUAUCAUUUUAAAGUCCGGACGAGUCAAGUCUAGAAAUUAACAUGCUUAGGUUGUGUUUCUUAAACGGUUUUGUUUCGGAUAUGGACCCGAGACAAGACUCAAGCCGAUCGACCUCUCCUCCUUGAACACCUGAACGGGUGGCGACCUGCAAGUUAGCACUCCAACGCCCAAGUCAGCAAGGUCACCGUGAAAUUCAGAGUAAAAAGUAGAAAAGUCCAAAAGUCCCUUACCUCCCUCCUAACGCCUGUAUUUAUAGGCCUAAACCUUACCUUUGGGGCGACCCAUUACCUGUAACCACUGAUUCGUGACCCCGAGUAUCUCGCUGCUCCGCGUAACUGUCGCGCCUCACUUCCGAGAUUUUCGCUCCCAUCAUCCUAUCCGUUACAAUAUGCACAUUAACUCCCUGAAUCCUCGCCUCUUGCCACGUGCCUNCCCUUGUGUAUUUCUCUUUCACAUCCUUUCCGAUCCAUUUCUCUCUCCACCCGAUCNGUUUCUCUCUCNAGCCGAUCCACCAUGCACCCCAUCACCUCACGUAUCACGUGUCUUCCCCACUUCCAUUGACCACCUUCUUUCCUCAAGCCAUCCGUCAUUCACCCCGGCUGACCCAUACCGAUCCAUUUCUCUCUCCACCCGAAUCCGUUUCUCCCUCUACCUGAUCCACCUCUUACCCCCGCUAACCCCACACCCUGCAGACGCACUUUAAGUGAUCGCUUUCUCCCUCCAACCAACCUGCCCUCUUCCCCGGUUGAUCCCUACCGAUCACUUUCUCCCUCCCCCCGAUCCGUUUCUCCCUCUACCCGAUCCACCUCUUACCCCCGCUACCCCAUACACUACAUAAGCCCCCCAAGCCCCGAGGCAUGAAGAUGCCGAAGGGGUUUAAGCAAAGAAAUCAUGAAAACGUGGCGAAAUGAGAACCCCAUGAUUAAUCAUGGAAUCGACGGUGCUGAUACCAUACUCUGACAGUUAGCAGAGAAUUUGAAAAGACAGCUCCUCCUAGACCUCCGAUCUUACUAUCAUCAACGGUGGAGAUUAGAGAGUGGAACCGUUUUUGUCGGCUAUAAAUAGAGGGUCACUUUCCACCUCAUUUCCUCCUAACAAGCGUAUAGGACCUCGCCCUGCCUGAUCCUGUUCCCGUGUACACCGAUCAAUACUUUCCAGGUAAUGUCUUCCUCUCCUAACUCUUCCCGUGAGUCCGUAGACGAGGGUAGGGGGUACAAUGACGAGGGUGCGGCAUCCCCUGCCUCGUCUUCGUCCCAUUCGUCCCCUUCCAGUUCGUCCUCCUCGUCCGGCCUAGAGUUUCAUUAUGACAACUCGCGAGCCUGGACCUCCAUUGUUGUCCCUCCUAUCGUCCAAGGGUACGACUGGGCCCCCCAUGAAGUUAAACAUUAUAUUCCUUAUUUUGCUUCCACCGCUAGUAUUAGGCAUUUAUUAGAAAAGGUAAAUAUUUUAGCUGAUCUGAACGACGUAGAUGACUAUACUUUUGUAGUUUGUCGUUCAAACGAACGGGCUUGUCAUGGCCGCGAAGGAUAUGAUCUAGAUUUUUUCUAUGUAUAUACCACCUUGUUUUGUGACCUAGGUUUUAAGCUUCCAUUCUCUGACUUCGAAAUGGGCGUUCUGCGAGAGUUGAACAUCUGCCCCACACAAUUACACCCGAACGGUUGGGCCUAUAUACAGGCCUUUAACGUACUUUGCCAAGGACUGGAUCUGACCCCAACCCCUAAAUCGUUUUUAUACUUCUUUCGUGUCUUCCCCAAUUUUAACCGGUCCUGGGUUUCCUUGCUACCUGCUAGGGAUAAACAAUUAUUUACCACCUUUAACUCCUCGUACAAAGAAUUUAAAGCCUACUUCUGCAAGAUUGCUCUUAGACCCUCCGGCCGGCCCAAAUAUUUUUUCAAUGAUGGUCGUCCGAAAUUCCCUCUAUACUGAACCGAGUUCCCCAAUCGAAUAGACUCAUGGCCAGAAAGUGACAUGACCAAUGACGAGCUUGAUGCUAUAACCCAGAUCGAUCAACUCCCUCGGAAGACCCCUUGUCGUCAUUUGAUCGAACUACUUAAACUGAUAACCUUAAAGAAAAAGUGUUGGGUAAGUAUCUUUCUCCCGAUCGUUAAUGUAAGACAAUAUUGACUUAUCUUAAAUUUUCUUUUAUGAUGCAGAGUACUUUGGAGGAAUGGAAAGACAUCAAGCCUUCCUGAGGAUGAUGGCUCGCAAGAAAGGACUUAGUACUAUAGAGGAGGGAAGUUCAUCUCCCUCCACCCCGAUCGAAGGAAACAGCACUAAGAGUCCUCUUCGAGUAAAUCCUCUCCAGACAGUAACUGAUUCUACUGUUCCCCUUCCUGACCCCAAGCCCAAGGGAACUACCUCCUCGAAAGGUAAAACAAAGAGGAAAGCGGGCCAAGAUAAAUCACCCUCUCCUACCAAGAAAAGGAAAAUCAGCUCUUAUGUAAUGACCAGCGUGUUAGAUCCGAAUGUGCACGUAUCCGACUGAUUGCAAUUUAAUCUCAGUGCCGAAGAAAAGAAGUCGUUCAAAGGAAUGACGCCGAUCGAAUCCUUAAAUAUGGCAUAUGAAUUGAUCUCCCGAGCCAGCGUAUGCUUGAACUAUACUGCUGGAACAACCAAACCCAUGUUGGUUGUGGAGCUGGAAAAUGCAGCUGAUGAGUUAAGCAAAGUUAAGAAAAAUAAUAUUGCGUUGACCAUUCGCGUCGAGGAACUACAAAAGACGCUAGAAGAUGAGUGUGCUGCUGCCGAAGAUAAGCUAAAGAAAAGUCAAGGUAAGGUAUCUUCUCUCCAACGUUCGGUGGAUGACUUGAAACUUAGCCUACAAAAAAUGACUUCUCAACAUGAUGAAGUGGUUAAGCAGAGAGACUUGAUUACCACCGAACGGGACAAACUGGCUGCUGAGAACAUCACGAUGGGAGAUGAGAUUUGUCAAGAGCGACAAUUGGGCUUCGAACAAGGGAUCGCUCAAUGCCAUUACCUCUUCCAGACUCCACUCACUCAUCCAGAAUUUGACAUUAUGAAGGUAUUGGUAGAUGGCAAAUUGGUGGACCUUACCACCCAGAUGGGCGCCGCCACCGAUCCUACCCUUACUUCAACAGAUCCCCCUACCGAUCCUGCUGCCACUACCAUCGACCCCGUCAUUGCCGAAGUUUAAUACUAACUUUUAACACUAGGAUAUUAAAUUGACUGCUUUGGUUGACUGAACAAUUAUUUUGAUGGUUGUGUAAUUCUUAACUUUGUUUGCUGUCUUAUCAUUUAUCCGCUUUCACGUUCAACAAAUACUUUUAUGUUUUGCCAUGAUGUUGAAUAUAUGAUCCUUCCGGCGUUAAUCAACGAUCAAAAAUAAUGUCAACCUUUAGCGCCGCUCGGUAACAUAGCGUAACCCGCCAACCUUAUGCGCCAUUCAGUAACAGAUAAUAUAAUUUCCUUAGAGGAAAAGUUAACGAUAUAAAUCUCCCCCCUUUAUACACCAAUCGAAAACAUAUGUAAUGCAGUAUACCAACCCCAUGCCUUGAUCAAUAACAUGAAUAUAAGAUACCAACCUUGUGCACCGGUUGACAACAUGAAUAUAAGGUUCCAUCCUUAUGCACCGAUCGACCACAUAAAUGUAAGAUACCAUCCUUAUGCACCGAUCAACAAUAUAAGAUACCACCCUUAUGCACCGAUCAACAACAUAAAUAUAAGAUACCAUCCUUAUGCACCGAUCAACGACAUAAAUAUAAGAUACCAUCCUUAUGCACCGAUCNNNNNNNNNNNNNNNNNNNNNNNNNNNNNNNNNNNNNNNNNNNNNNNNNNNNNNNNNNNNNNNNNNNNNNNNNNNNNNNNNNNNNNNNNNNNNNNNNNNNNNNNNNNNNNNNNNNNNNNNNNNNNNNNNNNNNNNNNNNNNNNNNNNNNNNNNNNNNNNNNNNNNNNNNNNNNNNNNNNNNNNNNNNNNNNNNNNNNNNNNNNNNNNNNNNNNNNNNNNNNNNNNNNNNNNNNNNNNNNNNNNNNNNNNNNNNNNNNNNNNNNNNNNNNNNNNNNNNNNNNNNNNNNNNNNNNNNNNNNNNNNNNNNNNNNNNNNNNNNNNNNNNNNNNNNNNNNNNNNNNNNNNNNNNNNNNNNNNNNNNNNNNNNNNNNNNNNNNNNNNNNNNNNNNNNNNNNNNNNNNNNNNNNNNNNNNNNNNNNNNNNNNNNNNNNNNNNNNNNNNNNNNNNNNNNNNNNNNNNNNNNNNNNNNNNNNNNNNNNNNNNNNNNNNNNNNNNUAAGAUACCAUCCUUAUGCACCGAUCAACAACAUAAAUAUAAGAAUCAGGGGGAUAUGAUAAAAAUUAAAGUGUUAUUCAUUUCAUAUCGUUUGCCAAAAUAAGAAAUUCACACAAUGUUUAACUGAAAUAAAAUUUUAAAUGUGAGAUAUUCCAUGUGUUAGGAACAUCCUUCCCGUCCAACGCCUCAAGGCGAUAAGCUUCGUUAUUAAGAUUUUCUUUAACACGAAACGGUCCCUCCCACGUAGCAGCAAGCUUGCCAUGAGCAGUGUUCUUGCGUGCUUCAGCGGUUCUGCGCCACACCAGGUCUCCUUCUUGGAACUGCCUCGGUUUUACCUUAGUAUUGUGUCGGCGGGCAAGUAGCCUCUUCUGUGCCUCGACCCGAACGGCCGCCAUCUCGCGUCUCUCGGGCAGGACGUCCAGGUUGCUACGCAAAGAUUCCUCAUUUUCACACAUGUUAGUCACCUGUCUUCGUAACGCCUCACCCCCAAUCUCGACCGGCAACAUUGCAUUUGUUCCAUACGUAAGGUUAAACGGAGAUUCUCCAGUUGCACUAUGAGGAGAACACCGAUACCCUUAUAGUACCUGAGGGAGCUCGUCGACCCACGCCCCUUUAGCUUCACCCAACUUCUUCUUUAACUCUUGGACGAUGAUCUUAUUCAUGGCUUCCGCUUGCCCGUUCGUCUAGGGAUGCUCCACCGAACUGGUCAAUGGGGUAAUUCCCAUCUCUUUGUAAAAGGCCACCAAGUUUUUAUCAAUAAACUGCCUUCCAUUAUCCGUGAUCAUAAACUUAGGAACACCGAACCGNCAAAUUAACUUCCAUACAAACUUCUGCACCUGUGCCGCCGUUAUCCGAGCCAAAGGUUCGGCCUCAACCCACUUAGUAAAAUAAUCAAUGACCACUAAAAGGAAUUUCAGCUGACCUCGCCCGAUUGGGAAAGGGCCUAAAAUGUCCAUUCCCCAUUGAGCGAAUGGCCAUGGCGAGACCAACCCGAUCAGCUGUGUUGCUGGCUGGUGAAUAAUGUGACCAAACUUCUGACAUGCUUCGCAUUUCCGAACAAAGGCCUGGCAAUCUUUAUCCAUGAUCAUCCAAUAAAAUCCAGCUCUCAAAGCACGCGCUCUAAGAGACCGACCACCGCCAUGUCUCCCACAUAUCCCCUCAUGCAACUCUCUCAUUAUAUACUCAGAUUCCUCCACCGACACACACUUGAGCAUUGGCGUCACGUACCCCCUUCGAUAUAAUUCCUCUCCAACCAGCACGUACCGGGCGAUCUGUUUAGCUUCAUCAGGGCGAAGACUAUUACCACUCUCCUGUUUCUUUAUUAACAACAGAAUGCCCCUUCUCCAAUCAUCCCGUUCGGCCAUGUGAAUGAUGUGCAAACACUCAAUAGCUGGCUUGAACAAUACUUGCCUGAUGAUAGAAGUUAGUUGCCCCUUCUCCCCACCAGUCGCUAACUUUGACAACCUGUCCGCCUUAACGUUUUCUUCUCUUGGAAUAUAUACAAUUUCCACUGCCUUGAACCGAGCCACUGACUGAGUCGCUUUGUGAUAAUAUUGUAACAGUUGUUCGUCCUUGACCUGAAAGGUCCCGUUCAUAUGCCCCUCUACUAACUGAGAGUCUGUUCUGCAUUUCAGGGUUUCUAUCCCCAUAUCCUGUGUCAACUCCAGACCGGCUAUCAAAGCCUCAUAUUCGGCUUGAUUGUUGCUAACUUUGAAUCGAAAAACUAAGGCUUGUUCUACCACUAUAUUGUUGGGUCCCUCCAGGACCACUUCGGCCCCUCCGCCUUGCCGUCCGGACGAUCCAUCUACAAAAAACAUCCACUGAUGAUAUUCCCGGUCUACCUGAGGUAGAUCGGCCACAAAUUCAGCCAGGUGCUGGCCUUUGACCGACCCACGAGGUUCAUACUUCAACCCAAACUCGGAGAGCUCUACUGACCACCCAAUCAUUCUCCCUGCCAAGUCGGGUUUCCUCAAUAUUUUAGAUAUGGGAUAAUCCGUCCUGACAGUUACCUGAUGUCCUUGUAAAUAAGGUCGCAGUCUCCUUGUCGCAUGCACCAAGGCCAAUACUACCUUUUCCAACCGUUGAUACCUAGUCUCGGCAUCUUUGAGGCCUCGGCUAAUGAAAUAUAUGGGUCGGAAUUCGGGAUCCUCUUGCACUAAGGCUGCACUAAUAGCUUCCUCCCCGACCGCUAGAAACAGGUAUAACUCAUACCCAUAGUCCGGACGUCGCAUCACCGGGGGAUUCGAUAAGAUGAGUUUAACUUCUGCGAAAGCCGCUUCGCACUGUUCGUUCCACCCCCUCUGUGUCCCCUUCUUCAUAAUCAUCAGGAUCGGUUUAAUACGUUCGGCCAACUUAGGAAGAAAUCGAGACAAGGAAGUUAAACGCCCUACUAAUCUCUGCACCUCCUUCAAACUGUUCGGACUGCGCAUCUCCAAAAUCGCCUUGCACUUCUCAGGAUUAGCCUCAAUCCCUCGGGAGGUUAACAUGAAUCCCAAGAACUUCCCUGCUGAAACCCCAAAAGUACACUUUAAAGGAUUAAGCCUCAUACCAAAUUUUCUUACCUGACCGAGCACCUCUCCCAAAUCUUUGACAUGCUCUUCCACUGUUCGGCUUCGUACGAUCAUAUCAUCUACAUAUACUUCCAUGCACUUUCCAAUUUGCUCUUGGAAAACCUUGUCCAUCAACCGUUGGUAUGUUGCUCCUGCAUUCUUCAAACCGAACGGCAUUACAUUGUAACAAUAAUUAGACCGUUCGGUGAUAAAGGCUGUCUUAUCUCUAUCUGCUGGAUGCAUGGGAAUUUGAUUAUACCCAGAGUAGGCAUCAAGGAAACUCAACACCUCGUAUCCCGAUGCUCCAUCUACCAAACCAUCUAUACUCAGGAGUGGAUAAGUAUCCUUCGGGCAGGCUUUAUUUAAAUCAGUAAAGUCAGUACACAUCCUCCAUUUCCCGUUCGACUUUUUCACCAUAACCACAUUAGAUAACCAUGUGGUGUACUUUGCUUCUUGAAUGAAUCCUGCUUCUAACAACUUACCACCUCAUCAUCCACCGCUCUUUUCUUCUCCUCCCCCAAUCUUCUUUUCUUUUGGGACACCGGCCGGGCGUCCUUAAAUAGUGAAAGUUUAUGAGAUAUGACGUCCGGAUGGAUGCCCGGCAUAUCAGCUGCCGUCCAUGCGAACAGGUCCUUAUUCCUUAGCAGUACUUCCCCAACAACCCUCACCUGCUCAGCGCUCAGGCUACCCCCCAUCAUAGUUGACUGCCCCUCCUUCUCCCCAAUCUUAAACGCUAAGACCUCCCCUAGUGGCUCGACUCGAUCCUCCACCGGAGAACGCGGGUCAAGUUCCAUCAUGGCCACCUCGGACCCGUUUCGUGUUGCUUCACUGGCUCUUGGUCUUACCUUUAGUCCUGCUGCGUAACAUUCCCGAGCCAUCCGUUGAUCCGUCCGAACAGUACAUAUCUCUCCCUUAUCACCAGGAUAUUUCAGUGUUAAAUGGGGUGUUGAGACGAUAGCGCCGAAGGCGUUUAAACAUGGCCUUCCCAAGAGGACAUUGUAGGAGGUCUCGGCAUCCACUAACAGAAAACGGAUUUUGAGUUCUUUGGCUCUAUCAUCUACACCCAAGCUGGUCCUCAGAUCCACAUACCCCCUUGUAUCUACCCUUUCUCCCGCAAAUCCCACAAUCUGCUCACCGAACGGCAUGAUUACAUCUUCAGAAAUCUCCAUGCGUUUGAAUGUCUUCUAGUACAAUAUAUUCGCCGAACUCCCUUGAUCCACCAGAACUUUCCCAACCUGGUAUCGUGCAAUCAUAGUGGUUAUGACCAUAGGGUCAUCUUGAUCGAGGUCCGGUGCAUGGAAAUCCAUAUCAGAAAAAGUAAUUGAGGGCAUGGAUCUUCUGUUGCUUCUCGUUCUGCCUACGCUCUGCAGAUUUCUCAAAUGUCUCUUCCUAGCUGAAGAGGUUGGGCCUCCUCCUGCAAAUCCCCCUGAAAUAGUAUUGAUAACUCCUCUCACCGUUCGGUUGGGGCUCUGACUCCGGCUUCGAUUGUUAUCUGAACGGUGCUGCUCCCUUGAGGACCUUUUCGGUCCUCCUCGCCUAUUAUCCCCCGAAGGGUACCUAUUCGUUCUCUGCACAAAGCUCUUCAACUGCCCUGCUUGCACCAGUGUCUCCAAUUUGUCCUUCAAAGCCACGCAAUCUUCGGUAGUGUGUCCCCUGUUCUGGUGAUAUCGACAGUAUUUGCUUUCAUCCGCACCAAGGGGAGUUGGAGCCUGAAUCGUAGUCAUCAAAUCUGCUCUCAAAGCUUUUUCCAGUACACGUGCUCGAGGGAGGUUCAGAGGUGUAUGAUGCACAUACUGUGGCGUCCUCUGAGAAUUUCCCCACUUGCGCUCAUUUCCCCUAUCCACUCUCCCGAUCGUCUGUUUCAUCACCCUCUCCCUGUUUCCUCUAUGUUGCAUAUCACCUUCUUCCCUCCCACGUUGAUGCGCCCGCCCCUCCUCUAUCCUGAUAAAACUUGCCAACCUGUCUUGCAACUCUUCCAUACUCUGUGGCUCCUCCGCGUGCAGAUAAUCAAAAAAUGGUCCAGGUCGUAAUGCUGCCGUCAGUGCCCCCACAAUCAACCUUUGAUCAGCAUUUCUGACCUGCCUGGCCGUUCGAUUGAACCGAUCCAUGAAUGUCCUCAGCGACUCAUCCCGCCCUUGUCUCAUCCUUACCAAAGCCGUAAACGUUACUCCCAGCGUUUUACUCGAGGCGUAUUGCUGGCUGAAUAUUUGUCGCAAAGUGGCAAAACUGUCAAUGGUAGCUGGUGGUAACGAAUGGAACCAGUCUAAGGCUUCUUCCUUCAGGGACAAGGAGAAAACCCUGCACCACACCAGGUCAUCAGUAGAGUACACUGCCAUAGCAUCCACAAAUGACCGAAGAUGCUUGAUGGGAUCGGAUGAGCCUCCAUACUUGUCCAGAGGGGGUAACAUUUUGUUUUCCGGUAUGACUGCUCUUAUCACCCGUGGCGUGAACGGAUGGAGUCCUUCAGCUUGAUCAAGAGUUGGAUCCCCCUGUUCAUGAGCUCUCUCCCUCGUCUCGUGUAUCCGAUCUAUCGGCUCGUAGGGCCGAUCUCCUCUCUCAUUCUGCCUUUCCUCCACUUCCUCGAAAUUUUCCAUUUCCCAACGCCUCCCUCGUCCCCUUCCCCGACCUCUUCCUCUCUCCGCUCACCCUCUCCCUCUACCUACUCCUCUACCACCCCGUCCACCAUUCACUGGAUUCGGGUCCCCCCUGACCUCCACCCCCUGCACCAGAGGGUUAUCCCCUUCAUCACUCUCCGAAUGGACCGUUUCGACAUUCACCGACUGAAUGGAUGGUCCACCCUCUUCGUUUCCUCGGUUAGCUCGUUCAGCCCUCAUCGCUGCAAUCUCUGCCCGCAUCUCUUGCAUUUGCCUCUACAACUCUUGCAAAAGCUGCAACGGUGCGUCUUCUGCCAUUGUGAUCGUGCUUGGGUUUUUGCUAAAUCUUCGGGCCCCACGGUGGGCGCCAAAAUGUUUCGGAUAUGGACCCGAGACAAGACUCAAGCCGAUCGACCUCUCCUCCUUGAACACCUGAACGNNNNNNNNNNNNNNNNNNNNNNNNNNNNNNNNNNNNNNNNNNNNNNNNNNNNNNNNNNNNNNNNNNNNNNNNNNNNNNNNNNNNNNNNNNNNNNNNNNNNNNNNNNNNNNNNNNNNNNNNNNNNNNNNNNNNNNNNNNNNNNNNNNNNNNNNNNNNNNNNNNNNNNNNNNNNNNNNNNNNNNNNNNNNNNNNNNNNNNNNNNNNNNNNNNNNNNNNNNNNNNNNNNNNNNNNNNNNNNNNNNNNNNNNNNNNNNNNNNNNNNNNNNNNNNNNNNNNNNNNNNNNNNNNNNNNNNNNNNNNNNNNNNNNNNNNNNNNNNNNNNNNNNNNNNNNNNNNNNNNNNNNNNNNNNNNNNNNNNNNNNNNNNNNNNNNNNNNNNNNNNNNNNNNNNNNNNNNNNNNNNNNNNNNNNNNNNNNNNNNNNNNNNNNNNNNNNNNNNNNNNNNNNNNNNNNNNNNNNNNNNNNNNNNNNNNNNNNNNNNNNNNNNNNNNNNNNNNNNNNNNNNNNNNNNNNNNNNNNNNNNNNNNNNNNNNNNNNNNNNNNNNNNNNNNNNNNNNNNNNNNNNNNNNNNNNNNNCCAUGCACCCCAUCACCUCACGUAUCACGUGUCUUCCCCACUUCCAUUGACCACCUUCUUUCCUCAAGCCAUCCGUCAUUCACCCCGGCUGACCCCUACCGAUCCAUUUCUCUCUCCACCCGAUCCGUUUCUCCCUCUACCUGAUCCACCUCUUACCCCCGCUAACCCCACACCCUGCAGACGCACUUUAAGUGAUCGCUUUCUCCCUUCAACCAGCCUGCCCUCUUCCCCGGUUGAUCCCUACCGAUCACUUUCUCCCUCCCCCCGAUCUGUUUCUCCCUCUACCCGAUCCACCUCUUACCCCCGCUACCCCACACACUACAGGUUUGAUGUGAAGUUGUCUCUUGUAUGUUACACGCUUAAAUUGAGUUGUAUGAUGUUAUAUAAUUAGCUCACCCUUGCAUUGCUUGUGUCUGUGUAUGUUGUAUGUGUUCCUGUUGCGAUGAUCAUCCAUUUUUGGAUGUGAGCAAAGGAGAAUGAGGUCUCUGUGGAGGACGCUCGGGAGGAUAAUGAAGACGCAGCUGCUUAGUUCCCCUAGGAAUUCCAUAGCUCCUAAUGUUAUUCAGAUAUUAUUUUUUUAGCUCCUGUAUUUUGAGAAACUUUAGUAUUUCCACGUUUCUAAUUUUUCCGCAUGUGGAUGACUGUAAUCGUAAACUAAACUCCUUAAUUAUUCUUGACUGCUUUCCAUUAUCAUAUUUGAUGACGUCUUUAAUUUAUAUGCAUAACGCAAAUAUUAUUGGGAUGUCACAACGUGCAUUCUUAAAUCCAAAAUUAAAGGAUCUGACACCUAAUUAAAAAUUUAAUAUAUUAUUUUUUAUUAAGAGAGAUAUCUUAAUUAUGAGAAUAUUAUUAUUAUUCAUUAAAAAGAUAAAUAUGAGUUUGGUCUUGAAGUAUUACGAAAAAUUAAAAAUAAUGUUUGCUCAAAACUUUGAUAUUGGUACGUGACAAACAGAAUUUUUAAGAAUUAGUUAAAAAUAUAUAAAAGUCAUUUUUUUCACUUACAAGACAAUCCAAAAAAAAAAAUCUUCAUUUUUUUUCACUUCCAUACACUGAUUUAGACAAUGUAUCCAUUCCUUAUCCAAUCAUAAUAUCACUAUUCUAUUUUUUUCCUAUGUGAAGGAAUACAGUGGCCAUGUUUUCAAUUUCAUGUUGAAAGAAAAAGAACAAAUGAAUAUGAGUUAGUCCUAUAAUAGAAGUACUAAUAGCAAUAACACAGAGAAAAGGAAAUGGGGGCAUCCAAAUGGUUAUAUGACAGCAAUUAUUUAUACUUAUAACUUUAUUAUUUUUAUGGGGAAUUAAUCAAAACAUAAAAAAUAACAAAAUAUAUACAUUUUGUGAAAAUAGUAUUAAAAAUUCUGAAACCAUUAUUUUUUCAAAGAGAAAUUAUCACAUUUUUUAAAUAAAAAAUUAUUCAAAUAUUUAUUUUAUUAAAUAAAUAAAUAAAUUAUUUAUUAAAGAGUAAAGUUACCCAAUUAAAAGACGAGACAAAGAAAAUUACUUUGUAUAGAGUAUAAAACACUAAAUAUAUACAAGGAAAAUCUCCUUUAUAUAUAUAAUUACAAUAAUAACUACAUACAGAUAGCCUAUGUGUAUUUAAUUAUUUUAAGAUAAUAAAAAUAAUUAAAUUAUUACUAUGUAUUUUAAUUAUAAAAUUAAAAAUAUUUUAUAUAACUUUAAUGUAAAUAUUUUUUUAUUUAUUCUGUAGAUAGUUUUAUAUUUAAAAUGAUUAAAUUUAAAAAAAAAAUCUUAAAUUAAAAAAAAAAGUUAGUUAAAGAGUAAAAUUAAUAAAAUAAUUAUUUUGAAUUAAUUUUUUAAAACAAUAUAAUUAAAAAAUGAAUAUGGAACUAAAAAGGAGAAUUUAUAUAUAUAUGUGUGUGUGUGUAUCCUUUAUAUAAUUGUAUAGUUUAUCAUUAUUAUUAUUUAUUUUAAAAUAUAUUUUUAAGUAUUUAAUUAAGGUUUUGAAUCCGUCAAGAUAACCAUUUAACGUUCCAUUAAAUUUACAUAAAAAAGCAGUUAAAGGUUGGCACAAAACGAAGGAAGUUUUAUAACAAUUAAAAUCAUUACUUUUUGUGAGAAUAAAAUUUAAAAUUUACAUAUUUGCCAAAGCAUAAAUAUAUUUAACUCUAGUUUAAAUAUUUAGGAAAAUAUAUUUAAGUUAUUUAUUAUUUAUAAUUAAAAUUUAAAUUUAGCAACUACCUUUUAUACACUUGUAUUAAAAAAAAUCCCAUUAUACAUAUAUAGAUUAUUGAAAAAUAUUUUCAUGAAAAGCAAAAAAUAAAAAAAAAUAAAAAUCCACCUAACUCUUUCCAAGUUAUUUUCUACUUGUGAUAUUCAAAAUUGAUAAUAUAAUAGCAAACUACAGGUGUCUACCUAGAAAGAUUAUACAAGUAAUAAUCAUCUUAAUUUCUUAGCCUACUAAUUGAAAAUGAAGGAAACUUAACUUAAAGGACUAGAACAAUUAGGUUUUUGAUUAACUCUGCAAAAGCUUGAAUUAAUUUACUCUACGUGUCAAUUAAUAGAGAGAUCCUACUUCUCCUAUAUAUAUAAUCUGCAUUUUCAUUCAUUUUUAAUAAUUUUCUAUUGAAGAUGAAGACACCAUUAAUAAUUCCAGCCAUGUUGGCCAUGUUUCUUUUCAUAUCCUUAGAGGUCACAGCAACUUAUUUGAAAGAAGGUCAGUUAUACUAUUCUCAUAUCAUGAGUUUUUUAAAGCAAGUGAAUAUUAAUAAAUAAGUUAAAUAAUUAAUUAAUAUAAUAAAUUUAUUUUGUUUAUAAACUUUGUAUAAUUUCUAUAUAAUUUGUUUUAGUAUAUAUAAUUCUUCUUUAAAUUUCAUGUCUUUAUCUUUUUUUUAUCCUCAUAUGCUGUCAAUCACAUUAAUAUUUUUCUUUCAACCAAGCUCCGAAUUUACCCCUUAAACUUGUAAACAUUUCUCAAUUUGAUAAUUGAAAUUAAUUAAACGAAAAAAUAAUUCCUGAAGUUGCAUAUCAUUAAAAAGUUUAGUCAUUAAAAUGACAAACUGAUCACUGAAAUGGAUAAAAUAACGAGAUUAUUCGAAAAAGUGUAAACUAUCCAUCAAUUUAGUUCUUAGAUUGAAAGUAAUAAGUUAAAUUUUCUCCAAUAUUAAAAGUUCAGAAGGACAUGAAUCCUUUCUAAUUCACUAAUUAAAUAUAUAUUUUUUUUAUUACUACACUUUGAAAAGACAAAUUAAUCAAUAAGCUAUCAUUUCCUAAACAUUAUCAAUCAUUUUAUUUAUUUCAGAAUAAAUUUAAAUAUAAUAAAAAAAUAAAAUUGAUUGAUGGUGAAUAACACCAAAAAUAGUCAACAAUUUAUUAAUUUCAAACACCUACAAUUUUUAUUACUAAUUCCAUUCAAUGAUUUAUUCUUUUAUUUGUCUCUCUUUCGAAAAGUGAAAUGAUCAUUUUCUUUGCAGAAAUCUCUGUUUUAGAUUAUCAAAUCUAUAUUUUUAUUCGAAAUUUCAGUUAGACAAAUAUAGAAUUGUGAAAUCUAAUUUUACGAGGUUAAGUGAGAUUUAAAGUUGACCUCUUAAUAUGUUCUAUAAUAAUUUAGAGUCUAUUAUAAAAAGGUUUAUGGUUUGUAGAUUUAUUGUACUAUCGAACUAUUUACCAAUAUUAUAGAUAUAUAAUUUCACUAAAAAUGUAUAUGAAUUUUUUUUUAUAAUUACAAAAUAUUAUUAUUUUAAUGAUUAUAUCAAUGUAAAUUUUAUCACAAAAAAGUACACUGUAAAAAUAUCAUUUGCUUAAUCCAAAUAUAUAUGCUUCAUGUAUUUAUUGUAAAUAUGUUUGCAGAUAAGGUUAUUGGAGCCGCAAAUAAAGUGGAUGAUGCCAAAUUAGCCAUUGUUGGUCGUGGUAGUGGUGGUGGAACUGCAUUACAAGGCUCUAGUUUACUUAAUCGUGAUUUACCUAGUUUUGAUUUCCUUGAUCGUCAUGGUGCUAGUGGGUCUGCAUUACAAGGCUCUAGUUUACCUAGUCGUGGUUUACCUAGUUUUGAUUUCCUUGGUCGCCAUGGUGUUAGUGGAUCUGCAUUACAAAGCUCUGGUAAUAAUUUACCUAAUCGUGACUAUUUUAUUCAUAGUUUUACUAGUUGUGACUUACUUCGUCCUGACUAUCUUGGUCGUGACUUACCUAGUCUUGGUUUUCUUAGUCGUCGUGGGAGUAGUGGAAUUGUAUUACAAAGCUCUGGUAAUAAUUUAUCUCGUGACUAUUUUAGUCCUAGUUUCCCUAGUCGCGACUUAUCUCAUCUUGGUCGUGACUUAUCUAGUCCAACCUUUCCUAAUCAUGAUUUUUCUGAUCAUGACUUACCUAAUAUUGGUUUUUCUAGUCAUGACUACUCCCGUGAAUUUCCUAAUUCACGUUUUCCUAACCCAAGCUUUCCUAAAAGUGAUUAUCCUAAUAAGAACUUUCCUGGUCAAGGCUUAUAAGCCCAAAAGUCUUGUCGCUAUAGAUGUUGUUAUGAGAAUAAAAAAAAAAAGUUUAUUAUUAUAGGAAUAAUCACACUUUUAAGUAAUGUACUUCUAUCACCUUAAUAAACAAAUAUUUUAUGAAAAAAUAUUUUGAAAGAGGCUUGUGUUUUUCCCACCUUUCUUACUACUACAGAUAUUUCACAAGUAGAAUUGCCGGUGUUCAAAUAUUGGUGCUUCAUGAUAAUGGCAAUCAUUGUGUUAUUAUGGAACUCUCGAAUAUUUUUACACUCAAAUAUGACUAAUUGUGUCCUACCACGGGGAAAAUAGAGGAAAAGCUGCAGUUGGGCUUGGGCAUGUGGGUCAAUGGUGUUCGGCCCAUUAUAUAACUUUUGUAAUGGAUUGUAAUAUUGAGAGGGACGUUAAUGCCUCCACCUCCCCAAACCCAACCUCCACCCCCCACUUUUUUUUAACUUUUUAUUAAUUACAAAACUAACCUUUUUUUAUUUUUCUUUUUUACUUUUUUAACCCUCCUAAUAAAACCCUAAUUUUACUUUACUUUGUUUCACUUUUACUUUCUUCAUCUUUCACUUUCACGACCCGCAGAGCCCCACCUCUCCUUCCCUACAUUCUCAACCCCACCCCACCUCCCCUUCCCUUUGCAUUCUCAACCCCACCUCAUUUCCCCUUCCCUUUGUAUUCUCAACCCCAUGCUCCACCUUCUCUGAAAUUUUUCAACUUUUGCAGUCAUCUCUUCCUCUGCGGCGGUGCGGUGGUACAGCGCGGUGGUUCGGCACGGUUGUUUCAUUUUAUUUCUGUCGUCUACGAGGUUAAUUUUCGUUGCCCAUCUGUGUUAAUUUCUUGCUUUGUAAAUGUAUGUGAUUUAGUGUUUAAGAUUGCAUUGAUUUAUGCUCUGGUUGUGCACCAUUGUUAGUUUUGUUUGGUUUCAUUUUGGUGCUGUGAUAUUUCUGGUAGAGGUGUCUACGUAGGAGGAAGAAGACAGAACUUAACAGAUGUAUCCGUCGACGGAUAACCAGAUUCGUUUAGGCUAUUUUUAAACCGUGAAUUACGUACUUGUUUGGCGCUUACGUAUCUCUGCUACGCCUGCCUUCAACCAAGAUGCUGCAAACACGAUCACGAAGAAGAGAUGAAGAAUUCUUUACAGUCGCAACUUUCCUUCCACAGGCCAAAUAUUCUCACACCAACAAUUUUUAGAGUGAAAGAAAAGAGAGCACAAAAAGAAUUAGAAAAACUGAAACAGAAACUACAGAGAGCAGAACGUGAGAAAAAAAAUAGGUUUUUUCCUAUAGGAGAUUAGAAUUAAAAUUAUUUCAUAAAUUAAAUUUUAUAUAAGGAUAUAAUAGGAAUAUAAAUAAAAAAUAAAAAUAUAAAUUAAAAAAUAAGGGAUAAAAAUGGGAUGGGGAGGUGGAGAUCCAAGAAGGUGGAGGUGCAGGGAUCAACGCCCUAUUGAGAGGUGGUAUCAAUUACUAAGAUGCAUGUUUAUAAUAUUUUAUUGGAUGAUUAAAGAAAAAAGUGUUCAAUAAUCAAGUCUUAAUGUGUUUGUGUGAUAAAUUUAACAGUAAAUUCAUGUGUACAAAUAGUUUGUCAGAAAUAGUGUGCUUUACUCUUUCUUAAAUCCGUUAUUUUAGCCCAAUUGGUGGAGCUUGAUUUUGCCCGCAAAGUUUGGGCCAUAAAAAUUUACAUGACAAAAAUUGGGCAUUGAUGCCUCCAUCUCCCCAUUUCAAACCUACACCUCCCCAUUUUUUUUAACUUUUCAUUAAUUACAAAAUUAACCUUUUAAAUUUAUUAUUUUUACUUUUUUAACCUUCUUAAUUAACUAAUUCUAAUUUUCACUUUACCCUUUCACUUUCACACUCACUCACAGACUUUUCACUUUCACACUCACACACUUUCGAAACUUUUCGAAAACAUCUCCACCUCCCCUUCCCUUCCCAUUCACACAUCCCCCAAGCUCCACUUUGAUUUUUUAAAAGUUUCAACUUUUCCGGUCUAUAUGUACUUGCGUCAUUGCCUGCGUGUGUGCAGCGGUGCAGUGGCGGCGGUGCAGCGUGGUGUGACGGUGGUGCGGCGCUUCGUUUCGUUUCUGUCGAGAGGUUAGCUUUCGUUUCGCAUUGUGUUCAUUUCUUGGUUUGUAAAUGUAUGUGAUUUAGGGUUUUAGAUUGUAUUCAUUUUGCUUUGUUUGUGCGCCCUUCGUUUCGUUUUGUGCUGUGUUUCUGGUAGAGGUUUGUUUGCGCGCAACAGGAAGAAGACAGUCAUUAACCGAGGUCGGACAUCCGUCGACGGAUAUGAACAUCCGUUUCAGGGCCAGACGGAUGUCGACAUACGUUUAGGGCCUGAUAAACAUUUGUUGGACAAAUUCAUGUCAGGCAAUCACCUUUCACAGUGUUUCCAUUGCCCAACUCUCCCUCGACAUCGACAGUUGAUUUACACGUAUUUACACAUUGAGCUAGGUGUCAAGUUCAUUUUGAAGCUCAAAGUCCUUUCACACACAUGUCAUAACAUGGAAAGAGAAGAAGAAUUGCCAACGAUUCUCAGAAGAAAAUUUUCACAGAGUGAACAAAAUUUGUGACACCCAAAGAAAAGAGAACAGAAAGAAUUUGAAAAACCAAAUGAAACAGAAAAAACCAGAGAGUAAAAUGGGAAAAGAAAAAGUUAGGUUUAUUUGUAGAUAUUAGAAUUAAAAUUAAGCUAUAAAUUAGAUUUUAUUAAAGGGUAUAAUAGGAAUAUAAAUAAUUAUUAAAAUUAUAAAUAAAAAAAGAAAGGAUAAAAAUGGGAUGGGAAGGUGGAGGUCCAAAGAGGGGAGGUGCAGGCAUCAACGCCCCAAAAAUUUCACUCACACAAAAAUGGAUAACACCAAUGUCUCGAAAAGUCUAUUUACAAGAAUCAAUUCGUUUGGCCAUUUUUUUUUUUUGAAAAGUGAGUUUAAGAAAACAUUUACUUUAUACACACACAAAUAUAUAUAUAUAUAUAGGGGUUUGCUAACUUGCGUACACCUGUUUUUCAGUUGGUACAUUUUAGCAAUGUAUACCGGGUUUCAGUAGACAAAAAUACUCCUAUAUAUAAUGAAUUCUAAGUUUUAAGGUUAUGGGUAUUUUAAUAAUUUUCAUUCUCAAAAUUAAAAAAAUAAAAAAAGAAACCUCAAAACCCUUACCCAUCUCUCUCAUCCCUCUCAAACAUUUCUCUUUCAUCUCUUUGACUCUAACCUUUUUUCUGUCAUCCCUACUCUAGCUCCAAUUGAAAAAAAAUCAGAAACACUUGUCUUAUUUUAAUAAUUUUCAUUCUCAAAACUAAAAAAAGAAAACCCCAAACCCUUACUCACCUCCUUCAUUCCUCUCAACCCUUUCUCCUUCGUCUCUCUCACUCAAACAUUUUCUCUAUCAUCUCUGCACUAGCCCCAACUAAAAAAACAUUCAUUAUUAAACGAUUUACUUUUGUAAAGAGUUGAGUCAUAUUCACAUUUUGAAAAAAGUUCAUUCAAAAUCUCUUUAAUUUCAUUAUCUUCACUAUAUAUAUUACAGUCGACAGUCACAACUUGCAUCAAAACUUAUGAGCAUCCUUCCUUUACAUUCCUUUACAUUUUGAGACUACUGCGUAACAUUGCUCCGUGGCCAUUUAAUUUUUUUGUUAGAAAUUCAUUAACUUGUUUUCCUUUACUAAAGAAAAAAACAAAUCAAAAUACAAUAAAAUUCUCAAUUAUAAAAUCAAACAAUAAAAAUUCUAAAUCUUGAAAUUUUAUUUAUAAUUAUAUAAAGAAAAAAUUAGGUGCUUUAAUUUUUUUAUCUAUGUAUUUUUUUUCUCUAACCAUUUUAUUUAAUAAUGAGUGUUUUUUUUAGUUAGAGCUAGUGCAGAGAUGACAGAGGAAAUAUGUUGAGUGAGAGAGAUGAAGGAGAAAGGGUUGAGAGGAAUGAAGGAGGUGAAUAAGGGUUUGGGAUUUCUCUCUUUUUUUUAAUUUUGAGAAUAAAAAUUAUUAAAAUAAGACAAGUGAUUUUGAUUUUUUUAAUUAGGACUAGAGUAGGGAUGACAGAGAAAAUGUUAGAGUGAAAGAGAGAGGUGGAUAAGGGAUUGGGGGUUUCUUUUUUUAUUUUUUUAAUUUUGAGAAUGAAAAUUAUUAAAAUACACUUAACCUUAAAACUUAGAAUUCAUGAAAUAAGGGUAUUUUUGUCUACUGAAACCCGGUACACAUUGCUAAAAGAUACCAACUGAAAAACAGACGUACGCAAGUUAGCAAACCCCAUAUAUAUAUAUAUAUAUAUAUAUAUAUGCUUCAAACUUUAACCAUCCAAAGCAUAUUCUAAUCUAAAUAAAACAUUGAUAUAAUUGUCAUCAUAAUUUUUUCCUACAAGUUUCAAAAUCCUAAAUAAGAAAAAAAUUAUAUUUUUACAAGAAAAAAAAUCAUAAAUUCAAACAUUAAUAAUAUUUUAACAUCUUCAUCCAACAAGGAUAAGAAUUAAAAAGAAAAAUAUUACUAUUAAAUAAAAUUACGAUGUUAAAAUAGUAUAAAAAGGAAAAUUUAAUUUAUCAUAAACUAAAAUGUACUAUAUCGUUAAAUGAAAAUAUUGUUAUUUAUUUUUGUAUUAAUUAUAGUGAUAAAAAUACAUCUUGGUAUAUUAGAGAAAUGGUAUAAUGUGAUACUAAAUUAAUUAAUGUUUCAAAUAUAUUUUACCUAGAUAAAUUUAUGAUGUUCAUAAUAUUAAUAAAUUAAAAAGAAAAAUAGUUUAUUAAUGUGAAAUUUUAUAACACUAGUGCAAAAACAUUGUUUAACGUCGGUUAAUUUGGGUUUUUAACGUCACUUUAACAUCCGACGUCUAAAUGGGUGACGUCCAUGAGACGUCGGAAAUCCCAAACCGACGUCCAUAUAAACGUCCGGUAACGAUAUCCACCGACGUUUAUAUAGACGUCGCCUUACACUCACAUCGACGUUUGUUUAGACGUCCACCUGUGACUAAACCGACGUGAACAUGAAUAUAUAGAGAGUUUUAAAAUGACACUGACCGACGUCUAUGUUGUUAUAGACGUCGGACAUGGCUUUAACCGACGUCUAACAACGACUUUGUGUUUUAGUACAGUUUUGAUCCAGGUUUUCGGUAGCAUUGUGUAACAUUCUCCCCUCGCUAGUUUCCUCACAAAAAAAAGCUUGCGUCUUUAGAAUCUUCUAGUUCUUUCAACCGAAAACCGAACCUGGGUCCAUGGCUACUUCCAAUUAUUCAACCGCAACGAAAAAAAAUUACGGUGUCCAGAAGUAGACAAGGACCCAAGUUCCAUUUUGGGUCGGAAGAACUAGAAAACUCAAAAGAUCGCCACUCUUUUAGUGAGGAAACUAGCAAAGGGAGAAUGUUGCACUAUGUUACCCAAAGAGAUGAUCAAAAUUGCACUAAAACACAACACAAAGAAAGCAAAUUUUAAUCAGUUGAACAAGAAGAUAAUCGAUAAAAAACUAAAGAAAGUUUAAACGGUAAGCGUUAAGAAAAACCACGCACCUGGGAUGCAAAAGAGAAAAAGGAGAGGACGAAGACAAUGACGUUAUGACAAACGACAAUGCAAUGCCUCAAGAGAUAAAAAGUAGAGGUAAGCGAGUAAAAGAAGAGGAGAAGCACAGAAAAAGGAGAAUAAAUGAAGAUGCGAUCAGAAACUGAAUGGCGAGAAGACUCCGAUGUGUAUUUAAAAUGAAAUUGGGCGUCGGUUGCUACAGAAACCGACGUCUAGGAAGUUGAAAAGAUUGACGUUUUGGUUUCCUGUCAGGGAAGUUAACGUUAGUGCCCACUAGCAGACGACGUCUACAACCCUCAAAUUUGGUGAAAAUACAGGAAAGUAGACAUCGGUGACACUACGAACCGACGUUUUCAUUGAAGAAUUUUGUCUUCCCGCCUUCCAAACAGGCCUUAGACGUCGGCGUUUAACUAAAUGACGUCUAAUUGCCUAGGGUAUUAGGUGAACAUCAUUAAUUGUAGCCCAACCGACGUUGCUUUUUCACGGAAUUCGACGUCCAUUCGACGUCUAAAGGUGAAAAGAUUGACGUUUUGGUUUCCUGUCAGGGUAGUUAACGUCGGUGCCCCAUAGCAGCCGACGUCUACAUUGAAGAAUUUUGUCUUCCCGCCUCCGAGACAGGACUUAGACGUCGACUUUUGACUACGUGACGUCUAAUUGCCUGGGGUAUUAGGUGAACAACAUUAAAUGUAGCCUAAUCGACGUUGCUUUUUCACGGGAUCCGACGUCUAUUCUACGUCUAAAGCUGAACCGGUUGACGUUUGAUUUCUUGUCAGUGACGUAGACGUCUGUGCCCUUUCUAGCGACGUUGAAGCUCCUGGGAAUUUGAUCUUUAGCAUUAAUUGCAACCUAGUAGACGUUGGUACCCUGAAAAAUCCGACGUCAAUGGACUGUCUUAUCAUAUACCUUAGGCAAUUGGACGUCAGUUUGUGGGAGGUCCGACGUCUAUGAUGUCAUAGACGUUGCCUGACAUCGAAACUAACGUCUUGUUUUCCAAUUUAUUUGCAAUAUUGCCACCGUGCAUUGGUAGACGUCGGGUUUUCACGAAACCGACGUCUAAGGGGUGACGUUAAACAGCAUUUUUGCACUAGUGUAACACCUAAAAAAUAUAAAAAUAUAAAAGUUUAGAAUCAUAUAUGUAUUCUAAAAUCAAGUCCACACACAACAUUUAAUUUCUAUCAGAAACCAAAUUAUAUUGCAUUUAAUUUCCAGUCAAUCUCUAAAACUAUUCGCAUGAAUUCAAAACAUGUUUUACAAAUUUCCAAUUUAACCAUUCCAUACCCAUAUAUCAAAAUUUUAUAUUCUAUAACUUUUAGAUGAUAUUUAACCCUUAAAUAACAAAGACAAAACUUCCUUCCAAAAUUUGAAAUUUAAACAUAAAGUAAAUUAUAGUUUCUUUGAGAUUUCUUAAAAGUUUUAAGUAAAUUAUAGUUUUAUUUGAGAUUGCUUGAAAGAUAAGGAAAAUGAAGAUCAGGGAUGAUGAUUUUAUAGUUUUAAAAAUAUUCUUUUAUGACUUUCAAAGUAAAAUUCAAACAAUCCACCUCAAAAAAACAAUUCUAAGAAAACUUUAAAACUUGUUUUGUGUUUCUACUUGAUCCAAUAAAUAUACUAAAAAGUAUGAUUUAAUAGGGUAUAUUAAGCCUUUUUAUUCUGCAACAGUCUAAGUCUACGUCUAUUAGAAUUAUUAUUGACAAAAUGAAUCAUCCGGUUCGACUCGGCUUGACCCACCACUUAGUCAUUUAGUGAGUCAAUUCAAUACGACUCACUUAUUAGUGAGCUAAAAAUAUUUGAAUCCAAUCCAGUCCAUCACUGGUUCGUGGCUUAAAUGAGUUAACUCGUUGACUUAGAAGUUUUUUUAAAUAAAAAAAAUAACAAUUUUUUUCUAAUUCAAAUCUAAAUAAAAGGAAAUGAUUUUAAAUUAGAUUUAUGUGAAUUAAACAUAAGAUUUCAUUCGUACAAAUAUAUCACAAAAUCUUCUCAACAAAAUUUUUAAUGGCUUCAUAGUGAUUUAAAUCUGUUUCUACAUAAAAACUGAGUUACUAAGUAUAAAUUUUUGGAUUUUUUAUGUUGCCUAACUAUUUCAUACAAAUAAUUUUAUACGAGUCUCUCUUUCAAUAUUUUUAAAAUAAUUAACCCAACAAAAAUUAUUUAGAAAAAUUAGGUGUGUUGGUGAGUCAACUUGGCUCACCACAGGUUCAACCCGAAUGAGUCGGAUUCAAAAUUGGUCCGUAUUGAGAUUUCAAUUAUUUUUUUCAACCCAACUUGUCCCAAACCCAUGGUGCCUGGUUGAAUCAUAGGUUCCAAUCUGUUUUGACAGCACUAAUUGAAACAAUACAUACCAUAACUCAUCUUGAUACUUUGAUAUUGUGGUUAUUAUUUAUGAUGAAGUAUGAGUAUGUUGUUAUUAACUAUUAUUAGGGCUGGGCACAGUUUAAUAAACUGUACUAAAACUAUAGUUAUCUAUACUAUAAUAUACUUAAAAAAUACUAAACUAAUGUAUACUAAAAACUAGUUAAACUACUUUUUAGUUCAGUUAGAAAAACUGAACUUUAUAUCGGUUUAGUGCAGUUAAUUGCAUGAACUGCUUACUAACACUUAUCAGUUAAUAUUUAUAAAAAAAUCACAUGACUGGUAUAACUGUUCUCAUCUUAGUUUGUCUGACAAGUUGUCUUUCUCGUUUGCCUCUGCAUCUUCCAGUGCUAAUUUAUUCAUAUUUCUUCUUCUCAAAGUGGCAGAAUAUGAAAUAAAAAGUUAAGUUUUUGUACUUGGCUUAUGAAGAAAAGCCUUUCUAGAAAGGAGGAGCAUAUCUGAAUCUCCUUAAAAACUCCGAGUUUCAAAAAGAAGCAGAUUUGCAUGUGACUUCCUUCGUUAAAUUAAAAGGUACAUUAUCGUCGGCCAUCCUUUUUUUUUUAAAUUAUUACUAUGAUUGUGAAUAUGGGUUUCUGUGUUCGAAUUAAAUAUGCAUGAGAAAAAAAACUAUAACUUGAUGUGUUCCAACUCCAUGCUCGUGUUUCUAGUUAGUUCCGUUUGCUCUUUCUUCUUUCCUUGCUAUACAAAUUUGGUUAUGCUUUUAGUGUAUAAACAGUCAAAGACAUUACUGGUUUUGUUUGAUAGAUGAAAACAAAAAUCAAUUUGAACUUCGAAACUAUCAAUUCUACAUUUUGAUUCCUUUCUUUACUAUCAGUUUGUCCAGCCAUAACUAUUAUAUUAAUAUAUAGUUGAGACAAAUAUUAUUCUAAUAACAAUAUAGAUUCAUAUUCCGUGUUGAUCUUAUAAAUACUAUUAGUAUUUUUUAAAAAAAUACUCACUUAAUAGCCAUUUGUACUAACUAUUUUAUUGAUAAAAGAUCCAAACUCUCUUACUAUCUUAAACGUUGCAUAAUUUUUUUCUGGUUGAUCUCCCCCUUAUUACUAAAUAUUUACAUAUAAUAUAAAAUGUAAUGUAUGCAAAUACUCUAACGUAUUAUAUAAAUGUAUCUAUCCGCUAUAAUUAGUUCUUAAUAAUUGCAGUAAUUAAUAUUUUCAUCAUAGGAAAUAAGAUACUAAAAAUGCCUUCUUUUUCUUUUCUAUGACAAAAAAAAAUAAAAUAAAACAAUAUAGUUGUAAUGUUACACGAAUUAUAAGCAUAUUUAACCAAUUAUAAACAUAUUUAACCCGAGGACAAAAUGUAAAUUAUUCAUUCACUAAAAUAAAAAAAAUGUGUAAAAUAAUUUAAAUUAUAACUAAACAUAAUUAGUAAAAAGAUAAAUUCAAAUUAUAUAAAUUUUAAUAAUGGUCUUCAAAAAGUAUAUACUAAAGUAUUUUUUUCCUUUCAAGAAAGACUUCAAGACAAACUAAGCAUAAUUUACAUUUCCCGACAAAUACUUCAACGACAAAUCAAAGCAAGCAAUUAGGGGUUAUAAUUAGCAUAUCAAUUAGUAUAUAUGACCGACCAUCUUUGAUUAAAAAACCAUCGGAUUUUAUGGGUAGCUUUCAUGAAUGUCAAAAGGUAUAUAUAUAUAUAUAUAUAUAUAUAUAUAUAUAUAUAUAUAUAUAUAUAUAUAUAUAUAUAUAUAUAUAUAUAUAUAUCCUUCUCUCUCUUCCCUGUAAUUUAUUAAAACUAUUAACAUCUUUAAUAUUUAUUUAUAUUUUAAUUAAAUUUUCAUAAAUAGUUGUAAGAUAAAAAAUGAAACAUAAGUAAUUAAAACUUAAAUAUUUUUAAAAUAAAUAAAAUAUCACCACGUAAACUUUAUAUUUUUACUGCAAAUCUGUCUUUUUAUCAGUAGUUAUUGUGAAGCGUUGUUUUAAUAAUAUGAAUAGGUAUUAUGAAGCUGUCUGGAAAUCAUAUUCUAAGAGGAAUGACAUUCAGGGGAUGGGUAAACCAAUAUAAUAGGACCGUUUUCUUAUAAAAUGCGAAUAAUAUAUAUAGAUUGGUAGGUUAAUUAUUUUAAAAAAUCUAAAAUGAUCGAAAACAACUAGAUCAAUUGAAAAUUCAUGAACUAAUAUGGAUGAACUAAACAAAGUCACUUCAAGAUUGUAGCCCCAUCAUUAGUGUAGUGUAGGAGGAAGAUCGGUCAGAUGACUUAAUAUUGUAGAAUCAAGGAAAAGGAAAGUCAGCAGGAGGAAGAUAAGCGAAUAAGUGCAUGAACCGAUCGACGCGGGUACCUGGCCAGUCGGUAGGAUGAAUUGGGGAUACAGGUAUGUUACGAGUUUUCGAAUGAAUCUAGAGAGCGAGUUUCUCGGUCACGAUUGGCAGUGAUGCUAAUUACAGGGCGAAUUUUGCGGAAUUGACAAAUCAGCCGUUAGUUAAUGCUCAUUUACUAAGUCUAAAGCCUAUAAAUACCUAGAUGAUUAAUCAGGUAUGACUACUUUUUGAUUUAACCCACUUUCACUAUCUCUGGAGCAACUUUGCUGACUUGAGCGUCGGAGUGCUAACGUGCAGGUUGCCCCAGUUCGGUUGAAAGACACAGAAGAUCGGUGAGGAUACGCGGAAGGUCGGUAGGGAAGAAACAGUUUGGAUUGUGUCCCAUCUCAGGUCUCACACCCGAAACAUUUGGCGCCUGAUGAAGGAUUAAAAACAGUGAUUUUCAUAUGUCAAAACAGAUCAAAUUACACCCCUUGAUGCUUAGAAUGAGCUUGAAAUCAUGCAUAUUUCAAUAAAUGUGUCAAGAGAGAGUCAAGAGUCGUUUUUAGAGAUAUUAUGCUUGUUUUGCAUUGUUUUGCAGCUAAUUUGAGAAAAGAGAAGAUUGGAGUUGAAGGCAAAGGUCAAAAGACUCAAGAAAAGUGAAGAAAAUUGAAGAUUAGAAGAGUUGAAGGACUGUCGGGCGUUCAAGCAACGUGGAAUAAUAACAGAAUUGUAACAGACUUGGACGUCGGGCGGUGGACCCUGGACGCCGGGCGGUGGACCCUGGACGCCGGGCGGUGGCGCGGUAGAAAACCCUCACCGUCGGGCGGCGCACUUAGGACACCGGGCGGUGACAUUGGGCCUGGGCCUGAUUUUUUGCGAUUUCCCUUAGUUAUAAAUAGCUUAAGUGCGAAAGCUAAUUCAUUCUUUUGACGAGGAGGGACGACCAGACCUAAUUUGCUCUCUCUGGGGAAGGAUUCUUGGAUGCUUAGGCUUCUUUUCAUCCAACCUAGGGUUUGCUAUUUCAUUCUUCUCCAUCUUUUCUUCUAGAUUCACCAUGCCUAUGGUGAACUAAACUCUUUGUUGCUAGGGAACAAUGUAACCUUUUGAAUCUCUCUUAUAUCGAAACUAUAUUUAAUUAUAUGCUUGCAUAUGUUUGAUUACAAUUAUCGGGUUUUCCUUCUUUGCAUAAUGUUUUUAUCGUUUAACUCAUUCGAUAACUGAUAUUUGUCUUUAUUGAUAUGGGAACGUACAGUCGAGUCAAGAAACGGGGAAAAUGCCUUGAUUUAUGUAUAUCACCUAGGAAUAGGGGGGUUGAACGGUCAAUUGCAAAUAGCUUCUGUUUAUAAUAAUGCGUUAUUGAUUACUAGGGGAGGCUAGGGAUAGCAAGCCAGUAAUCUUUAAUAGGCUAUUUUCGCCGAGAAAUUUGGUUAAGGAUAGGCUAAGAAAGUCGCAUGAUAAUUGCAUAAUCAACGUUUAAAUAAGGGGAGUAGAUAUAAGAGAGGGGAAAAAGGUGAAAUUAUAAACCCUAGCAACACCAUUCAUCCAUUGUUUCUUUCGUCAAUUGAAUAAAAGCAUUGCAUAUUUAAUUUCUUGUUUUUGCAUAAACCUAAUCUCAACUUUUAUCUCCACAAGUCUUAAGAUUGAUAUUCACACAAAAGAUAAGGCAUUGCGAGUCCUUUGUGAAACGAUACUCGGACUUACCGUUUAUUUAUUACUUGAUACGAUUCGGUACACUUGCCGAAGUGUUAACAAGUUUUUGGCGCUGUUGCCGGGGACUCGUGGUUAAACUUAUUGAGUAGUGUGAAUUGAUUGACUUUGACUUGUUUUCUUUUUGUUUUUAUUUUUUUUUUUUUGUUUUUGUUUUCUGUAAAAGUGCUUUUAGGGUUUUUCUCUUGUGCAUGCAGGAGAUUAUACAUACUAGAAGCAGAAAAGACUAGCAACUUCUCUUUGAAGGACUUCCAGACAGGAGAAGGAGAAGACCUAGACGUGAAAGACUUCCUUCUCCUGCAAGACGAUCUUUGGAGCAAACCUUUGCACGAAGUACAAAGGAGAUGGCAGAGCAACCUCCUCCUCCCAGACGUACACUUGGGGACUCUGCCAACAUUGUGGGUCAUUUGCAUUCGAACAGCAUAGUUGUGCCUACAGAUAAUGCAACAAACAUGGUGAUUAGCCCUGCACUGAUCCAGCUUGUACAGAGCAACCAAUUCCAUGGGUUAGCAAAUGAGAAUCCUUAUACUCAUUUGACUGCCUUUGGAGAGAUUUGCAACACCGUGAAGGCUAAUGGAGUUUCAGAAGAAAGGGUCAAACUUAGCCUGUUUCCGUUCUCACUUGGAGGACAUGCUAAAGAAUGGUUGCAUUCGUUUCUGGCAGGCACAUUCAGAGAUUGGGAGGCGGUGGCAAAACAGUUUGUCAUAAGAUUCUUCCCACAGACUAAAAUCAACCAAGGGCGCUUAGAGAUAUCCUCUUUCAAGCAGGGGAUGGAAGAAACACUUGAUCAAGCAUGGGAAAGAUUCAAGGGGCUUCUGAGAAAAACCCCAGUCCAUGGUUUAAACAAGAUGUCCUAUUUGCUUGCAUUCCUUGGUGGCUUGCGUACUCAGUCGAAGAUGAUGCUAGAUGCCUCAGCUGAAGGCAGUAUUAACAGAAAGACUGAGGAUGAAGCUUAUGAUUUGAUUGAAGAGAUGACACUGAAUGAAGUAACCCAAGGAGAAAGAGGCGCACAAAGAGGAGGAAUACUACAUCUUCCUGCUGAAGAAGCUGCAGCUGUGACACUCGGACAUUAACGAGGGCGGGGAGUGAUCGUCGGUGCAAGAAGAAUGGUGCAAGGGGCACGGACAAGGAGCAGAUCCUGACAGGCUUCGAGUGGAAGGGGCACAUGGACGAAUCGAACAUACACCGGAAUGAGAGGGAUCUGGAGAUUGUAUAGGUAUGAGACUAUACAGUUGAAGGAUAGCUUAAAGGAAUUGAUUUGACUACUCAUAUCAACAAAUGCAUUUGCUUUUCGGUAGCCUAACUCAUAAGAACUCCAUGGUUAAGCGUGCUUAGCCUAGAGUAAUUAUGGGAUGGGUGACCUUCCGGGAAGUUUUCUCGGAAAGUGUGUGAGUGAGGACAAAGCACACUGGAAAGCCUCGUGUUGAUGUGUGGGGGCAGUCAACAGUCCCUGUAAAGGUCACCUGUAAGUUGCUGAGGCGUUAUAGCAACUGCUCAAACUCAUAUUCUUUCACAGAAAUUGGACAAGCUAACAAAGGUCUUUGCUGAGUUUCCCAGGGGAGUACGAAAUAUUGCUCAAAAACUCAUCUUCUUUCAUAGAAAUUGGACAAGCUAACAAAGGUCCUUGCUGAGUUUCCCAGGGGAGUACGAAAUAUUGCUCAAGCCCAACAGUUGUGCGAACUAUGUGGUGGUGACCAUAUUAAUGGUCAAUGCGCCUAUCCAAUAGAGAUGGAGCAGGAGGUUAACUAUAUGGGCAAACGAUUUCAAUCAGUACCUUUGUGGCAACAAGUGAAUCAUUUGACAGAAACUGUUAGAAAUUUAACCAACCGAUUUGAUAGCUUCAUGAAAGUCUACGAGUCUGACAAAGCAAAUGAGCAAGCUAGUUUUAAAACAUUAGAGACUCAACUCAGUCAGUUAUCUAAAAGGGUGGAGAUCACUGAGAAAGUUCAGUCCCGAGCUGAUAUUGAAAUAAAACCCAAGGAUGAAUGUCAAGUGGUUCUAACAAGAGGAAAAAGGAAGUUAGAAAGAGAAGUAAUCAUUAUUGAUAGUAGUGAUGACGAAGAUGAUGAGUUGAUGAAUCACAAAGAGCAGACAGAUGUCAAAGAUGGGGUAAAGAAGGAGAAGAGUUACUAGGAGCAGUUUGAGGCGAAUUCAGGAAUACCAUUUGAUGAGCAUAUAAAAACUCCUAUUGCUUAUUCCGAUAGGAGUAAAUACUAUUUAGGAGUACCAUUUGAUUUCACAGAAGAAGAGGAGAUAAAUCUAAUUGAGCCAAGAAAGAAAGAUUAUCCUCAGAAAUUAAAAGAUUUGGGUAAUUUAACUCUCCCUUGGGUAAUUUUGUUAAUUAAGAAUUAAUUGUUAUGAGAAGAGGAACCUUUCACAUGAUGUGAUGAAUGGAAAGGUAGCAUAGAAAUAGGAUGUGUAGUUUGUCAGAAUGCUGCCAUUAAUGGAAUAUAAACAAUCACUUGUUGCAUUGCAUAUAUCUACGUACGCCAAACUUGGAAUUGUGCAUUUUAAAAUUUUGAUAUCCAUUUUACUUAUAAACGGAUGUUGACAUCCGUUUCAUCUUAAACGGAUGUUAACCAUUCGUUAACGGAUAUCUAUAUUCGUUUAAAGAUUUUUAUAUUGUAUACGAGAGUAAGUUUUAACCUUAAAAAUGAAAAGAUAAAUUAGGAAUAGAAAAUAUAGAAUGAGAUGCAGAAUAAGAAGGGGGAGGUGGAGGGAGAAAUUGGAGAGGUGUAGGGAACAACGCCCCUUCUCGAAAUAGGUAAGAAAAUAAUCCAUAAUUCAUACCGUGACAAAUGGCCCAGUCUAAUAUCAUUACCCAAUAGAAGCCGAUUACUGUAUUUAUAUAUAAAUAUUAAACACUCACACAAUGUAUAUAGAACAUUUUUAUAUUUCCUCUAAUAUUUCUAUUUUAACGUUUUCUUUCAACUGUUUUAUUAACUAAUUGAAAUCUUAAUUUUAAAUUUAUUGUUCCGAAUUCAAAGAUGCAGUUAGAAUUUGAAAUUCUGUGAAACAUAAAAAAGUUGAAUGACUCCGAUAUAACUUUUAAAAUAUAUAAUUUUACCCAAUAAAUUAAUUAUAUUCUGUAUGGCCAAAGGUGAUAUUAAUUAUGGUAUCAAAGUAGCAUGAGGUGGCUACUUAUACUUUUCAUAACAUAGCACACAAACGUAGUCACUCACAGUAAUUGCUGUACUUCAAUUUCACACAGCCCACAACUUCUAAGCACGGAAAUGGAGAUGAAGAGGAAGUGGGCUAGACAAUAAUGAAUUUGUACGUUAUACGGCGCCAAUUAAGAGGGUGCCAACUUCUUCGUCAUCCUCUCUUAUAAAACAGUAUGCAUUUGCACUUAUUUUUUCAUCCUUUAUUGACAGAUAAUCCCGUUUGAGUAUAUGUAUCAUAUAUAGUUUACCCUAGAAAGAUGGGUUCAAAGACAAAGAUAGCGUUACUUAUCCCAGGUCUGUUGGCCAUGUUCAUUUCGAUUUCCCCAAAGGUGGCAAUGGCAGCUAGGAAUUUUGAAGAGGGUGAGUUUUAUAUCAUUUUCUUUCCCUUCCCCUCCUAUCACUCUCUUCCCUCAAAAGUGUGUGUAUAUAUAUUUGCGAAAUUCAUUUUUCUGUUUAAUAUGGUUAGUUGACUUAAGUUAGUACUUGCAGAAAAAUCUGUUGAAGAGAGAAAUGAAGCGGGUGAUGGCAGAUUAGUAAAUGAUGUUAAAAUCCCAGACAUAGUUAAUAGAGGUUUUGGUGGCAUUACAGGCACUGGCAUCCCUGGCACUGUUGGGAUAAUCCCAGGCACUGUCGGUAGCAUCCCAGGAAUUGGUGGUAUAUUCCCAGAUAUUAUCGGUAUCAUCCCAGGUAUUAUCAGUGGCAUCUCGGGUAUCAUCCCAGGUAUUAAUGGUUUCCUCCCAGGUAGCGGCGGUGGCAUCCCAGGCAUCGGCAGCGGUGGCAUCCCAGGUUUCGGCAGUGGCAUCUCAGGCACCGGCGGCGGUGGCAUCCCGGGUACCAGUGGUGGCAUCGGAGGCAUCAGAGGUGGUAUCCCAGGCAUCGGUGGUGGCAUCUAUAGUGGUGGCUAUCCAGGUCAAAGAGGAUAUAGAGGAGGAUUUCGUUGCCCUUAUGGCUGUUGUGUUUGGACUGAUGGAUAUUGCACAAGUUGCUGCACGAUCUGAGGAUUUCACCCACAAAUAAGAUAAGACAGUGUAGUUCUAUUUUUUUUUUUUUUCUUUAAUCAGCCAAAUAAAUUUUAUAUAAUGUGCAGUUCUAAGUACUUCAUAUUCUAUGAUUAAAAUUUCUUGUUGUGUGCGAGAGGCAUGAUGGAGAACAAGGAGCCUUGUGUUUUCCUCUAACCUUUCUUAUCAUAUGGAUAUUUCACAAUUAAAAUCAUGUUUAAUAAUUUGUAGUAUUGUUAUAAGUUUUACCUCAGACUGAAAUAUUAUGUAGUUUGUGACUUUACUUCUGUUCAUCUAUAUAUGCUAUUAUAAGUUUGUCUUUUUUUUUACAAAUCUUUAAAAUAUAAAUUUAGAUAAAAAUUAAUUUAUAAGUAUAAUUUAAAUUAAAUUAAUUAAUAAAAUAUCAAAAAUAAAUUUAAUCUUGUUAUAAAGUAAAUUAAAAUGAAUUUUAAUAAAAUAUAAAUUUUAAUAAAUAAUCUCAAUUUCAUGUUUGACUAAAAAAUAGAAAUAUAUAAAAUCAACUUUUUAACAAUUAUUCAUUAAUUAAUAUUUCUUUUAUUAAUAAUUUUAUUUUAAUUAAUUAAAUUUAAAAAAAUAUGUAAAUAAAAUUUAUUAAUAAUUAUUAGUAGAAAGUAAAUAUUCUAGGAUGGGUCAAUAUUAUUAUGAUACCUUUAUCCAUCCAAUUAAGAAAGGGAUAAUGAAGUAUAUGUUAUAGUUGAUAGCCAUGUAUCAAACAUCAAACAAUGAAUGCUACAUCCCAAAAAUAAGAAGAACCGUUGAGUAUGGUAUCAAGAAAUGCUAACUUUUUUGGAGAAACCUAACUUAUUUCAUAGGCUGAAUUGGCAAGUUCGAAAUUCAUUGCAACUAAACAGAAAAAUAAGAAAACAACCUUUCAAGUACUGCAAAUUUGAAAGGAUAACAAAAUACUCAUAAAUUAGGUCGGAAUAAGUGGACAGAGAGUGAGAAAGUUAUGGGUAUUUAGAUAUAAUCGAGCAUGAAAAUCGAGACCAUAAGUGACACGAUAAAUUUAAAUUAUUAUAAACAAAAUAUAAUCGGAAAGUAUAGCAAAAGUGCUUGUAUAUAAAUGCAAAAAUAAAUCUUUCAAGAUUAACUUACUAAUAAAAAUUAAAUAGAAAGUGAAAGAAAGAAAUUAUAAGUUCAACUCUUCCAUUAAUAUUAUAAUAUUAAUUGAUAUUCGUUGAUAAAAAAAAUCUAUAUUAAUGAAUUAUUUUAAGUAAUAAAAAUCUUGAUGAUAAAAAUCAAUUUAAAAUCUAAUUCAUAAUUAAUUAUAAUUUAUUAAUAAUAAUCAUUAUUCAAAUAUUUCCUUAUAAUAUCAUUUUAUCAAUAAGGGACCACUACAAUAAAAAAACUAAAUUACAUACCGACAAAAGCCGUAUAUAAAACCAAAAAUUCGUAUAUAACACUUAAUUACAUAUGGAUAAAAAUCUGUAUAUAAAAUUGUUGUAGCAAAAUUAUAUAUGGAUGUAUCCCUAUAUAAUUUAUAUACGGAUUUUUUCGUAUGUAACUACAUACGAAAAAAUCCGUAUGUAAAAUCCAUAUGUAAUUAUAUAUAAAAAAUUUUGUAUAUAAUUAUAUAUGAAAAAAUUCGUAUGUAACUUUAUGAUUUUAUAAAAAAAAAAGACGAUUUCACAUCUAUACCUAAUAAUUAACAGUUUCAUAUAAAAGUCAAAUAAAAUUGACAAAUUAUAAAAAAUAAUAUCAAAUAUUUGUCGAUUUUUAUUAAAAUGUAACAAUUAGUUACAUGUACAAUUCAUAAUAGUAAAUUAAACUACUUAUAGUUACAGGUGAAAAGUUAUCUAAGAAUUGUUUUACCAGUUUUACCAGUAUUUGAAGCACCAUAAUUAACCGCGGAUAUGGUCAGACAACCGCGGCCUAUUCCCCUGUCAAUUUAUUGCAGGGGCUGACUGAUGGGGAAUGUCAGGAGGUUACAGGGGGAGUAGGCCGCGGUUGGUCAGAGAACCGCGACCUAUUCCCCUGUUAUUAAAUUUUUUUUUCUGACGUGGCGACAAAGGGGUUGGUUGACUGGGGUAUAUGCCGCGGUUAAGUGGGGAACCGCGGCAUAUAAGUUCGAUUUAUUUACAAAACUGCCACCGCGCAGCAUUAUGCUGCGGUUUCGGGUGAACCGUGGCAUAAUGUGCGCUGUAUAAUGCUUUUUAUUACUAGUGUAUGGAGACGAGAGAGAAACAAAUUGGAUAAGUGAGGAAGGUGAAUUAGGGUUAGGCAAGAGUUUCUGAUUUUUUUUUUUUCAAUUGAGGCAACAGUAGGAUGACAGAAAAAAUGUUGGAGUGAGAGAGAUGAAAGAGAGAGGGUUGAGAGGAAUGAGGGAAGUGAGUAAGGGUUUGGGGGUUUCUUUUUUUUUUUAGUUUUGAGAAUGAAAAUUAUUUAAAUAUCCUUGACCUUAAAACUUAGAAUCCAUGAUAAAUGAGGGUAUUUUUGUCUACUAUAAUCCGGUAAGUAUUGUUAAAACGUACCAACUAAAAAACAGACGUAUGCGUGUUAACAAACCCCAUAUAUAUAUAUAUAUAUAUAUAUAUAUAUAUAUAUAUAUAUAUAUAUAUAUAUAUAUAUAUAUAUAUAUAUAUAUAAUUGAAAAUAUAUACAUAAUAAUAUAAUAUAAGUCAGAUAUAUAAUUAUACACAACAUAUACAUAAGAUUUAUUUUAAUAAUAAAUUAAUUCAAUAUAAAAAUUAAUAAUAAAUUAGCGUUAAGUUAAUCUUACCAUAACAUCCGUUUCUAAAAGUCAGUGAUAACUAGGCUUCCAUAAUUUUCCUGUCCCUUGUUUAUUACGUAAGACCCACCAUAAUUUUAAGGAAAAUGAUACUUUGACAACCUCGGUGACAAAUUUUUGACACCAAUAACGUGUCAGCUUCUCAUUGGUUCACCCUUAAAAAAAUAAAAAAAAUUAAAUGACGUGGAAAAUGAAGGACAGUAGCAGAAAUUGGAAGGAAACAUUUUUGCGAAAUUCAAAUUCAUUUUCAAACUCCGAGAACUAAACCUAGAGAGAGAAACUCUCCCUCCCAACGACCAAAGCCCCUUCACGACUUCACCGUCGUUCGCCGUUCAAUGGCCACCGGAGGUCCACCCAGAGGCGGCGCCGCCGAUCAUCUUUGCGUCUCUUCCUCCCAGCGAGAAAAGCUUCGAUCCAUUUCCACCGCCAGUCGCCCUUCAACGGCCACCACCAGUCGCUGUUCAACGGCCACCGUCAGUCGACAGAAGCUUCCACCAUGACGCUCCGAAAACGCUGAUUACUCGCGUCUCUUCUCACUCGUCGCGUCUCUUCCCACUCGUCGCAUCUCUUCGCACCGCCCUUCCUGUUGUCUCCUUCCGCCGGCAUAUCGUGAGUAUCUUAAUGUAUACUAAAUAUUCUCUUUUGACCAUGUUGGUGCGUGCUGCUAGAGAAAGUUAUAUGAGUUAAACUCUCUAUUUUGUGAUAUUGGGCCUAUUGCGUUUUAAAUCUUUGACUAACAUAUAUGAUGAAGUGAAGUGAACAUUUUCCCCUUGCUUACUGUGAGUACCUGUUUGAUUUGUUUCUUUAUGGUGUUUUCGGAUUUUAAUUUUGAAUGUAAUUACCAACUUCAUUGUAAAGUUGUGGAGAUGUGUGAAGCUAAAAAUUGAGCUUAUGUAGUUAGACUAUGUCAUACUCUCAGAAGUUGGUAGAGCAUUAAACAAGUAGUGUUGGGCAUAUACUAAGUAAUUAGUAGUAACAAUUUCAGUGAACCUAGAAUUUAUCCUUUUUUUCUGCUGAAUUGUUAUUAUUUGAAACAAAAGUGCCAACAACUAGAACAGAGGCUUUUAUGCUCUUUUAUGCUCUCUCUUUGUUUCAAUGUAAGGAGAAAUUUUAUCUUAAGUCUGGUACUGCCGCAGUUGAUUUUAUCUUGUUGUCUUUGAAAUUUUUUUGCUUACUCCAAUUCAUAGCUGAUAACUUUAUCAAUUUUAUAUGUUGCUCCUCUGUUCUUCCAAUUUUUUUUUUUACAAUAGGUGUUGCUUAACUGUAGUAUGUAAAUAGAAAAUCUGAAAUCCAAUGUCUGUUUCUUAUAAUGUAAAGGAGAAGGACACUGGUUAUAGGAGUAAAUUCAUACUUGUUUUUAAAUUGCACAAACAAAUGUUACUUAUAUAAACAUAUUUUCUUAAAAAAAUAUAUAUAAUAUAAAGAACGUAUAAAACUUUCCUUCCUUAGUGUGUAAAAUAUUAUUUUACAUUUCGUAUAUAAUCACAAAUUGAAUGGUGCAUCUUUUUGUUUGUAUUUAGGAUUCGAAUGUCCUUUUCUGAUUAAGAUAUUUUGGAGAAAAAUAUCUUAUUAUAUAUGUCCUGUUGAAGGUAAUUUUUUCAAAUUAAUUUUAUAUAUUCUAUAAAUAUUACUAAAUCUUCUAAGGAAUGAAAUUGAAGAAAACCUUUUUCAUCAUUCACUUUUUCACAUAUAUUAUUGCACAAAUUAUUAAAUCCUGUCAAUUACUCUUAAAUUAGGUAUAAUUACCAUCAUAUAGCAAUUUUAUUUUCACUUAAAUUACGACAAAAAUAUGCCACAAUAUUCAGUUUGAAUUCAUAAUGUAUUUGUAUCAGAGAUCUGGAAAAAAAAAUUAUGCAUGUUUAAAUAACAUAAUUAUAGUUUCAUAAAAAACCUAUAGAGUAUAAUAAUUACAAAGAAAGUUAUUUUGAAAUAGGUAGUCAUGUGAUGGAGUGAGAGUUGAUAUUUGGCAGCAUGUUAUGGUAGGAAGGGAGUGAGUUGGAGAUUGAAGAGCCAUUGAAAUUGGAUAAGCUAUGAAGUGUAAGAUAAUAUAAGGUAGAGAUUUCAUGAAACAAAUGCUGCAUCCUCCAAAAAUAUCAUACCAAAACAACGAGGGAAUCAAAGUGGGUUGUUGCAUCCUCUCGCUUUUACAUCUCCUCAAAGUAUUGAUUAGGUUCAAUGAGAACUAAAAUACAAUAGAUGGACUGAACAACCAUAUGCUAGGUUGAGUUAUUGAACUUAAUUUUUAAGUGGUACAUUGAAAUCUUUGUCAGAGCAUCGUCUUCUUUUAAUCAAAGCUGGUAGACUGAUUAUAUGGUUAAUAGUUUGUGUUAAUCAAGGUUAUGGUUAAAUCUGCUUUGUAACAGAGCAGAAGUUGACUGGGAUGCUUCCCAGCUCCUCCUACAAUUAAAGGCCAAGGAACGAACAAAGACAUAUAAGAAGAUUUUUGGAGCAGUAGUGCUUUGGAAAUAAAUCUGAGGGCAUUUGAGUCCCAGAAAAGCAUCUCAUCAAUUAUCAUACCUUCUGAUCCUCAAAGUAGCUCUGGCAUUCAUAUUGAUUCUCCUGAAUAUGUAAAUGAUGGCAAGUAUUUUGUUAUAUUCAACUUAUCUAUAACCUUUAUUGCCUUAUUGGUUAGUCUCAUUAUCUAAUGGUGCUUUUCAUCUUUUAUGACCUUGGUAGUAGCCAUUUAUCUGAUGCAAAGACAAUCUUGGCAGAAGUGUUUAGAGAGUCGCGCCAGACUUAUUUGCUAAUUGUCACAUGCCUUAGUAUUUACAUGGAAUUUUCAUUUUCAAAACCCUCACCCUGUAGGGACAGUUACAAUUCCAAUGUCUUGAAAUAGCUUGAAUUCCACACUUUUAUUCUGGUUCUGCCAUGCAACUUUGACUUUAAGAUUUUGUUUUACUUUUUAUUCUCUUGUUUCUCUCUCUCAGGCAGUGAUUGUCUACUCCUUUAAUUUUGUACCUUUUCUUGUAAAUUUUGUUUUCUUUUAUGUUGAUUUAAUCUCUUUAGUUACAUGUAAUGGCUAUGGGACUUUAAGUUCAAAUCUAGUUUUCUCGAUUUCCCUUUAUCCACGUCGUUUCUGAUUUUAUUUUUAUUUUACAGGAUUUCUUUCAAUCUUGCAUUUUUUUACACUUUCUUACAUAUCUCGAGCUGAUUAUUAUUACAUUAUAUGCAGGUCUUAUUCUCUGGAACCAAAUGAGGCGACACUUGGGUUAGAAAUAAAAGGCCUCAGAAUAAGAAAGAAGUUAGAGAACCACAAAAUAAGGUAAAUAAAUAUACAAACAGUUUUUUAAUUAAGCAUGAUUUCUAACUUUGAUCCCUUGAUUUUGAUGGGCAACUCCUAUUUCCUUAAAUAUUGUUUUGACCAAGAAAUUAGACUGUCCGAAAUUUAACAAGCAUUUGCCACAGCUGAGAAAAGAGCAUUGUUAGAUAUAUAAGCUUUCAUCUUUAUGAUGUUGUUGUCUUGUGUUGUUGUUAGCAUUAUAUGAUGCAUGUAAGAUACAUAAGUUUAAACUUGUGUGGUUGAAAAUUUUCGGCAUUAUGUCCUUAAUAUGUUUGUUCACCUUUUUUGGUGUAGUGUAAUGGAGGAAGUUGGUCAAAAGACUGAAUGUGGGAUUGUAUUACAUUUGUAUAGAUUUGUUGUUGUUAUGUAUUUAUACUAAAAGAAGCUCUUGAAAAAUAUCAUGUGUCAUUGAACCAGCAAAAUAAAGUAGAUAAGGACAAAUUAACUCGCAUUGUACAAGAACAAACGCGGCUUAUUGGGAACAUGAAAAAUAGUGUUGCUAAUUUAAGAGAGUUGGUGGAAGACAAAAAUGAUGAUAAAGGUCAACACUUUGAUGAUAGGCCUUUCAGUGCAACUGAAUAUCCAUUUGGAAGCACACCGAUUCAACAUAAACAACAAACCCCAGGGUGUGAAGGUCAGGAUGAACUCAAGCAAAGCACAAUGUAUGAUCGAGUGAAGGCUGCACCCCGAAGAAGGAUCAAGAGUAAGGCAAAAAGAACUUCAUUUACAUCAGAGGGUAGAAGAAAAAAAUCAGUAGUUGAAUUAGUUGUACUGAUAUUGUUAUGUUAACAACCUUAAUUCGAUGUAGCAGUACAAUAUGAAAUGUGUAUAUUACGUAUGAUGUUGAUGUACAAACAUUUAUUUUUUGGCAUUAAUUACAAGUUAAUUGGAUUGUAUGAAAGUGGUUUAAUUACAUUGAUUUCUAGUUUAUGUUUAUUCUUCUAUUUGUAUUCCAAGCCUGUUUUGUAAAACCGAUUCUGUAGUAACAGAUCUGGAAGCAAAGUGCAAAUAAGUGGGUAGUUCAGGCAAACUUUCAGCACAGGGGUGUCAACUUUGAAACUUGCAUUCUUAUUUAAUUGAACAAACUUUUCUUAACACCUAUUGGAAUUAUUGGAUACAAAAGUACAUGGCCAUUGAUGAUCACGAGUAUAUGGAUGGAUGUACAUGGCGAAGGGAGAACUAUUGUUAGCACUCAAUGUGUAGUAAUAGACGACAAAUAAGUGGGUAAUUUAGGCUAACUUUUAGCACGAGGAUGACAUCUUUGAAUCUUCCACUUCUUUUUAACUCUACAGUUUAUUGUUAACCAAUUAUAUUGAAUAAAAAUCAUUAAUUAUCAUUUAAGAACAAAUUUAUAUUCAAGUUCAUCCCCAAGGAAACGCUUUUCUUUAAAGUAAUGGUGCAAAAAGGAAAAUGGUAGUCAUUGGCUAAUAAGUGGGUAGCUUAGGCUAACGUUUAGCACGAGGAGGACAUCUUUAAAUAUGCUACUUCUUUUUAACUCCACAGUUUAUUGUUAACCAAUUAUAUUGAAUAAAAAUCAUUAAUUAUCAUUUAAGAACAAAUUUAUAUCCAAGUCUAUCCCCAAGGAAACGCUUUUCUUUAAACUAAUGGUGCAGAAAGGAAAGUGGUAGCCAUGGGCAAAUAAGUGGGUAGUUUAAGCUAACUUUUAGCACGAGGAGGGCAUAUUUGAACCUUCCACUUCUUUUGAACUCCACAGUUUAUUGAUAACCAAUUAUUUUGAAUAAAAUUCAACAAUUAUCAUUUAAGAGCACAUUUAUAUCCAAGUUCAUCCCCAAGGAAACGUUUUACUUUAAACUAAUGGUGUAGAAACGAAAGUGGGAGCAAUGUUCAAAUAAGUGGGUAGUUUAGGCUACCUAUUAGCACGAGGAGGGCUUCUUUGAACCUGCCACUUCUUUUGAUUGUUAACCAAUUAUAUUGAAUAAAAUUCAUUAGUUAUCAUUCAAGAAGACAUUUAUAUCCAAGUCCAUCCCCAAGGAAACGUUUUACUUUAAAGUGAUGGUGCAGAAACAAAAGUGGUAGCAAUGUUCAAAUAAGUGGAUAAUUUAGGCUAACUUUUUGCACGAAGAGGACGUCUUUAAUAUGGCACUUCAUUUGAAUUGCAUAUAUUUAGUGAAAAAUUAAUACUCUGUAAAUAGCACCUUAAACACACAUUAGGAAAUACAAAUGUUCGACAUUGCACAACAAAGAUCAUAGACAAAUAAUGCUCAUUGUUGUAUUGAACUGUGUCAAAAUGAUUACCAAUUCUAACACAAUCAUCAUUCUUAUGUUCAAAUUACAUUAGUAAUAAAUGUUAACAAAACAUUUGUUUUCAUCAAUUCUAAUACAUCAACCGUAAAUAUUGGCUUUUCAUUAAAUCAUCAUUCUAAUACAUCAAUUCUAAUACAUCAACCGUAAAUAUGUUCAAAUUACAUUUUUUGCUUCAUAUUAAAGCAUUCGUUGCGCCCAAUCCAUCAAAUGACCAUCUCCUUCAACAAUGGAGUGCAUAAGUCUAUUGGCUUGUCCAUAUUAACACACCACUUGAAUGGAGUUUGUCGAAUCCGAAUCCGAUCAAUUUCUCUUAGUUUAGAAUUAAUUUCCACAAUGACUUUGGUAUCACACCAUGCCCGCAAUCGAACCUGCAUAUUAUUUCCAACAAAUACAAUCAUUAACCUACACUAUUGAAACCAUCAAUUACAUUUCGAAUACAUCAAAUUUACUUACAUUGGUACCACCUUUUUCUUUAUUCAAAUCCAUCACUGUAAAAUGUAAGCACCUAAAAUGAUCAUACCAAAAUCAAUGAUUGAUACUGAAAAAAGGCAUAAUGUAUAUACAUGUUCUGAUUUCUUCAAGCCAAAACAAGAGUUUAUUCAAGACUAGAAAAGAGAAUUUGCAGGAGUUUUACUAUUAGAUGCCUAGGCUUUUACUGCAAUGUAAACCACAUUUACAUAUAUAAACAGUGCUUCCUGAUUCAAAUUGCACAUAAAUACAAACACCAAUCCAAAUCUUAACGCUAAACCAGUAAGGUAUUACAGAAAGCACCAAUUUGAAAUGUUUAAUUGGCACUUAAGAGGCCAAAAACUAAUAUAAGCAAGCAAUAAGGGUACUGAAUCAAGUACGAACUCAAAUGAAUACUAGGGAAAGUGCUAUAUUAGAUUUAGAAAGCAAGAAAAGGUUGCAACAAUAAAAUGCAAAAACUAGUGUUUUAAAUCAAUUUUCACGUGCAAAUUGGACUUUUAUAUUAACUUCUUUUUUUUAAGUUUGGACAUAUUCUACUUUACACACGGUGAAAGAAAGAUAAAAUAGAAAAAAUGUAGGUAAUAACAAGAGAUAUAGAAAAAAAAUAUAUUCAAUGAUGAAUUGUUUAAAAUAAGUUACCAUGCAUAUAAAUCUUUCUUAUCUGGUAAGUACUUAUCUAUUUGUCCCAAGUAAAAAAUCUUUCUUAUCUGGUAAGUAGUUAUCUAUUUGUCCCAAGUAAAAAUAGGGAUAACAUAUUGGUAUGUUAUUCUAAUCACUUUUAAGUACAUAGAAAAUUACACCAAACAUAAUUAUUUAAGGUUACUUCAAAAUUUUAAAAAAGUUGGAAGUAAAGAUAUAUGAACACCUUUGUGCAUUACACAUUCUAUUAUUAAUACCUAUUAUUUUCUCAAAUAUAUAUCUCCCCUUUGUGGAUCUGAAUAUAAAGAAAAAAUAAAUUUAAUUUAAUGACUAUAAAUGUUUAGGAGAAAAAAAAACAUAUAACCCUCUAAACUUUACUCCUUUUACGACUUUAGGGGAAUUAAAUGUUUUUUCCUUUUUUCAGUAAAAUAGCUAAUAAAAACUUCCAAAAACUCUUCUUUACUCCUUUUAAGUCUGGACAUAUUUGCAUCAUGAUAACCAUUCGAGAUUUCAAUUUCUUAUAACAAUUCUGCACUCAAUUAUCUUUUAUACUCUGAUUCUUACUUCAUUCACCUUUUCUUUUUCUUUAUUCUUCUUUAUUGGACCUAACCAUGUUCCUUUUUUUAUGUCUUUUGAAAAGUCAAAGCACUCAAUAUUUUAGUUUAACCAAUUUCAACUAAUGCUAGAUUCUCUGUGCCAUAACAACCAUAAAUUCACCAUCUUUCAAAACAAGGGAUUAAAAAAGUCCUACAACUCUAUUCUUUUUUAUCUGUGUCGAGUAACCUUUUGAAGUUUUACAAGUAUAUUCUUUAACAUCAUAACUUUUCAAAUUCACUUUUGAUGAAAAAUUCACAUUCUAAAACUUCAAAUGAUUCAAAAACAAGUAUUAGUUCCUUCAAAUAGAUUCACAUCCAGCAAAAAAAAAAAAAAAAAGAAGAAGUCCUAAGUCAGAAUAAAAUGAAGUAAACAAUAUUCAGAAUAAAGUUAAUAUAUCUCUGUCAAGUUCUGCAUGAUUAAUGAUAUCCAUUUUGGAUAUGUGUGAAAGGGUGUUUCUUUUUUCAUAGUACAAUACCUAUAAUCUUUUUCUCAUAUUUUCUCACUCUCAGUAAGUAAACAAUACAUUCAAUAUCCGAGAAAUAUAAAAUGUUCUUGACAAUUUCUUUUUCAUUUAAAAGGUAGCAUAAAUGUGUAAAAAUGUGGAAAGAAGAUUGACUUGAACUAUUAUAGUGUUGCCUAAUUCAAAUUGCACACAAAUAUGAGCUCAAAAAGGGUGGUUUGAUUGUAAAAUGCACACAAGCAGUCCUAGCACAAUGUAAACUGUCACAAAGACUUUGUUUGACUAAAAUGAACUUGUUUAGAAAGUAAGAAAAGGUUGCAAAGGUAACAACAAUAAAAUGCAUAAAACUAGUGUUUUAAAUCAAUUCUCACGUGCAAAUUGGCCUUAUAUAUUAGCUAUUUUUUUUUUAUUUUUAAUUUUGGACAUAUUUUCAUCAUAACCAUUUCAGCAAGUUUAGUUAUGCUUGUUAUAAUCAUUCAAAGUCAAUUUUCUAAAUGCAAUAGGCUUUUGCUAAAAAUCACUAGUUUAAUGGUUUGUUUCUGCUUUGCCUUUUUCUGAAUUAGCAACUCAUAUAUCUCAAUUUUGGUUUUAACCAAAACAAAGUAUAACAAGCAUUUAAACCAUUUAGUUUUGCAAUUUAGAAAGUGAGGAAAAGGUUAAAUUGGCAACUCAUAUAUCUCUAAGCAUGAUUAAACAGUACAGUAAUCAUCUAAUACUGAAAUGUUAAAUUGGCACUUAAGAAGCCAAAAACUAAUAUAAGCAAGCAACAAGGGUUCUGAAUCACGUAGGGACUCAAAUGGAUACUAGGCAAAGUGUUAGAUCAGAUUUAGAAAGCAAGAAAAGGUUGCAAAGGUAACAGCAAUAAAAUGCAGAAAACUGGUGUUUAUAGGCCGAGUUACUAAUCAUCUAAACAGUCCAAAACAUAAUUUAAACUCCAAACAAAUGCAUAAUUUUUAAAGACCAAGUGUGAGGACACACAACGAGUUUGGAAGCGGCGUUUUCGAGGCUGACCUCUUUCGAAUCGACGGUAGAGACUUUGGGUGGUCCUCCGGUGGCCGUUGAACGGCGACUGACGGUAGAAAUGGGACGACUAUGAAGAGACGCGAGUAAUCGGCAUUUUCGGGGCGUCACGGUGGAAGCUUAUGUCGACUGACGGUGGCCGUUGAGCGACGACUGAUGGUGGCCGUUGAAGGGCGACUAGCGGUGGAAAUGGGUCGGAGCUUUUCUCGCUGGGAGGGAGAGACGCGAAGAUGAUUGGCGGCGCCGCCUCUGAGUGGACCUCCGGUGGCCAUUGAACGGCGAACGAUGGUGGAGUCUGAAGGGGCUUUGGUCGUUUGGAGGGAGAGUUUCUCUCUCUAGGUUUAGUUCUCGCAGUUUGAAAAUGAAUUUGAAUUUCGAAAAUGUUUCCUUCCAAUUUCUGUUACUGUCCUUCAUUUUCCACCUCAUUCAAAUUUUUUUUAUUUUUUUAAGGGUGAACCAAUGAGAAGCUGACACGUUAUUGGUGUCAAAAAUUUGUCACCCAGAGGUUGUCAAAGUAUCAUUUUCCUAAUUUUAAAUUAUUGUCAGAUUUUUUAUCAACUUUAAUCUAUUAUUUACUUGUAUGGAUUUUGCAAAGCAUAUAGGCAAUAAAUCUAAUUUUUUUAUCAAUAAAAUAAAUAUAUUAAAUAAUUUUUUUUUAAUCCAUAUACAAAAUAAUAUAUAUAUAUAUAUAUAUAUAUAUAUAUAUAUAUAUAUAUAUAUAUAUAUAUAUAUAUAUAUAUAGAUAUACACUACAAAAAAAGUUACAUUGGAGAUUAUAUUGUGAAGGUUAAUAAAACCCUUCUUAGAUAACAUUAUUUACAAUUAUUUCUGAUAAAUUAUCUUAAAGCCAACAAUAGCAGAGGUUUUAAUUUCUUUUUAAAGAGGAAGAUUACCUUAACAUAUUAUAAUAUCCUUUUCACCGUUUCCCUCACUUUUUUUUUAAGCAUUCCCUCCCAAAAUUUUUCUUUUUUUUUCUCCAAAUCUUUAAGUUCUUCUUUUCUAGAAUUAGAACACAAUAAACCCAAAAGACGAAACCCUUCAUGCCUCAGCUUCCUCCUUGACCCUUCACUGUCUCAGUUUCAUCUUCACCCUUCAAUGCCUCAGUUUCUUCUUCAUCCUUCACUACCCUCAAACGCCGACGCCGAUGAGGAUUCUGGUGAGGCUCAUCUAAUGGUAGGGCGAGUAAUUAACGCUCCAUCACCACCACCGUGCGCGUCCUCGGAAUAACUUUCUCCUUGCCCCUUUCUAUCUCGCACUCAACGCAACACCUAAACCCUAAGCUACCAUUUCCGGCAAUCCCACCGUUGUCAGCAUCGUCGGUCCACCACUGCGUGUUCCUCCACUGCCAAAUCCUCAUGAAGCAAUAUACAAGAAGGUACACAUUUCAGUAUAUGAUUCCUUUUCUUCAGUAAGCAUUGCGGUAUGCUUGUUUUCAUCUAUGUAGUUUUUGUAAUAUUUGCCAAUAGGUCACUGAAACUAAUAUCAAGGAGUUUGAAGCAAACAAUAGGGGAUCUGACUCUGAGAAACGAAGCUUUCGAUGAGGUGAGGUGAUGCUUAUAAUGUUUAUUGUUUUCUAUAGUGCUUGUAAUGUUUAUUGGGUGCAGAGCAUGGCCAGAGGCGGUCCUGUUAGGCAUUUUGGAUGGAUCGGUGAUUGGAACUAAUUUGGAGUUGCAAGAGGGUAACUUGAUUGUGCAGAAAUGGAGGUUCAAAAGCUGGAACGAUGGAGUUCAAUCCACAGUAAGUAUUUUUCUUUUUAUGUUAACUAUUAGGAAAAAAAACCAAAUAACUAAAUUUCACACAACUUACAGUAUGAUAAUAGGUGUGUGUUAACUUAUGGAUAGUGAGUUGUGGUCAAUUGUAUUUCAUUUGUUCUUCAUAGUCUACCUUGUUGUGUUUCUUUCUUUCUGCCUAUGUAACUUCUGGAAUUUGUCUGGUCUGCUUAAAUGUAAUGUUGGUGAUUAUUAUCUAGAUUGCAUUUUGUAUCUUAAUCAAAUACUUAUUCUGCUGAGUAAUUUCUAUAGCAGUUCGUCUAAGGCUAUGGCCUAUGGCAUGAUUACAUGCAGUAUUUUUGUCAUCCCUACUUAUUAUAUUAAUAUUUUUGUUGUACGUAGAUACUAGAUCAACCUUAAGAAAUAUAUAUUGAAUUGAUACUUAACAGUUCAUAAACGCAUAUCACCGUCACCCAUUCACUCAGCUCAACGACACUGAAACAAAAGAAAAUAAUAGAAUGUAAAAGGAAGAGAAAGACUACAUAUUAAGGGUUUUUUUUGGAGGAAUCAUAAAUCAGAGAAAUUGGAGGAAAGGAUUCGUUAUUAACUCUCUUUUCUUUCUGUUUUUUAUUUUUUAUUUUUAUAUAAAUUGUAAAGAUAUCAUAUACAUGUGUUUUUCAUCUUCUUAAUUUCUCUGAUGGUUUGUUCUUAUUAUCAAUGACCCGCACCCGUGUGGAAAUGAAUUUAAAAUUUUUUAAAUCAUAGUUGAAUGUUGUCAAUAUUGUGGGACGCUUGGUAUUUUAGUUGGGUUUGUGAGUUUAACAUCAUGGUAGCUGUAUACCAAGUGUUUGAUGAAACGCCAACUUUGGGUGACUGCCUGCGUUGUGAACAUGUUAACUAGCGUGUGUCAGAAAUGAGAGGUACUUAUCUGUUAUGAGUUUGUUACUCUGUUGAGUUGUAGUAGUUUGUUUAAGUAAUUUGGUGUAAGCAUUCCAAUGUUAGAAGAAUUAUUCCAAUGUUGUUUGUGGAUGCGGGAAAAAUUAAAAUGAAAUUAAAACAGUAAAAACGAAAAUUCACGCUGGAACUAGGCAGCUCUGACCUUUGCUCAAUGUUUUAACCAUAACUUUUUCUACAGAGCUCUAAAUGACAUGAAGUUUUUUUUCCUGGAAAGUAGACUCAAUUAUCUUUAAUUUGAUAUAUAAAACGUAGCAUUUGGAGCUCUGGUCUGGUUGCAGUUAUUUUUUUAAAAUCGAGUCCAGAAAGUGAAAAUGCUAAACCCAACACUAGACUAAACAAGUAGCUAAACACAGUUAAAUUAAAUUAAAUACAAAACUAAAUUANNNNNNNNNNNNNNNNNNNNNNNNNNNNNNNNNNNNNNNNNNNNNNNNNNNNNNNNNNNNNNNNNNNNNNNNNNNNNNNNNNNNNNNNNNNNNNNNNNNNNNNNNNNNNNNNNNNNNNNCAAUUUAUAUGACACAUGCACCUACUAAAGAAAUUAAAAUAUUUCUCCAAAAAUCAAAUAACCUAGUUGCUAAUUCCAAAUGAGAACCACCGUUNCUGCAGGUUGCUCCAUAGCAAAAGUAAAAUAAAAGAAAGAAAAUGAAUGCUACCACCGUCCCAUCNCAAUUUGCAAAAGAAAUAUAAUUUUCCGCUGCAUGCGCCGUUCCAGCAAUGAAUCACGUUUCUAAGGAAUUGAAAUAAACCAAAUGCACCAGCUGAAUGAAUCAAGNGCGCUUUCUUUAAAUUGAAAGUAAAUUGAUUAAAAGAAAAGUAAAAAAAAGAAAACUUGUGGAAUCCAAAACGCAACAGCAAGCUUCUAUCUUAAUAAAACAAAAAUAAUGUUUGAUGCAGCAAAUGGCGGCUACAACCUUCUUCAAACUAAUAUUUAGACAAAACUAAAAAACUAUGAGGGUACGGCUGCAGCUAGCUUAAAAGAAAUACACAAUUAGUGUUUGCAAGAAAAAUAAAGUGUGUGCUCUUCAUUCUUCAAAAUAUUUACCCCGUAGCCAUAGCAAUGCUCCAAGGAAGCUCCAUAAGAAAACCUUCAAAGCCCCUUCCCAAUAAUCUCCAGCCGAGAGAAUAUAUCCUAGGUAAAAAAUGACGGCUGUCCAAAUCCUAGGACCUUGAGGUGUGUGCUGAAAAAUUAGGGUGGGGUCCACCCAACCCUAGGUAGGACAUGUGUCACCAAAAUUUGGGCUCCAACAUAUUUUUAAUGGCCCAAUGUGCAAAGGUUUGUCNAAAAAGUUUAAACAAUUNAAAUUACAAUACAACUAAAAUUUAAAAUGUAUAAUUGAGAGUCUUGAAUUUAUUUGGUGUCUCCAAAUGUCCCAAAUUGUGUUUCCAAAAUUUUCCCUGAAAAUAAUAAUGCAAAUAAUUAGCUCAGAAAAUUCAAAUUAAUUAAAAUUAGAAUUUUCGGUCAAAUUAAGCAUAAUUAGGAAAAACGGAAAAAUACCGGACAAUUAAGCACAAUUCCCUGAUUAAUUCUAGCACAAUAAACUAAGUGAAGUCGAGAAAAUAUCGACUCAUCAGUAUCCAUGAAUAAUAUAUGAAAGUUUAUUUUGUCUUUGGCCUCCCUCUAUAGCCUUUUCAUGGUAGAUUGUUAGAAGUAGCGGUACCUUGGUUCUUUGCAUCCUAACAGUUUUUAUUGGUGUUCUCCUUUUUGUGUUGAAGAAUAAAAGAUUAUCUAUCUUCAUUUUUCUUUGAAUACAAGAUUAUCUUUGCAUGAUAUCCUUCGCAUGUUUAUGUCCUAGUUCUUCAUUUCACCCCAGCAACUCAUACAUUACUCGACAUUUAAUUUAGUCCGUGGAUGUUUAGAAUCACUGCCCUUGUCUCUGCCUCAUUAUAGUUGGCCUUGCAUUUAGAUGAGGACUCAAGCAUUUGAAAGCCAACAUAGCAACUUUCAUGGCUCCUUUCAUGGGAAAUUGCCCUUUUAGUCUACAAUCUAUGAUGCUAUAAAGGUUUUUCUGAUCUCUCAGCAAAGGCCUUGCCCAUUUCAUUAAGUUAUUGCCACCAUUCGACCGAGACUUAUCCACUACAAGAUUGAUAAGGAUAUCCACAAGGACUUUAAGAGUUGGAUUAUCAAUAUGGAGGAACUUCAAGAUUGUAGCCCAUCAUUAAUAACAGUAUAUUCACGACCUCUACCUAUGGACUCAAAAUUUUAUCCUAAAGUAAUCACAUCCAAGACAUAUGAAUUGACUAGAAGUAGAAAAUAAAGUAUAUCUCACCACCACUUAAAUAAAUGAAACAAGAAAUUUUACCAUUCCCUUUGGCCGUAAGAUUGUCUUGACCACAUCUCCAACAAAAAAAAACCGUCCGAACAAAAUCAAAUCAUUCAACACACAUAAUUAAAGUAAACCAAAUUUUCCUAAACUCAUAAAAGUAAUAAUGCAUGGAAGCAUAUCCUUUAUUAACUUUCAAGUUUUCAAAAACUAAAAUGAAAAAGGUUAAUUAAUAUACCAUUGGGCUUCUAAAAACAACAUAUGCAAUUGACAUUACCAUAUAAUUCAAAUAAUGCAUCUAACGAGCAACACGUAUAACUCAAUAAGUAUACAAGUCUAAAAUUCAAAUUUUUUGAAUGAAAAAAAAAAUAACAAAAGACAAUAAGAGAAUCAUUAUACUAGAAACAUUGACGGAAAAUAGAGUAGGAUUCGAAAAUUUGUUAAGGGUCAUAUCUGAUAAAAGCAUCUAUGUUGUGCACAUUCCUUUCUUUUCUUUUGUUGCAACUUUCAUCUUAAUCAGAAAAAAGAAAACACCACAGCACGAUGAAAACAAAGCCAUAAAAAAUUAUUCAUCAGCUUUAAUGCUUUUCGGUGAAAUAAUUAGCUGCCACGAAUAAUAAAUUUCAUAUAUGUCAAAUAUUACACAUAUUUUUUCUAACACAAGCAAUUAGUACUUUCUUAACAACUAUUCUUUUGAUUUUUCGCAACACAGGAAAUAGUUCUUUUUGGCUUAUUUCUAUUGUAUAAUUCAUUCACUUUCAGUUAUUCCUUAGUGAAUUGUAACAUAAGUAAACUAAAUUAACUUAUUAACUACCAUUGAAAUGCUAUUUGCAUUUGACCAGAGAGUGUAUAAUAGUUUUCUGCUUAGCAAUCAAAUUCUACAGCUGAAAGAUAGAGAUAAAGAAGGCGUUUAAGGGCAAAUAAAAUAAAAUAAUUAUAGAGACGUUGAGAAAAAGUAGAAAUGCAAAGAAAAAAAACCUUAAUUCGGACUGAGAGUAGCAGAAUGUUUACAUCAAUAUUGGGGUUAACAUCCCGAGAGCAUUACCCAACUACAAUGCAAUAUAGAGCACCAAGCCAAGGAUAAAGAUCCCAACCAAAAACUUAAUUAGGAAAGGCGCAUGCUAAUGAAAUGUUGUCAAGAAAUCUAUGAACUAAAUAUUCCAUGAAUGUAUGCAAACAAAGAUCCAAAAGUUCUAAAAUAAAUAUGGCCUAAUAAUAAACGAUCUCAGGUUCUAAUUCCAUGAAUGGAUGGUUGCACAAAACUUGCUUUUAGGAAAAUGUUUCUUAACUUAAAAGAAGUAGAUGAAGAAAUUUCCCAAACAAACUACUAAAAGAUUAUAAUAUCUGGUACCCACCUUCUCCAACUUGUUUCUUGCUUUUACCACACUUACACUUAUGUUUUUAAACCAUAACAUCACUAGAGUUUUCUCUUCCAUCCUUUUACUCUCACUCGCUCUCACUUCACUGAAAGCUUCGUUUAUCAUAUAAGUACAUCGUAAUUGCUAAUUAUAUGCUUGUAUGAUAUUAUAUUGUGUGAUUGAGCUGUCUGAUGAAAUAUGAUAUGUGAAAUUGAGUUAGGAUUUAAUUUGACUUACAUGAAUUGUAUUUUGAAAUCAGGUAUGUUGUAUAGUUGGUAUUAUAAUUUAGAUUAAUUGAAUCAUUGAAUAGUGUACAAUAUGAUAAUUGAUAUGUUUUGGAAUCUGUAAUUGUUGUUUGAUUAAGUCGCGGGGUUCAAAUGACAUCAAUCUACAAAAUUAUGUUAUGCAGAUUUAUGCAGACUUGUUGGGUGAAGCCAAAGUCAGAAAGUUAAUGACUUAAUUGUUGCUGAGCGAGAAUAUACCCGUUGGACGAAGUCAAAGUUAGAGAGCUACUGACUUUGUGGUUGUUGGACAAGGAUAUACUCGUUGGGCGAAACCAAAAUCAGAGAACUCACUGAUUUGGAAGUAGUUGGGUGAGACAAGUCUAGUUAGGUGAACUAUCUAGUUGUUGGGCGAAACCAAAAUCAAAGAACUCACUGAUUUGACAGUAGUUGGGUGAGACAAGUCUAGUUAGGCGAAUUAUCUAGUUGUUGGGCGAGUGUGCUCUCAGACACUACUCAUUGAGUGAGUAGAUAUGUUCUUGUUAGAGAUAUUAUAUUUAGUUUAUAUUGUGUUUAUGUUAAUUAGGGAAAUAUAGUCCCUAUAUGUUUAUUAGGGAAACAUUGUUCUUAUUUUAUUUUAUUUUAUUCUUACAUAUUCAUUUGUAUUUGGGCUUAGCACAUAUUUCUUCUAUUAUAAAUAGAGAACACUAUGUGUGUAUUUAACACAAGGGAUUAAUUUCAAUAUAUAAUUUUCACUAUAUUUAACAUGGUAUGAGAGUAGGUUUUCUGAUCCUUUUCUACUUUGACUUUGUUGUCGCUGGUGGCGACAGCGGUCCCCCCAUAAAAGUUUCUUUUUCAACUUGUGCCUUUAUACUUCAAUGGACAAUCUCUAGUUUCUGUCUCGCAUUUGUCUGGUGUUGCUGUCCGCCAAUGCCCGUUGCCGAUGGCCAUCGUCACUAGCCGACGACCGACUGUCGUCUCCGGCCACCGUCUCCGGCCACCAUCUUCGGUCGUCGUCUCCGGCCACCGUCUCCGGCAAUCGUAUCCAGCUGUCGCCUCCGGCCACCGUCUUCGGCCACCGCCGCCGACAACGUCUCCGGUCGUCAUCUCCGGCCACCGUCUCCGGCCAUCGUCUCCGGCCACCGUCUCCAGCAACCGUCUCUAGCCGUCAUCUCCGGCCACCACCGUCUCCGACCACCGUCUCUAGCUUCAACCUUCGUCUCCGUCCACCAGCGCCGACACCGUCUCCGGCCACCAUCUCCAGUUGUCGUCAUUGGCCACCGUCUUCGACCACCGUCUCCGACCACCGUCUCCACCACCAUCUCCGACCGUCGUCUCUGCCACUUGUGCCACCGAUGCACCAACACCUAGUCCUACCUCUACUGCUUCCGCUAUCUUCUUCUCUAUUCUGAAAGGUCUUGAAGGACAGUCAGUGGUUAACACCAAGAAAUUUCAACACUAAAAUUAUGGGUUGAAACAAUUUCACCAACCCUUUGUCAGAUUUGUUUUUUUGGGUGCUUUGAUGAAUAAGAGCUCAUUAUGAUCUUCCACUUUCACGAUUUGUCAUCGGUGCGCCGUUAUUUCCGCCGUUCGUCGUGAGGAGGAGUAUGUUUCCAGCCAAGUUUUAGGCUUUCAGACUCAACUCGUCAGUGAUGGCAGUCCCUGCAUACAGGCCCCAUCAGUCAAUGAUGGUAGUUCCUGUAGUUUUGUCGCUUUUAGCCACUACAUGCCCCAUCAGUCAGUGAUGGCAUUCCGUAAAGUUUUGUCGCUACAGGCCCCAUUAGUCAGUGAUGGCAGUCCCUGCAUACAGGCCCUAUCAGUCAGUGAUGGUAGUCCUUAUAGUUUUGUCGCUUUUAGCCACUACAGGCCCCAUCAGACAAUGAUGACAGUCCCUGUAUACAGGCCCCAUCAGUCAGUGAUGGCAAUCCCUAUAGUUUUGUUGCUUUUAGCCACUACAGGCCCUAUCAGUCAGUGAUGGUAGUCCCUGUAGUUUUGUUGCAUUUAGCCACUACAGGCCCCAUCAGUCAGUAAUGGCAUUCCCUAUAGUUUUGUCUCUUUUAGCCACUACAGGCCCCAUCAGUCAGUGAUGGCAAUUGAUAAUGGUAAUUCUUACCAUUAUCUAUGGUGCAUUUUUCAUGCCAAAUCAACAUUCCUGAAGCUUUAAACAUGCUUGAUCCUCUUCUUUAUCCAACUUUGUGAGUAAACUUAGAUUAGGUUAUACACUUGAGUUUUCAUCUCUUUUCCUCAAAAUUUUGUAGGAACUUUGAGUACUUUGGAAAGGCAUUCAAGUUUAAGAGUGGAGAACCAAGGGAGGACCACAAAAGAAGAAGUCCAAGAAGCUAGACUGGCGCUGGGCGCCAACCUUCUCACGCUGGGCGUGAAAACUGGCUGUUUCCAGCAAGAUUUCACGCUGGGCGCAAGUUUGUCACGCUGGGCGCCAGUUUUCACUGUUUGCACACGCUGAGCGCCACUGUCUCACGCUGGGCGUGAAAUUCCAUUGUUUCCAGGGGUAUUUCACGCUGGGCGCCAUUUUAAUGGCGCUGGGCGUGAGAUGUCUGAUGUGGCACCCUACCCUAUAAAAGCCACACAGUUUUCGAGAGCANGGAUCUUCUUGGCGGCUGAGACCUAGGGAAGCGUUNCUGUGCCUCUUGGAGCUAGUUCUGGACAGUGGGAGCUCUCCUCUCCUUCUCCUUGAGUCUCUUCUUCACCAUUUUCAUUCCAUUGUAAGCUCAAGCUCUCCAUUAAUGGANAACUAAGUUCAUUAUUGUUGGAGAGUGAUGUAAACUAGGAACUUCUUGUAAAUGCACUCGUGUUUAAAUGAAAAAUGCUUCAUUCAUUGCUUGUUGGUGUUUUUGUCUUUCUCUUAAUGCUAGUUAUGACUUGAUCAACCAUAGCUUGAUUGUGGGGUUUACUUAAGGUUGGGAAACUUUGGGUAAAAUUGAACUAGACUAAACACCUAAGGGAAAUAGUGUCUAGGGAUAGAACUAGGACCUUUAGUUGUCAUAAACUUCUUUUCUUAAUGCGGGUGAAUUUGGUGGAUUACCAAGGGAUUGGGAUUUAACAAAUGAACCUAGGCUAACUCACCAAGGGAUUGGGUUUUAGUAAAUUAGCUAGUUGGCAAGAACAAGUAAUUAAUGAAGGGUAUUGUAGUGCAUUUGCAUAGCAAGGAAUUAGUUGAAAUCAUUCUCCAACAUAUUCAUUCCACAUAGUCACCAAUCAUUUUCAUAUUCACUAGUUUUGGCCCCAAUUAGUUCAAAUUUUACUUAUGCAUAAAAUUUACUUUCAUUGCACAAUACUAACCAAAAAUUGGAAUCAUUCUUUAGCUUGAAUGAGUUAGUAAUUAUACGAGUGUAGAGUAAUAUCGAAGUCUCUAGGGAAACGAUUUCCGGUCUUACCGGCUUUACUACUUGCACGACUUGGUACACUUGCCAAAAUCUUAACAGUAUACAAGCCCCAAUUCCUUAGAGACAAGUUCUAAACCUUUAUGUGAAAAUAUUAAUCCCUUAGAUAUUCAAACACAAUAUUUACAUUAAGAAAAGAUGUCUAAAAUGACCCAAAGCCUUGGUUUAUGUCUAGAGCCCAGCCUCUUAGUUGUUAUAUCCAUGUCUAGGUUCCAAAGCAUUUUCCAAUGAUUAAAUACUAAUAAAAUAGCACAUAUAUUCCAUCAUGCAAGUGAAUAAAACGGAUAGAACACAAGAAAUACGAAAUAUAUUCUACUACAUAAAAAGAACUACAAAUAGUUUAGGUGUUUUACAUCCAACCCUAACGAAAUGGAGUUUAACUACUCUUAUACAUCUAGAACAUAAGAAUGGAUUGGAAUGAUGAAAAGGAUGAAGAAAGAUGGAUUUCUUCAACCCUAUAACUGCCUCAACCCGUGUCUUGAGCGUCUAGUUCAUUCUCACGUCCAAAAAACUCUCGACACUUUAAAUGUUUCACCAAAAAAUGUUUCCUUGCUGGGCCAUUGAAUCCUCUCGCUGGGUAAGAGGUAACUUUUUAAACACGUGGCUUUUUCCAACUUGUUAGGCUUCUUGACUAGGAUAGUGUUGUCAAGCUCUCGCUAGCCGAGUAGAGAUAAGCGAGUGGCUUUUAGCAGCAUCUCUUUAAUAUUCUUCAAUUCUUCCAAUUUCUUGCAAAAAUAACUCAAAAAUAGAUAAGUAACUAUCUUUAUAACAACUAUAUACAAGUUUCGCAUCUUUUCAUUGAAUUCAACACAAAAUAAAUAACAAAGAGACAAAUAAGAGGUUUAAUAAGUGUGAAUAAUAGGUAAUUAUCACACUUAUCACAAGGCGAGGUUGUAGUGCCCUAUUUUUGCGAUUCUCAAAUAGAGAGAGAAAGAGGGAGGGAAGAAAGAUGUUGUCGAUGUUGAUGAUGUUCUCAUUCACACUUAGGGAUGGCAGAAAAUUUGUACCUGCGGGUACCCGCGUAUAAAAUCCGCUACGGGUAUUUAGUAUCCGUGGGUAGCGGGUAUUUUAAUAUCCGCUUGUUAACGGGUCGAGUUCGUGUAUCAUCCUAUCCGUAUCUGCAGGUACCCGUUACCCGUUUAAAAACCAAAAUUUUAAUUUUACCCCUAACUAUUUUAUGAAAUUAAAAAAUAAAUUAAAAUAUAUGUUUUUAAUUUUGCCACGGUGGUGUGCAGAGGAAGUGAAGUAAAGUUCCCUUCUUCUUUCUUUUUCUCUUUCACACUUCCUUCCCUUCUUCUUUCUUCUUCUUUCUCUUUCCCUCUACACAAAAACAUCAGUGAAAGAUGAGAUUCAAUGCUAACAAAAGCAGGGUCUUGUAGGCAAAGGGUAAUGCCCUGAGUACGACCCUCAAUUUUAUUUUAUUUUUUAAAAUUUUCACCUUUGAUUACAAAAGCCGAAAAGUGAAACCACAAAAAUAGCACUCACCAGAAGCGAUGUCGGAGGUGGCUGAGAAAGGGCCACGUCCACCAGCGGAGGAGGCGGAGGCCGACGGUUCCGACAACCUUACAUCGGUGGUUUUUGGAGAAUCAGCUGCAGGCUUCAUGCCUAGAAAGUGGAGAUCUGAGAUUUUUUUGUGCAAAUCUGAGAUCCUUAAGUGCAGAUAUGAGAUGUUUUGAUGCAGAUCUGAAAUAUUUUGGUGUAGAUCUGAGUUUGAAGUGAAGAUCUAGGGUUUAUAAGUUUUGAAAAAGAAAGAAAAAUAAACUUUGGUUCAGAAUUUGGGUUUGGAUAACAAUACAGACGCUGUUAACGGGUAUCCAAUAGAUAUUCGCUGGCUGGAAAAAAUCCGCGGGUUUUUUUUAUGCGGGUACCCGGUGGGUAGUGGGACGGGUAACGGGUACGCUUUUGUACAUGCGGGUCGGGUUCGGGUAUCAUACUAUCUGACCCGUUGCCAUCCUUAUUCACACUAUUGUACAAAUGUUUGUCUCACACCUCCAGAUGAUGAAAAAGCUUUCCAGAUAAUUAAUUGUUUUUCAAUGUUAGUUUAAAAUAUAAAGGGUUUGUUUAUUUCAACGUGUGUAAUCAUAAGAGUGAUAUGUGCAUUGUGGAAGAUUUAAUACGUGCAAAAUAUUUUGUGGUUUUGAUGUGACAUUUAAAGUCAUAUUCUCUCUUGUUAUGGGGCAAGGUGCUAUUUGAUGGUUGUACAGGAUAUUUCUCCUAUUGAAUCAGAAAAGUUUGGUGGUAUAUGUGGAAACUGAAUUUCUUUUUUUAAAAGAAGGGGUUUUGACCGCGGUUCAAGAAAGAACCACGGUCAUAUCCCCAGGUUUUUACCGUGGUUGGAACUGUGACAAAAGGUUAGACGAAUUUUUUUUUUUUUUAAAAAGGGGUUUAGGUCGCGGUUCAAGAAAGAACCGCGGUCAUAUCUCCAAGUUUUUAUCGCGGUUGGAACCGCGACCUAAAAUCCUAGACUUUUUACCUUGCCUGUAUAUGUCGCGGUAACCGCGACGUAUAGUCAAAAACAAUCACGGUUUUUUUCCUUCCCUACACUAGUAGUCGUACAAAAUCUUAAUAACUCUGAAUUAAAGUCAUGGUACAAAAUCUUAAUAACUUGUAAAUUAAAGCUGUGAAGACAACUUUUAUCAUUAUAUUUGGAAAAGAUAAAAUCGUUUUGAAUCCUAAAUUAAGUUUAGUUAGAAAAAAUAUUUCUUUUAUAAAUAUUUUAAAUUAAGGUUGUUAUGAGACAUAAUAACUCUUAAUUUAGAGGAUAUCGUUUACAGGAGUCGUGACUUUCAAUUAAAUUAAAAUAUUCUUCAAUUAUCACAACUUCACAAACCAAAAUCGUGAUAAGUGAUAAUGAUUUUAAUUAUUUGUUUCUUAUAAAGAAAUAGAGCUUGUGUUGAAAUAUUGAAGUCCAGAAAAUCAUUAAUGUACAUGAGUCUAGGUUAUAGUCAAAAUAGAAUUAAUUUAUAAUAAAGUUUUAAUUAACUAUUAAAUAUUUUUUAAAAUUGUGUAAGUUUUUAUAAUAUUUUAAAUUGCAAAUUGAUUUCAAAAGUUUAAAUUAAUUAUAAAUUGGUUUUUAAUUAAUUUUUAUUAUUUGUAAGUUAAUUGAAAAAUUAUGAUCGAUCUAACAUGGUUGGACUUGACUUACUCAACUCAAAUCCAACCCAAUUUUUUUCUUUAAAUUUAGUUUUCUUUUUCUCAUUUGACAAUUUCUUAAAUUUAAACAUUUUUUAAUUAUAAACUACCAACAAAAUAAAUUAAAUCUAUUUACAAUAAAAUUAUAAAAAUUAUUUAUGUUUACAAUAACGAUAAAAAUUAUUUUUAAUUAUUAUAGAAAAACUGAACACACAUAUAUAUCUUCACUGGUUUAUAUUAAUAUAAAUAUAUAUUAAAACAGUAGUUAAUAAACAAUUAUAUUAAGGAAUUCAAUUUUUUCACAUACACAUUUUAUUCUAAAUUUACUCUUCAAGUAACUAUUAUUUGAAACUAAAAUAACAACAUUUUCAUUUUUACCCUUUAAAUAACUAGUUAAUCUAAAUUUAAUUAUGUUGUAAAUUACUAUUCAUCAUUUUAGUAACUACUUUUCUAAUUUCAAUUAAUUAUUUCUAAUAAAAAACUAUUUAAUAAAAUUUAUUUUGCAAUAUAAUAAAUAUUUAGUAGAAUGAAAAAAAGAAAUGGACCAACAAGCACGUACAUGUCUUUCCACCCAUAAAAGAUAAAGGUAAUAACUUUUAUUAAAAGAUAUCGGAAACUUAUAUGUUUCCGAUAGUGUUAUUAUUAAACUUCUGAAUAAAUUUUUAAUACUAAAAACUAUAAUACAAAAUACAAGGUGUAUCUGGUCUGGUGAAAAGAAAAAUCAGUUUUGACAUCUACAAAUAAAUUUUAAAAAUUAAUUAAAUCUAAAAGUAAUUGUUUUGCUCUGGAUUCAGUCAUGUUUUUUUUUUUUUUAAUUUUUCUUCCAUUGAAGUGUUUUAAUUGUUAUAUAGAAAUCUUUUAUAUACGUAAAAACAAUAUAAUUAUUUUUAUUAUUUUCUGUCAAAAUAUACAUUACGAACUAAUAUUUUUCAAAAUUGAUGGAAGAGAAGUGUAUCCAUGACUCAAUUUCAUAGAUUGGUCUAAAUACUUCUUUAAAUAAAUAAAUGAAAUAAUAAGAAAAAUAAAGAUGAAAGUUAAACUAUAUCUCUUCAAAAUAACUGCACCUCUUCUCAUAGAACAUUGCAUAAUGAAUUUUAAAUAAAAUAUGUUGUCAUUAUUAACUUAUUAUUUUAAUAAGAAAAUAAAAGUAGAAGCUUUGAAUAAACAGUAGUGUCAAAUAAUCACCACUCAAUAUAAAAAUAUUUUAAAAUAGAGGAAUUAUCUAUGAAACAAUUUUACUUUCAUAAUAAGAAGGUUGUCAUGAAUAUCUCUAAACCUGUUCAUCUUGUUUAUAUACAAAGAACAAACAUAUUCAUACCUAUAAAAUAUACAUCAGAUAUCACUUUCAUUGGAAAUAUUUAAAUUACAUAUCAAUUUUGUACACACGUUCAUCCAACAAUAAUACUAUUGAAAAUAUUACAUGAGACUCAUCGAAUUAUGAAAUUAAAUAACUUACAAAUUUACUUAUAACAUUUUUCAUUUUGUGUUUACUUGAAAUCCUAUUUCUUAAUAUAAAUUAAAUACAUAUUAAACCUGAUCAUAUAUAUUAAAUGUUUUCUUUAUUCUAUUUAAACAAAUCUUAGUAGUCUUUAUAAAACACAUGUCAAACACACUCUUGCACAGAAUUCUCGAGCUAAGAAGAUCUUAAUUGUAAUUAAUGACGAUUGACCCUUGUCCAACUAAUUAAGCUUUGUUGUUGAGUUCAACGUGUUUUUUCGAAGGAGAAUGAUAUUUUGACAAUUUCUUUUUUAAUAAUUUUUUUAUAACAAAACGCGUGUUAUUAUUUUAUUGGUUUGUUUGAAUUUAUGUUUAAAAAAAUAUUUAAAACGAAUCAAUCAUAUAUUACCACCUAUGCGUUAUAAAAAAAUUGUUAAAGAGAUUUUUUUUUUAAUUCGAAUUAACUAUAUUAUAUAAUAAUGGCAGAAGUAAAACUCAGGAUAUUUGGAACAAAUUAGAAUUUGCAGAACAUACAUAAUAUUCAUCUCUUUAAUUUGCUCUUAAACCCAUAAGAAAAGUCACUGGAACAUUCCAUGACUAUAGACACGACGUUUUAUUCAUAAAAUAUCUUAAGUACUACGUUGUUGACGUGAGUUGUCUCAGUUAUGAGUCUCAUCCUGAGUUUGUGCAACAACAGCUUCACCAGCGUAAGAGCAGCACCUUAUGCAACGUCCGUUGAAAAACCGGCAACAGCCGAAACGACAGCCCACAUCACGUGCAGGGUAGCCACCACCAUGACCGUCACCACCAUGACCAGGAUAGCCACCGCCAUUACCAGGAUAGCCGCCGCCAUAGCCUCCACCAGGAUAUUUGGCUUCACCAACUCCAUUUGUCACUUUAACAACCCCAAACUGGUUAGUGAACACAACAAAUAUUUUUGUACAUCAUUAAGUAAAAACUUAUUACAUAGUUAGAAAACUACGCAUUGAAGUUAAGAAUGUAUUAAAAAACAAGAUGAAUAUUGUAACAUACCCUCUUUUGCAUUGGUGGAUUUCACCUCUGAGGAGGCUAAAAGGAGCAUAGCGAACAUGGCUAGGAUCAGUAUUGCCAUCUUCAAACCCAUCUUUCAGUAUUAAGGAGAUAUGUUUGGUAAAGAAG